GAAAAAUGAGAUGGCGCCGGUCCAGGGGGUGCUGCCCAUGCGGGGAAGCAUCGCGGCUUCAAGCUCGGUUGGUAAGUACUCCAUACUGGUUUUUCUGUCAGUAUCACGGCUGUUUUUUGUCAUCAUUAGUAUAAUGAUAUUGGACUGAAGCUCGUCAACUCUUUCGAUGCUGUAUUUUUGGCAUCAUUAGUAUACUGAUAUUGGACUAAAGUUGGUUAGCUCUUUCCAUGCUGGACUUUUGGCAUCAUUAGUAUACUGAUAUUGGACUGAAGCUUGUUAGCUCUGUCCAUGCUCGGUUUUUUGUCAUCAUUAGUAUAGUGAUAUAUUGGACUGAAGCUGCACAUGUUUUGUUUCCAUUAACGUUGGUCUAGCAGUGCUACGCGUCAGUCGGCCGAUCGUAGCCGCCAUACAAGCCUUAUUUUAAUCAAGUUCCACCCGUCACUGCAUAUAUUAACGUUGGUUUUGGCACCAGCUGCGUAUACAAACGCGAGCACCGGCACUGUGUGGCAGCAUGGAAGACAUAUGAACUGUGAUAAGAAACAUAAGAAACAUGCAAUGGCUAGAAACAUCUCCGUACAAAAAAAAUUGGCAUGUUAUAGGUGUCAACAAAAUUAGUCGGCUUGCCAGCCGUCGGAUCUGACACGUGAAGCAUUGGAUCACACCACGCGGCAGCUGAGAGAGUGGAACCCGUCUUCCUCCAUAGCCUCCACAAAACUUGUUUAUCCCCCACCCCUCCCCCAUCGUUGCAAUAGACUAUUAUGUUGUUGCCGCGGCCUUCCUCUUCUCUCGCUCAGCAGCACCUCCCUCUCGUCCUUUCUAACACAGCAAAGAAGAAGGAGGAAGAAGAAGGAUGCAAGGACACAAGUGGUUUUGCCGGAGCACGAACUCCGCCCGCCGCACGAACGGCGUCCUUUUCUUUCCCUGAGCCCGAACUCAGUACAAUCCGCAAGCUACAACAGAGGAGAGAGCUGGCCUUAUACCCGCGCGACGCACGCGCUACGCCACGCUCUGCACGCAUGCACACCCCACGUCCCGCGCUUCCAGACCCACUCACCCGACGCGCACGUAUGCAGUCGCCGUAGGCCGAUUCCAGCGCCCCGACGUGGUCGCCACUCCGUUUCUGUCGCCUACACACAACGGCCCACGCGCUCGAACGCGAGGACACACACACACACGCACAGAAACACACACACAUGCACGGCCAGGGACCCGGCGCGUCCUAGCUCACACCCGACGCGUCCUGUGGUGGCUUAUGCCCAACACUCACUCCCCUAAGCCACGAACUACAGCAGGUGAGUCCAUCGUCGUCGAUGUCGCCAUGGCCGUCGCACCGCACCGCUGCGGCCUCCGCCGUGCCGUCGACGUCGUUGUAGCCGCCGCCGCCCUAACGUCGCUGCCACGCCUGCCACCGUGCCGCUGUGCCCUUCGCGUGCACUCCCCACGUCCCCGCGCUCCCGGCCCGCGCUCCCGCCGCGCACGUACGCGGUCUGCGCAACCAGGUCCAGUGCCUCGACGCGGUUCACUCCCGCGGUCCCGACGCGCCCAACACGUCCGGUGCGCACCCAUAACACGCACCGGUCACGCCCGGCUCGCCACCGCGCUUAUUGCCCUGCACCGCUGCGCCGUCAAACGCAGCGCAGCGCCUCCACGGUCGUCGCGCCGAGCCGCCGCGGCCUCUGCGACACCACGCAGGUCCUCCGCGACCUCCUCGUCUCCGCGACCGCCGCUGCUCGCCGCGCGCACGGCAUCACGCCACCCCGCCGUGGACUCGCCGCGCGUUGCCGACGCGCCCCGGCAUCGCGCCACACCGCCGUGGACUCGCCGCGCGUUUCCGAGACCUUCAUGUCUGCCACGCGCCACGCGCGUCGCGAACGCCGCCGCGCGCCAUGGCCGCCCCCCGAACCUGUGGCUCUGAAUACCAAUUUUUGUUGCCGCGGCCUUCCUCUUCCUCUCGCUCAGCAGCACCUCCCUCUCGUCCUUUCUAACACAGCAAAGAAGAAGAAGGAGGAAGAAGAAGGACGCAAGGACACAAGUGAUUUUGCCGGAGCAUGAACUCCGCCCGCCGCACGAAUGGCGUCCUUUUCUUUCCCUGAGUCCGAACUCAGUACAAUCCGCAAGCUACAACAGAGGAGAGAGCUGGCCUUAUACCCGCGUGCACGCACGCGCUACGCCACGCUCUGCACGCAUGCACACCCCACGUCCCGCGCUUCCAGACCCACUCACCCGACGUGCAUGUACGCAGUCGCCGUAGGCCGAUUCCAGCGCCCCGACGUGGUCGCCACUCCGUUUAUGUCGCCUACAGACAACGGCCCACGCCCUCGAACGCGAGGACACACACGCACGCACAGACACACACACACGCACGGCCAUGGACCCGGCGCGUCCUGGCUCGCACCCGACGCGUCCUGCGGUGGCUUAUGCCCAACAAUUACGUCAGCCCCUCGCAGCACCUCACGUCCAUGCUCUGGCGCAUCCCUGAUGUCGCCUGGUAUCAUGCAAGCACUAUUACAGACGGCGCGCCGGCGAGGAACAUUGUCUUACAACCAAGGUAGUUGCAUUGAUGCGACCACAAGCCUCACCCCCUUGUUGCAUGGGUCGUGGCUUGUGGCACUGGUCGUCGGCUAUAACACCCCCCGUGAGAACCUGCAGUUGCACCACUGCGACAACCCCGUGGGUCUAUGCAUGGUGGAAAUAGAGCGAAUGGAUAUGGUGAAGAGAGAGGAAUACAAGUGAGGGGCAUCUGGCGCUAGAGCGAGCUGACUCAUUUCCUCCUAAACCAGUCUGUUGAAUAUUUCCAUUUUCUUUUGAGAAACCUCGUAAAAACGUUGCAACAUGCGAGCAUGUCUAUACAAAAAAAAGUAGAUAUAGAACACAUACUCAUUAACUGCAAGAAAUCAGUGAAAAAACACAAUGUAUACACGCCUGAACCAAUGGACCAUUGGCAUGCAUCUUCCAACUCUUCCUAGGUUACGCCCACCCGCGAACCGUUCAAUUCUGUCACAGAUCAUUGCCAAAUCAACCACCAACUUGGUUCCUGCUCUCGUCUCCUCUCCCCAUCCUUUGCAACAUACACCCAUGUUUCUCAGCAAUAGACUCACUUGGAGGCCACAAUGGUGGCCAUGGUAGGCUAGUGAAAAGCACAAUGGUGGUCAGCCUUACAACACUAAACACGACACUAAUUGCAACACGUGAUAACCCCAAAUUUGUAGCACCGGUGCACCGUUUUGCGGCAAAGUAAAAAAUGCCAACGACCUGCCAUGCUGCAUCGAUGCCUUGGUCUUGCAGCAUUGUCAACCACCUUGUAGCAAUGAAAAGUUCACUGACCAUUAGCUUUGCAGCAUCACGUGACCGGCUUAUAGCACUGAACGCCCGGGCUAGCAGCACUGCGAUGAGGGAUGGUCGGCCUUGCAACAGUAUUGGUUGACAUUGCACACCUCAUCUCCAUUUUUAUGUACAUACACAUGAGUGAACUUGGAACAUCAGUAACGUAUCAACAUUAGCAAUAUUGAUGAUGAUGAAAUUUGUUUCCCCAAGUAUCAACAUUACUGAAUAAGCGAGCAACUGCACAUCCACCCCAUGAGCCAUAAUUUUUGAGCCCUACCACAACCGAUUAUAGUUGGAAAAGAGCUGACAACGAUAGUUAAAAAUGUACAUGAUCACAAUAGCUUAAAUGGUAGGGAGGGUGGACUGCAUGUGUGGAAUCAGGCUUGUCGCGUGGUCACAAGUGCCUUAUCUGACUAGCCAACAAGACAGAAGGAGGCCGCCUGGGCUCUCACUCCUGAAGCUAAGCAUAACUCCAACUCCAGACACACUCGGGGGCUACUGAAGGUGCAAUACACUAGGGGUGUCCUCUAAGUGGGAAGCCCGGUAGCAGGCCUAUCUCAAGGCCCAAGAGGCCAAGUGGAGGAUCAGCGCACGAGGGCAGCUCAUGAGCCCGGAUAAGGACCGGGAGAGCAUCUAGGCGUGCAAGCUAACAUGGCGACGGUAUGAGAUCUAGUGGAUUCCUUGUAAUCCCUAGCCCUCGUCACCUAUAUAAGGCAGGGCAAGGGGUUAUCAUUCACAUAUACUCUCAUAGACUAUACUCUCGGUGGCCUUAUACUACAUCUCCGUUGUAAAUCCUAUUAUGGGUACUAACAGUUUUACAUACUGUCGCAUAGUUUUGUUUCGACACAUUUUCUCUAGGAGUUGAAAGCAACUCAUGGUGUAAGUAUGUGUUGCUGGAAGCACUGAUUUUACUAGCACCGCCUUUCCCGCCUUGGAGAUACCUUGUCCUUCCUAUCCAAUCACUUUGCCAUUUGAGUUUUCUCUAACGUAUUUAAAAUUUGCUUCCGUUGACCUACCCACCACGGCUGCGAGCCCCAAAUAAUGCUCGCUCAAUGCCUUGGGAUCAAUACAAAAAUAUUUAAAAAAAACUUUGUCCUCCUAUUUGCUUCCCUUUCCACAGAAAGUUGAGGCUUUUUGAAGAUUUACCAUUUGUCGUGUGGCCAACUCGUAGUCAAACAGGGUCUAUUUUAAGGUCACAACGUUGAUAUUUGAUGCUUGAAGAAAUACUACACUAUCAUCUACAAACAUAAAAUGGGCUACAUGGGGGCCAGUGCUCCCAAAAUGUACACCAUUGAUCUCCUUAUCUUUGAGAAUUCAUGAGCAAUGCCAAAAAAUAAACAAAUGGGGGGAUUGUGGGUCUCCUUGUCAGAUCCCUCUUGAUAGUGUAAAAAUGACAGAGCAACCUCCAUUCAAUUUGACAGGAAUCCUGGUCGAGGUAACAGAUGUCAUAGUCAUCAAGAUCCACCUAUUUGAGAAACCAAGUGCCCUCAUCAUGAGAUUGUGGAAAAUCCAAACCACCCUCUUGUAGGCCUGCAUCAUGUCUAGUUUAAUAGCUAACAUUGGAUUUUUCUAUUUGUUGACCUGAUUGCAUGCACACACUCAUACGUGACCAACACAUUGUCUGUGAUAAGCCUACCCGAAAUAAAUAUACUUUGCUCCUCCCAGAUCAUUAUGGACAGGAGAACAUUCAAACCAUUCACUAGGCCUUUGAAGCAAUAUGACUGAGUGUGUUCUAUAAGCUGAUUGAUCCAAUUUGAGGAAGUAUAUCCAGUGAGUUAAUUUUUAGGAUCAGGACUAGAACCAUAUCACUGAAGUUUGCCGAUACAUCAUUUUUUAGCAACGACUAGUGAAAUUGGUAAACAUAGUCGAGAGGUUGUGUGGCACAACGCUUUUGUCAGUCUAAUUUAGAAUGGUGCAUUCUCAAUUUCUUCAUCCAUCACAUCCGCGUCCACCCUCAAGAAAACAACCAAGCAUAGAAAUCGGCCGACAUCUUCCCCAUCUCAUUGUCAGUAGUACAUCUCAUGCCAUCCGCGCUCAUGUUUUGUUCGUCUUCCUCGAGCAAUUCCAAUCGAGCAUGUUGCAUAUACAUUAUUUCUUCCCAUGCAUGAGCCAGAUGAAGCUACGCUUCAAUCUCGUGGAUCUCCACCAAGGAUCUGGAUCCCAAUGCUCUCUCCUUUCCAUCGAAGCUGACCUUGUGCCUAGUGAUGUCUAAACAUACGAACCAAAACACUGAGCCACUCCAAUGUUGCAUAUCAUUGGUGAUAUUGUUAAGCUUCCUGUAUAACGUACUCUGGCCGAAAUUGUUGUCACAUGCACACUCCCACGCAUCCAUGGGGCAUCCGCCUCUCCUCAAAUGUUAACGCCCUCUUCUUCCUUGUGGUAAUGAACAAUUGGUCUAGCGCUCUAAUAAUGAGUGAAUCAUGGCCUGGUUCUCCGUGAGAACAUGUUCAAUGGAUGUAUCCUAGAAUGAGUGUAUGAAAUCAUCAUUGCAUGGACCCCUUCCCAGAUGUACCUAAAUGUUCUCAUCAUCAUCCCUUUUGUUGUCCCGUGUGUACUAGUAGCUACUAAAACAGAGGUUUGAAAAGUUGUUAUUGGCUACGCUUCCAUUUGUGUGAAACUCCUCAAGUAAUCUCCUGGUUGUUGUGAUUGAAAGAAUACUUUGUUGAGGUAUCACUGUCACAGAGAAAUUUAUUAUCAGGAUCUAGUCUCUCGAAACCUCCGUUAGCUACACAAAUUUGCUUCAAUCUCUCUUCCUAUCCAGUAGCUUUAGCUGAUAAUCCUUGUGAUGCCUUUGGUGAUCACCACCACCCUUCCUCGUCUUGUGAACAAAAGUGCCUCGUGUGUGCUGCCUGGAGGUAGAUGGGUCUUCUUUGCCCAGUCGCCUUGCACCCUUUCUUCCCAUAUAGAAUUUUUUAUGUCCUCCUUCCUUUCAUGCUCCUUCCUCAGCUUCCACAUCCUUUUCAGUUGCAAAUCAUCCCUUAGUUCAUGUCACCGAUCUUGCUUGCAUUGGUCCUUCCUGGGUGUAUAAGCAUUGUAGCACUUGUGCCUAAAUGGGAGGUGGCGCAACGCUGCUUACCCCUUGUGAACAAAGAUGCACCUUCUUGACCUAGUGCUCCCAAAACUAAAAUUCCCACUUUCUAUCACCGACUUCUACUAUGUUUCUGUGUGUGAGGAGCUAUGUUCGAGUGGUGCCCUCAACCAUUCACCCAACUAGGGUGAGGAAUCAACAUGUGGUUCAAAUCUUUCAUCAACAUGUGCUGGUCUAACGCAGUCAAUCCAGAAGUGAUGUAUCUUCUCAAAUUGAAAAUCAAGACAGUCCCCUCAUCUUUCGCUGAAGAGUGGAGGAAGAAGCCUCGAACCAAUGAAACGAAUAUGAAAAUUCUAGCUCUAACUAUGAGAUGGUUCCCCCCAUAAAUCCAUCCUUCUCGAUAUCAAAUUUUACCACGUCACCAAGCCAAUUCCCGAGAGCAUUCCCAAAAGUAGACAAUGGUUUAUAUAGGGGAAGAUCCUUAAUUAUCACCCAUGGCUCCGUCAUCCAAAACAUUAUCUUCGACGGCCUAGUUUUACCAUCACAAUUCUUCAAAACCAUCACACUAAAACCAAAUUUCCACGGUCCAUUAUAUAGAGCGUGAUUCUAAACUCCGUUUUGUCGAAUCUCAAGAUGAAGAUAUUAUUGCCAAUGGCUUCCUAGUAGAGUCCCCAUGCCUGUUGCAUAGCCUUAGCAAACACGUUGAUGUUGAUUUGCGGAAGUGAGCACGCCUUUCCAACAGCUGACAACUUAGUAGGCCUCGGUCGGUCUAGAAUCCACCUCAAACAUGAGAUCUAUUAGUUCCUUUUGUGUCAAGUUCAAGGCUCCUUGUUUUUUUGAGAGAUUCGCUACCUCCUGGAAGCAUUUUCGUCUGUCAGGGACUUUGAAGAUUCUCGGCUUAUCGAUCGUUGGUCACCCGCUUCACUGGAGUUGCCUGUCCAUGCCAUGCCUGCUCUUCCGGCAUCGACCAAUAGAUGAAUAAAACCCUAACCCUAGCACUACCUGUCGGUCCCCUAUAGUCUCCCUUAGCAUUUCCUUUCAUGGUGGGCCCGCCACCAAUUAUUCCUCUCCGUCCUUCCAUUGGUACUUUUUCUGCGGUGGAGCCUUUAUGCUUCAUUUGGCUUUCUACAAUGGUGGUUGUAUCCAGCUCAUAAGUCUCCUCUAUAUGUAGGAAGCCAAGAUGUUAGCUCUUCUUUUUUUUAAGGAAAAUACGUUAGCUAAUGUACAAGUUUCGUUUGAAAGAAGUCUUGUCGCAUGUAAAGACGUCACUGUCGGUUCAAUAUCCGGCGUAUCUCGUAGUAGGGGUCCUAAGCUAGGUGUCUUGGAGCGAUGGUAACAUGGACACGGGGUUUUACCCAGCUUCUGGCUCUCUUGAUGAGAUAAUACCCUAGAUGCUGCUUUUGAUUGUAUUCAUAUGGGGUGUAGUACAGAGUACAUGUGUCUACCACGAGACUGUGGUAAUGAAUAUGAGAUUGUCUAUUGACUAGCCUGGCCUCGGUUUAUAUAACACACCGGAGGCCUAGGGUUUUAGGAGAGUCCUCGCCUUGGGCGCCAAGUCUUGUGGAGUCUUCCUUAUAUGCGACAGGGGUUGUCCGAACUGGCCCAUGAGUAUACGGUCGGCCCAAUCCAACUGAUCGGGAGACGACGUGGUGAGUACCCCCUAGUCCAGGACACCGCCAGUCACUAAGAGUGCGAUACAUAUAGGUGCAUACUUUGCGGAUGAUGCAAAUUUUAGCAGAUAUGAACAGCUCCAGGUGGACCGAGCACACAAAGAAAUCAUGGACCAUAAACGAAUAAUUUCCAAAGAAACAAAGUCGCAAAAAGAGAGACGACAUUAUCUUCAUUAUGGAAAACCCUUAUAUUUUUAAACAUUGCUUUGCUCUUUGAUUAUUAACAGGAAUCUUUUUACUAAUAUAAUAAGUGUUAAUCUUUAUAGAUAUGGAAUGUAUUUUGUUCAGUAGGUUUUAAUGAAUCAUAUCAGUUUUUGGUAUGUUAAAAUUAGAAGAAGUUCAUGCGCCUUCAAGGCAUGUCACGGUGUGUUGUUCCACCUCAAACAGGGACAUACUACAUGGUUAUUCUCCCUGCAUAUAGCCCUCUUCGCAUGCUCUUCCUCUCUCUCUCUCCAUUGUAUAUUCCAGAACUGCUGACACUACUCCAUAAUGCCUAACUGGUGAAGGUCCAGAAACACCUAGCAGUGAUGGGUUCAACAUGCUCAGUAGUCUGUACUUAGUGGAGAAGUAACAAACCACUUAGAUGAACGUGUCCGCCAGUGAUGGUCAAAUCGAAAAAGAAAAUCGGGCCAUGGCCAGUCCAAAGCUAACACCUGCCAAUAAUGUGUAGUCUCCACUACUCGAACCUUCUUCUCAUCAAUAUAUUGCACCGUCUGAUGUUUGGAGAAGCCAUAGAGUUGGGGAUCCGAAUAGAGGAAACAAUGGUGGGGAGUGUCUUGAAGAAUAGGUAACGAGAAGCCGGACGGAGAAGGCCUCGACCAUGCUGCACCAUCAGCCCAUGAGCACUGACCUGUAUAUAUGGUGCAAGGACCGAGGCAGAAAUGAACACCAUCAUCGCCUGGGUGGCAGAGGGAGUUGGACCUGGGUGUUCCUCCUCUCGGACAAACUCAAUGAAUUCUUGGAGGCAGCACCCAUGCUAGAUUCUGCAGAGAUGACAACAUUUAGAGGAGGUGGAGGGCCAGCGCUAGGUUUGUUCCUCAUAGGGUUUAUUUUCGGGGAAGAAGGGGAAGGGUAUGACAUGAUGAGUGAUUAACAAGGGAAGUGUGUGUUUCUGUGGAGGACAAAUCAUGAAGACAAGUGUGCUAGUAGCUAGAGAAGGGACUAAUGAUAGCAGGAACGAAUAAUGAGCUUAAUGUGUGGGGCUACUAGUUUUAAGUUGUGAUCUAAAUGACAGGGUAAGUAUUUAGUCACUAUCGUGUUGUGACUUGGGCUUGUAAGUGGUGGGUUGUAUAUGAGUAACAAGUAGCAUGUUUAGCCUCAAUAUUGUUCUCUGUCACUGGUAACAAUGUAUCAUUGAUGGACCACAUAUUGGGCCCGUCACUACUAACUUUUUUCGACAAAAAUAGAUUUUUAGUUAUCGUCAGAUUCAUGGCAAACCCGCCGUCCAUUACUUCUAAGUAGCACUACUGAUGGGUUGUGUGACCCACCACUAUUGAUCAAUAACUAGAGGAUAACUCAAGCAUAGUGCACAUCCGUUUCUUUGAGAUUUUGUUAGUGUUUUCUUGUUCAUGGAGACAUAUCAAUUGACCCUAACAAGUGUUCUAUUUAGGUGGGGUUGUGAGUGAAAAUGCGGGGAGCUUGGCAGCAGGGAAAAUGGCACCUAGAGGGGCUCAUGUCUCCAUGAUGAACAACCACAACUUUGAUUUGAAUGAGCUACCGACUGAACAUGAGCAGCUCCAGCAGGAGUAGCCGCCCAAAGAGCAGGAUUAGCCGCCUGUGGCACAACAUGAGCUUUAAUAUUCACAAUGGCUGGAGCCUUCUCAAAUCCGCAUCUAUGAGCAAAAUAACUCUUCGCCAGAAGCAUAGCCCUGUUGGAAAUUAUCAAAAAUAUCUCUAUCCCGAGGAUAAUGGGAAGGCUUGUAUGGAACUUUUGAAUUUCUCUCUUCCUACUUUUUGCGAGUGACUAUCAUUAUUGCUAAACAUGAGGGGGGGGGAUUUGGUAUACUGCCUCAUGAUCACCCUAUCCACUUGAAAUGGAUUUUCUAUUCAUUUCCCAUGAUGGUUUUGAUAUCUCGAUUGUUUCAACAAGAAUAUAUUCAUUCGGUAAAGCUUUGUGAAACAUUAGCGAUGGAGCUAGGUCUCGGGUCAUGUGAAAAGACAGUAGGUCAAGAAGUGUGUUAGCUCAUGAGAUAAUAUAUUUUUGAAGUUGUUCAUCAUGUGUGUUGACACAAUGGGUCGUACGAGAGAAGGUUGGCACGAAUCUUUGGGUUUGAAAUGAGCUGUCUAAUUGGACCUUCAUGACUGAAAAAAGGGAGAAAACAUGGCUAAUAGGAGGCGCAAAUGAUAUGGAAGCUACUUUUUGGAUGGAAGUUAACUAUGGCUAUGCGACCACACAAGAUGUCAGUGGAACCGCGUCCUUACAUAUCGAGGUUGACUUCAUGUGCAAGCUGUAUUGUGACUAAAUUAUGGUAUAUGUAUGUAAUAACUUGGCAUCUUACCAAACACAAAACACCCCAAAAAAUACUAUUUACUUCUCUUCGAUGCAUAUUCUAGUGGAAGGGUAGUCAUAACCAUAUGGGGAUAUUUUUCCACAGUAGAAUCUAUAAUGGUCUAGUGAGGAAAGGUGUAAAUGGAGAGGAUAAUAGGCGAACAUGGAAACAUCCAACAUUGUGUUGUACUUGUAUCUAGUUGUAUAGUGAGAUAAUAUGGAAACGGAGGAGGCUCAUAGGGCAACACGAGAACACCCAACAUGUUGCUCUACUUCCUUCCUAUUGGUACCAAGAGACUGAGACUAGAGAAAGGUUCAUCAUAGCACAUGGACAAGAUCUCUCAUACAAGUUGAAAAUGGACCGAAUCUUGUAUGAAAAUGCUAACCAAGUAUGAGUGUGCAUCACAUACCAUUUCCUCCCUUUCUUUGUUGUAUUUUCCUUCACCAACCCCAUAGUACCCUAAUCGACACUAUUAAUUCGAUAUGCUUCUCAUCUGAGUUAGGUAGACUUAUUCAAGGGGAAAUAAUGGAGGUGUCUUAUCUAAAAUAGCCACAUUCCGGAUAGGAAUAAAAAAGUAGACAUAACCUAAUGAUUUGUUGAGAUUUGAAUCGAGAAUUCAACAUACAUCAACUAUCCUACAUGUAAAUCAAAUCCUCAUCCUACAUCGGCAUUGGUCUUUAGUUGGACUACCACUUUAUGGACAAGCCGUAUGGUCCAUGUGGUCUACGUCGCAGAGGCCGGAGAACAAGGAGCAAAUAGUUGUGGAUGUUUGGUAAUUGAAGUUAUUUGUCAAGAAAUUUGUUUCCCGUCAUGGUUUUUUUAAUUCAUUAUUUAGUAUUUGGUAUCGGUUCUAUGCUCUAAUGUGUAACCUUCUUCUGAUGGUUUGGGUUUAGCCGUCGGUGGUCAUGAGUUCAUUACUUAUGUUAACUACUAUUGUUGUGUCCACUUGUUCGCCAAGAGACUAUACAGUUAACUUAUAUCCUCCCGUAUCUCUAUUAAUAUAGUUGGCGGUGAGGUAAUCAUUAACCCUGAAUAUUACUCACCUUUGUCAAAUAGUAGGCCAAGCUGGAACUGUCCGGUGCAUCAUCUAUGGUCACAUAUGGUGUAUUUCCUAUUCUAAACUCAAUGAGUAUUACAUAAUGGCAUGUGCCUGCAGGGAGGAAUGAGUCACUCUUUUGUGUCAAGGGGAGACGGCAUGCGUAAUAAUUGACAAUGAAAAAUUAACAACCUACAUCAAAAGUCUAACCCAAGACAAUGAACAUGUGCCAUUGUAAUUUUACCACACUAAGUCAUCGGUAUUUCAUAAUUGAAUGUUCCCGAUGUCGUGACUUUUGGCGGUGAUAAGCCCAAAUAAUCGCCAUUGUGAAAUUAAAUUCUUCCAUUCACUUGAACCCACAUCCGUAAAGAUGUGCCAUUACAAUCCACGUCAUGGCUAUCUUGGAGUCCUUAAUAUAAUCAAGUGUGCCAAAUAUGGUGACUUGAUAAUCACGUAUACUAAUGGGGAGGAGCGAGGUCACAUUUUUUGCCAUGGAGACAUGAUAUUCCGUACUAAUUGACCCUAGGAAGCUAAUCGCCUCCAUCAAGUAGACCCCUUCCUGGUUCUCCUAUAACUGGAUUCCCCGAAACCACGAAAAUCCUUAGAAUUGGAUUACAACUUAGCACCUUGUGUUUUCACAUAGUAAGAAGAGUUGCUCCUUGGAGAGCACGGUAUGAUGAAAGUUGUAACCUGUGUUUCCGAGGGAGUUAUUGUCUCGCAACUUUGUUAUCAACUAUUCCGAUUCCAGCAAACGGAGGCCAUUGGGUCAAAGCCAUAGCGCACGCCUUGUAGUUUUGAAGUGGGGCGAGACAACUUUAGCUAGGAACCUAUUUUCCUUCUGACCAACUCCCUAAAAACAAUGUUCGACUUCAUGUGUAGUCGGUGUAGAUGUGUCAUUGCAUUUCCACCACUAGGAUAUCACCAUGUCCUAUGUAUUACAUGCCAACAUAUGCCACCAUAUGGUGACUUGAUAAAUUAAAUGCAUUUCACCAAGCUUUUCUGUUAAAAUUAUGGUGAAGAUAGUGACUCACAUGCCAGCCUCCCUAACGGGAAGCAAAAUCACUCUGACUUUGGCAACCUAAUUUUUUUUAUGGAUUCAAGCAAGCAUGUUGGAUUUGUGUAUUGUUUAUUUCCACAUAUAUGAUUCAAAAUAAAGGAAUCAAUACAGAAUAGGAGUCUUGGAGACACCCAUGUCAAUAAUGUGAAACUAUGGGAAAUCUUAUUAUGUGCAUCAAAAUAAGCCAAAACUCGUGGCUUAAUUGAUACAUGUACAAUCAUACAAUGGUUAUGACCCCUACUAAAUUCAUGAUGUUAACCAGUUCCCAGAAGUUUAAGUUGAGAAACAAGUUUGGGCAACAUAUUUCCAGACACCUGUCAUGUCUAGGAUUGUCUGAAGCCUAGGUAAGAUUAGUUAUGGGAUCAAUGCAGGCUAUUAGUACAUUGACUCGGUUCUUAACUCAAGUCCUCCUUGCUUGAUACCAUAUUGAAUGGCAAGUACAUCAUCAAUUUACUUAAGUGGGUGAACAAUGUUGGCUAGUAUAUUCCAACACUCACCUCACAUGCAUUUUUUAGGGGCAUAUAAUGCAUCGUGAUGGAUACAUUCUUUCUAAAGACUAAAUUCCAAUGGAAAAUUCAAAUUAAUUUAGUGGCAAUCUCGUAUGGCAAGGGUAUAUGGUAAAUGAAAAGGAGGGCUCAAAUGCUACUUGUUGGCACACACAAGUCAAGUUGUCUUUUAGCUCCCAUGUUGAUCCUCCAUGGUUCGACAUUGGGCAUUACACAGAGAACGAGUUAUCUUUACGCACUAACUAGAGCUACCAGACCAUGGAUGUUCCACCGUGAAUGUCCAUAUGGUGCAAUGAGUGAUAGCGGGGUAUAUUAGAACAUACAGUAUACACCGUUAAAGUAAUUAACUGUGCUAUUUUGCCUACUAUGACAAAAUAGUAUUUUUAAGAGAAAACUACGCAAGAGUUUGUGAUAUUUGUAUGUAAAAGCAUUAUUUGCCUUUGCUUGGUGUUCACGCAGUUUGAUUUAUGGCAAAAAUGGCAAAUCAUGGGACAAUAAUUGUUGAUAUUCUUUGUGGGAAAGCUAGAAGUUUUCACUUUUCAGAUCACGCAAAGUAUUGUUUUCUUAUAGGGGUGAUACAGGGUUCUAAAUCUGCAUUUGUGAUUUGUUGUCCAUUUAAAUUUUGUUUCUUCCAUAGAUUAUGUUGGUUUGUUGCUGUAUUUAUCUCAGCACUGAAGUAUACUGAUGUUAGCUAAGUCCAAUCAAAGGCCGAUGUUUCUAUCAUGUUAUACAAAUUAGUAAGCUAAGUACUGACCAAACUCAAGUUACAGAAGCCCAGACUACGUGAAAUGCACAUCAUGCAGUACACAUGUUCAUCUUAGUGUUAUGUUAUACUUGGCUCCCAGAUAACAAAUGGUAUCAGUUACUACUAUCUUUUGCAGCUUGUUUCUGCCUGUUCAUCGUAGAAUUAUCUUAUGUAGUCUCCCAAGGUUCAUGCAACUUGGAUUUUCAUACUUUGGUAGCAUUAGUGUUCACUAGGACUAGAUGCCACUCUGUAGAAGCUGGGGAUACAGAUGGAGAAAGUAGUCAUGUUUUUUUUUCAAAAAGUUUGUUCAUAUCUAUAACAGGUUUAUUAAUUUUUAGCGUACAGUGUUGUGAAACGUAGAGUGUUUUAUCUCAUUAAACAUUGAACUACGCUUGCAAGGGAAAAACCUUCAUUUGACAUCGAACUAUGCAUGCAGGGCAAACACCCCGUGCAUCGGUGCCACCACGCCGCGAACCUUGGGAGCUUGAACCUGGAUGGGUGUGAACUUAUGUUGUCAAGGUUUGGGGUCAGUCUUGGAUAGAGAAUAAAGGGGACUUUGCGAAACUGUUAUUAAUAAUAUGUAUGAAACAUUGCCUUGGGGAGAGAAUAAGAGAUUUCGGGAGAUAUUUAUAAAUGGAUGCAUGCUUGCAAUAGCAGUACAAAAUAUGAUGCUAACAUUUUAUUUUCAUUGUUCUUCCCAUUAAACUUCUCGUGGUGGCUCCAUUAUUCACAGCCUCGCACAUGAAAAUGUUAUUUCGUUCGGGUAAAUGUUGCGUGUCGCUGCUCCUGUAGUUUUGCGGUUUGCAUCUGCUUGAAACAUGUGAGUUGGAUUUUGCGAAGUUGCAAUGCAAAUUUGGGAUGCAGGGAAGAUAAUAAACAAUGCUUUCUAAGAGCAUUGGAUAUUGGAUGCCAUUCAGAUAGCACGCAUGCAAAUGCAAGAUGCAAGACGUUGUAGGCACAUCUCCAGGUUUAUUAAGAGAAUCUACAACCGAGAUGCCUCAUAUCCGCCCCAAACGCCAGGGCGAGCUGUCCGGUCGGUACUAGGACGAAAAAUUGCCACCCAACUGGACCUGCCAAAUCCGGCCCAAAUGUCUAGACUGACAUGCACUCCCCAUAUCAGGCCCAUAUCUCGAAUGGAUAUGUGGAAGCCUAGAGGCGCCAGGUAGGAUCCGGCCGACUGUGGCCCACCCGGCCCCACAUAAAUUGGACCCUAUCCGCACUUCGAGCGAAACCCUAGCCGCAGUCUGUCUGGCGUCCGAACGUCAUGGAGGAUCCGCAACCACUUUGUUGGCGCACCGAGAUAGAGGUGCACAACCGCUUAACGUCUGAUACAAAUACGGUGCCGCGCAUCCAGCGUGUUAGGCAACAGGCACGGGAGCCCGCGACAGCGCUCGUGCCACACGCCGGUGGGGUGGACUCCACUCUUCGGCGCGUCGUAUCAUGCCCGGCAGACCUUGGCGCCGAAAUCUUGUCGUGUUGGACGUGGCCGGCUCCACCAUGAUGGAUCAAUCAUCGACCUCACAUCCACCGAUGACAGGCAUGGCACGGGCUCCGACGAGAAAGAGUAGGCCAUAGGAGACGGAGCCAACUCAAGUUUCUUUAGCUGGGUCGUGUCCCAUGUCCUACUCUACCUCACCGGAGACCGACCCUCCACUUCGACAGGCUCAAACAGCCAUCGGACAAGGACAGGGCCGGAACAACAGGGACAACCGCUGGCGCAAAUUUAAACUACAGCCGUCGACCCGAGGUGAGCGCGGCACGAGUUAAUCACUGAAGAGGCUGGGCCCCUCUGUCGCCGGUGGUCGUGCAGUUGCCGACGCAGUCGUCCAUGACCACCACCAGAUCGACGCCACCGCCACUGCAAGUCUAGGCGUCUCUGUAGUGGUUGAUGUUAUUUUAGUGUAUUUUCUUUGUGUUAUGAUGAUUGCAUACUGAGUUGCGUAUUGUGGUGUAUUUUCUUUGUAUUGUGACGAUUGUAUACUGUACAAUGUAUUGUGGCAUAUUUUUUGUGGUCUAUUUUUAAAAACAAAACUAUAAAUAGCUAAAAGUGGUGUGAAGAAUAAAUUUAGACCCGCCACUACAAAACAAUUGCCAGUACUGGGCACAUAUUUUUGCCUACCAUUUAUUGUAAUGUCCGCCACUGCAACGAGAUCGACGUCGAUGGCGGGCUGUUUGUAACACCCGCCACCGUUAUAGUCAUCUGUCGCAGGUGGAGCGCCCGCCGCUGAUGCCAUGUUGCCAGUGGCGGGCGCCUCUGAGAGCCACACCCAUCAUUGCUGGGCUUUUGACGCCCGCCACUGCUAAGCAUUCAUGCGAUAGUGUGCAAUUGCGUAUCUAGUAGAACAUAUGCAACUAUCCUGCGAACCAACAGUUUCGUCCUACCAUGAAGUUAUAGUCGCAUUGAAGACAUUCAUUUAUAAUCGGAAGUGACGUUGCAGUUGCAUAUCAAGUAGGAGACAUUUAACUACCCUAAUGACAAAACACUUUUGUUCCCUAAGUUACAGUCGCGUUGGAGACAUGCAUUAGCGAAACGACACCACCUGUAGUUGCGUGUUUGGAGUUAGACAUGCAAAUAGCUCCAUAAUAAUAAAACUCUGAAUUUUUUAAUUUGUCAAUAUAUUUUGAAUUCACAAAAUCACAAAAAAAUUAACUUUUGAGGACAUUUUUUCAAGACAUUCUUGUUAAUCGACAGACAUUUUUGAAUCAAUGAAAAUUUCUAUGAAUUAACAUGAUUUUUUUUGAAUUGGCGAACAUUUUUUGAAUCGAUGACCAUUUUUUGAUUCAAUGAAUAUUUUUUACAUCAAUCAACAUUUUUUAAAAUUCACAAUAAAUUUUUUUGUGGACAUUUAGAAAACUUGGUGAAUAUUUUUUUGAAUUCAGAUAAUUUGGUUAAAAUUCACGAACAUUUUUGCAAUAUGCGACCAUUUUUCAAAAUCAUAAACAUUUUUAAUACAGGGUUUUUUAAUGAUUUCAGGAACAUUUUCCAAUGUUCAGGUUUUUAAAAAAAUUAGAAGUUUUUUGAAAUCCCGAAUUAUUUUAAUGAUGAAAAAUAAAAACAUAAAAAAACAAAAGGUAAAAAAAGCAUUAAAAACUAAAUGAAAAAUCAAUAGGGGCUUCCCUACCUGCUCAACUUCCGGACGAAUAGGCGCAUGCGGGAGGACUUGCACGCUGCCUCGUUCACUUGCAUGUCACGCGUGGGAUAGGAGGUCCCCUCAUUGUUUAGUCAAAGCUAGUUUAUCUCUUGUAGUGGGGCGCCACCUGUGGCUUUUACAAUCCCUAGAUAUUGCUUCUAUCUCAGCUUCGGUCCUCAUUAAUUAAAUAAAGUGAUGAUACUCCUCAAAAGAAAAUAGCUACAGUUGGCACAAAAUUUACUGCAAAUUAAUCAUGUGAUGAAAGACUUAGACGUGACAUAGUUUUUUUAUGGACCCUGAUAAGUGCCACAUGUCAGGGACGACCACAUGACAACUCUGAACAUCUUUUAUGGCAAGUUUAGUUACACGAGGAUGGCAAAUUAAUUGACGCUUCAUUCUAUUUUGAUAGAAACUUAUCGUGCGUCACUGGAAUUUGGCAUCCUUGCGUGACAAGAAUUGCCAUCGAAAAACGUCAGGCCCAAAGUGCCAAGCACCUGACGUGUAAGACUUAUCAUUUGGAUAUUUUAUAUCUAAGAUAUUAUUUACCAAUACCAUAGCUGAGACAUCUGCCCCAAUGAAGGCGGGGCUGAUGAAAAGUCAAACCCCUCGCCAGCCUAGUCAAAAGGUGUACACGGUCCCCCUGCCGCCUCUAGGGAAAUAGCGCUCGUACGAACGGUAUCCAGUCGCGUUAGGAACGGCAUCUAGUCAAAAUGGGAAGGACUAUCUAUUAUCGAAGAAGUCUACCGCUCUGGAGCUAUCAAAAUAAAUAAUGCCGAAGGUACUAACCCAAAGGUUGUCAAUGGGAAAAGAAUCAAACACUAUAUCUCAGGUACGCCUAUUAAUGUUGAAAGCAAUAUUAUCCAAACUAUGACACCGGAGGAACACAUAAAACAAACCUUCUGGAACACUCCAGAAUCGUGAAUAAAAGGAGGUACGUGCUACGUUAAGUAAACGGACUACGAAAAAUACACAACCCAGAAGGCAGGCAAGGAGGGCACAAGGCACCAUGGCGCGCCCAGGUGGGUUGUGCCCACCUCGGGUACCUUCCGGACUCCGUUUUUCUCCCGUUUGCUUGUUUCUCAAUAUAAUAAUUCUUUAUAUACCCUCCGAACCGAUUGACCACAGUAUCGCGGAGAAAUCUUAUGUUCUCUUUUCUUGCUGUUUUCUGUUAGAUCUGUCAAACCAGGCAUCAUGUCUUGUCCCUCCUCCAACAACGUAGAAGAGGAUGCUUGGUUGAUGAAGAUGGAAUUGAAGAGAGAAGAACAAAAAGAAGCCUUCAAGGGGGACAAGAGCAAGGUAGUUGAUGAAGAUCAAGCUCCAGCAGUAGAGCAGGCCUUGCCUAUGGAAGAAGAAGAAGAAGGUAUCCUUCAACCAUACUAUGAAUAUCUUACCCUCACUGAAAUUUAAGCUUUUAGGACAAUUGAAAUAGUUUGUGUUGAAAACAAAUAUCUGACUUGUGAAAAUAUUCUAUUGCAAGAGCACAUCAUCGCCGUCUGGAGCGUCGUCCGGAGAUUGGAGUAUCUUUUGAGCCCGAAGGAUAAGCUCGCUACUACCUCGUCACCACCACCAUCACCUUCUUCAUCACCAAAGGAGACUUGAGUAUCGGGUAUGGGCACUCCCCUUGGCUUGUGCCAAUCUUGUCGGAAGUGCCCCAGUAUCGUAUCACACCACCCCUUUUGCUCUUAUUUAUCUUAGUUCGAUCUUUAGUUAUCUUUUGAAUUAGUUGAAUAAAAGUUUAGUUCGAUCCUUUUCGAGUGUUUUUGCUAAGUGAUCUAUCUAUCUUUGUAAUUGUGUGCGAGAUAUAUAAUAAAGUUUAGUUCGAGUUUUGUUUUCUUUACCUUUUUGUUUCAUAAGGGGCAAUACAACGUGCCGUUCUUUUUCACUAGGAGAUUGAUCAUACAAACCAAAAGGCGCAUGAAAACAUCUGCUUCCCUCUGCAAAGGGCCUAUCUUUUACUUUCAUGUAUUUACUUUUAUUCAAGAGCCAAAUUAUUCUUCUCUAUUCCUUUUAUUUUUCUCUUUUCCAAGCAUCAUGUGGUGAGGAAAGAUCUAGGCACAUAUAUCCAGUUGGAUAUGGAUGAGCAUCAUGUGGUAAGGAAAGAUCUAGGCACAUAUACUAUUUGGGCUUGCCCAAUAAGGAAAAAGAUCAUCACCUAAAAAAUGUCAUCUCAAAACUAUAUAUUUCAAGUCUAAAACUAAAAAGGAAAAAGAAUUAAACAAAAGUAAACCAUAAUAUACUAUUAAAAAGAUCACCACAUAAAAAACUAAAAAGAAAAAAAUUGGAAGUGCCAAACUACAUGUUUGAAGGCUCAAAACUAUAUAUUUCAAGUCCUAAGCUAAAAAGGAAAAAAAGUAAAUUUAAAGUCCCAAACUACAUAUUUUUAAAAAUGUCAUUAUUUCCAUUUAAAAUAAUAGUAAUUUAAUAAAAGUAAACUAUAAUAUACUAAAAAAAUACCACCACAUAAAAAACUAAAAAAAAAAUUGGAAGUGUGAAACUACAUAUUUGCAGGCUCAAAAACUAUAUGUUUCAAGUCUGAAACUAAAAAGGAAAAAAAGUCUCAAAGUACAUAUUUUAAAAAAUGUCAUUAUUUCUAUUUAAAAUAAUAGAAAAUUAAUAAAAGUAAACUAUAAUAUACUAUAAAAAGGAAUAUACCAAAAAAAAGUAAUAUAAGAAUGUUGGUACUGACAAAACAACAGUACUGGCGUCGGUUACAACAGCACGUCACAACUAAAUAUAAUAGUGUUGGCGUUCCAUGCUAUUCCACGACAGCAAUAUAUUACACGUGAAUCAAAUUGUUGAUCCCAUAUAUUUUUGUCGUUACCCUGUUUCCAACGCCACCACUAUGCCCCUACUAAUGUCGUACCACAUAAGCCAACGUCAUCACUAUGUGAAAAACAUAGUGGUGGCGUUGGUUGUAAAUGGCGCGCUACCAACGAAAGUUGUGGCUAGCCCUUUUUCCACUAGUGAAGAUUGAUGGAGGCUGUUAGAUAAUGUUUAUACGUACCUUCUGUGUAGACUCUAUAUAUUGUAUUUGUACACUUCGUAUACCCUUAUAUAUGUAGGGUAACGCAGCAGAAAACAAAAAUUUUCCGACCUACGCACCAGCCCAGGACCACUAUGGAGACUGCAUACAUGGUUUGAUCUUUUUCGUUACCGACUCGUAGCGCAGCGGGAAGUAGAGUCGAUGACGAUCGGCGGUGCAGAUCCCCGCAGCUAGGAUUUACAACCUCCCAACCGCGAGGAUGUAUACCCUCAUCUGUUCCUCAGACAGCCCUCCGGGAGGCGGUCGAACAACCCCCCCGGAUGGUGUCGUGGACAGCCCUUCGGGAGGACCUUCGAAACUCGAACGGUCACUCGGACAGCCCUUCGGGAGGACCUUCGAAACUCGGACGGUCACACGGACAGCCCUUCGGGAGGCACUCACGAACUAAAACCGAAACUACGAACUCUCUACAGAGUUGCACACACACGGUGUCAUCUAUCCGGCAGGGCUUCGCCGUCCAGAACUAGUUCCCACCGGAACCCAGACAGCCUUUCGGCUCUACGAAACUAUUUCGCUGGGAGGGAGAGAGAAGCCAGAUCAUGCAUGGUACUUGUAUGUGAGAAGGGAUGAUCCUUUAGGUAGCCCCCUCCACCCCUAUUUAUAGGCCAAGCCCAAGGAUGGCUUCUCCAAGAAGCCAAGGGGGGAAAUACCAAAAAGGCCCUCAAGGUGACUUCUCCAAGAAGCCAAGCAAAAAGCACUUUCACUAUUCAUGAUGACAUUUUUCAGCGUCCGUUCGAACUGAAAUUAUUUAUGUGGGCUCAGAACAUUUCCAGUACCCACUAAAAUAAUUUUCAACGCGUUCCGAAACAAUUUCGGUUUAGUGAUUUUCAUCUGCUAAAAGCAAACAAGAAUGCAUUUUCACUAUUCAUGAAGACAACUUUUCGCGUCCACUAAAUCCGAAAAUAUUUCUGUGGGUCUUAGAAUAAUUCUAGUACGCACUAAAAUGAUUUUGGAUUCGUUCUGAAACAAUUUCAGAUUAGUGAAUUUCAUCUGCGAAAAACAGCCAAAGCGGUACCGACAGCUCCGAAACAUUUUUGGUUUUUAUUUCUGAAAAUUCCAAAAAGUUUCCAGAAUGAUUCUGGCACCCUCCGAGAAUUAUCAGGCAUGUGUCGAAACCAUUUUGACUUAAUGGCAUACCCCGAAACAACUUUUUUGGUUUCACCGAAACUCAUCCGGUGACCUCUCUCUGCGGUACGAUUCCGCCGUCCGAAACUUUUUCGGUGAUUUUCUCUCAGACUCCCUGUCUAGUAUUCAGCAGAUAGAUGACCCUUAAGCGUGUGACCCUAUAGGUUCGGUGAAGUAUAGACAUGACCUGGAACCCCUUCCGAUCAAUGAUCAACAUCGGAGCCGUGGACACCCAUAUUGACCCCUAUACCCACACGAAUGAAUAUUCGAGUGAACCUCCAGUUGAGGUGAGCUAUUCCUGUUGCUUCACGAUAUAUCACAAACACCUGAGGUGAGAUUUAUUGCAUCCCCGUGGGCCAACACUUUGUCCACUAUGCAAGUUACCUCGUUACCGGUUUUGUUCUCUUUUCUCGUUUCGUGUUCCGGCAUCCCCGUGAUCAAAUCACAAAGUGUCUGGCCAGACGAUGAUGGACACCGUAACACCGUGUGGGCCCGAGUAUAUCUCUCCAUCGUCGGAGGAGCAAAUCCCAAUCUUGAGCUAUCAAGUUACUUAACAUACUUUCCCAUGAACCCGUAAGCCGCCGUAAUAGCCAUCCAGUUACGGAUGACGUUUAACAAACCCCAAAGUUCAUGAAGCAAGCAUGAAGAAACUCGAUACUCUCAUGGUCUAAGGAAUUAUGCAAACAUUAACUAUCUCUGUGUUAUAAACCAUUAACUUGUGACGAAUGAAUCUCUUAGCAUAACAUCAAUCCGGGUCGAUUCAACACAAAUGUUCUCUUAACAUUGUGCCCUCAAAAUUGCUGGCAUAGACAUGCCCAUGAUCAGGAAAACAGAACCAUCAUGCAACACUUGAGCUAGUCUUAGAGGCCAGACUAGGAAUACUUCUUACCGUUUAUUAUUCCACACGUGCAUAUGAGUCUUCCUCUGAGCCUCGUGGAUAUUGCAGACUCGAGAAUCAUUGCAGUUAUAGCAUGGAACAUAAACAUAAUUAUGAACUCGGAGAUAAAUAAUAUCAUUUAUUAUUGUCAAUAAUCUAGCUUAUGCUAAUGCACUUCACACCUGUGGCACACCGGUGUAAAUAUGCUUCGCUUGUGGUAUAGCCUGAUGUCCAACGGAUCUGACGACUUCAGUUCCGUGUGUAUCUUUGCAUGUCCUCGCGUUUUCACGUUUUCACAAAAUUCAUAUUUCGUGUGGACUUGGCUUUGUAUGUAUGUGAAUCACAGGUCGAAUCUGGAUUCCUCAGACUGAGUUAUGGAGCAACUACCUGCAGUAGUGUCCCAUUGUCAAAAGCCAUCUUGGAACUAUACUAAGUUCAUGAAUGAACUAUAUGAUUCAACAUUUUCUUUGUCGCUUCUAAAGCGUCAACAUACUUAGCCCUUGUUAUAGAAUUCGCCACAGUAACUAGUUUGAACAAAUUCCAACUAACUGUGCCACCACAUUGUGUGUUACAUAAAACCCUUAAUUUAAAUCAAAAAUCGCAUGGAGAAAAGAUGAAGACUGUAUCGAUGUAACAUUUUACAACGAACUCUUCAUGAUCUCUGCUUGCGAGAAAACCAUGUCAUCAGUACUUACUCUAGUACUCUGUGACAUCUUUCACUGUUGUCCCAUGAUCAGUAAUUUGAUCACUUUGGUAUCCAUACUCGCAACACCUUGGGAGUAUCGAACAUAUCUGGUUGUUUUACAUACCAUGGAAUACAUGAUUAAUCCAAACACACGUGUGUGGAAUCUGCAUCAUGUAUUUUACUCAUCAGUGUUUUCUGACACCGAGUCUUUCAAAAACUCUUUCCAUGUGACUUUGGCAAGAAUCACUCCUUGAAGUUUUAAAUGCUAAAAGGUUUUAGCAUCUUGUCAAUAUGUAUUCAUUGCUUAGCCCCAUUAGGUAAAUCUAUCUACAUAGAUCAUCAUGCCUAAUAUUGAGGCUAUUUAGCCUAAGCACUUCAUCGAAAAACUAUUUUCAAAUGAAGUCCUAAUUUGUGUCAAGAAAUAUAUUUCCAAUUACCAAUAUGCCAAGCACAUAAGGUUUUUAGAAAUAUUAUUACGCUGCCACUUACUUUCUUGAAUUACAAGCAUCUUCGUUACCCAUUGAUGAAGUCAAAACCCCUUUGACCAUUUCAUCAAAACACGAAGAUUCCAACUCCAUUUUGCUCUCUUCUGUCCAUUGCUGGAACUCUAAAGUUUGCAUACCUACUAGCAUCCUUUGGAUCGACAAAUUACUUUGGACUGUAUCAUAUACAAGUCCUAGCUUUCAUUUCCAUCAGAUGGAAAUCCUUUUAUCAUCCAUGUUUCAUAUCUCAUGAUUGAAAUAUGUAUUAAUUGCUAGUUCAACCCGAACCGACUUUAAGCAUCGCUACGAUGAAAACAACCUCAUCGUAGUCACCUCUUGAACUUGUUAUUUCAACAAGUCGAGCUUUAUGGAUAAAACAUUUUAUCCAUAUCAAUUUUAAGUUCCAUAAAUAUUCGUUAGACUCUAAGUCUUCCGAAAGGUGUAUCAAGGUUUUAAUAUUGAAUCACUUAUAUGGAAACUAACUCGGGUUGUAUUGGCAUUUAGCCAAUUCCGGAGUCAGGGCCCAUCAACGCCUCCUUGUGUAUCGUAGGUAUAAUGUUGUCUAACAACAAUAUCUCGUUUGCGCACCUGAGAGGUUUGCACGAGCCUUGUCUACGUGGUUCAGCUGCAAGUUCGACCGAAGUUCAUACAUUUUAUUGUAGAGACUUCCGUAUCAGUUGCAGUAGGAAACUCUGGAAUUACUUCCAAGGUCUCUUUCCUUUGAUCUGAUGACGUAGAUACUGUUUAUCUCGUCGAGUUGCACUAUUCUCCCACUCACCUUUUUGAAAGAACCAUUCUCUUUAAAAGCACACCGUUUCGCGGCAAAACUAUUUGCCUUGGUAUAGUGAGGGAGGAAUACCCAACAUUUUGGUAUAACCUACAAAGUAGCACUUGUCUGAUUUGGAAUAGGUUUAUAACCUUUUACACAAGCCCCAUAUUCCAAAUGUUAAGAAAAGAUAUAACAUGGUUGGGCGUACCAUACCAUGGCUUCAUUUCAACAGACCCGAUAUAGCUCUUUUCAGUGUAAAAGCCGCAGUCUCUAAAGCAUCACUUUAAAAGGGAUAAUGACAAAUUUAUUUAUGUCAUCUUUGACCUUACCAUGUCAUAAAUGGUUUGAUUACAUCUCCACGGACUUUCCACUUGCAGUGGUGUUCCGGGAGGUCCAAGUUUAUGAAACCCCUUUCACAACUCAUCAGACAUUCGCUAAACAUGUAACUCAAAUAUUCCUUUGUGCAAUCAAAUUGCAGAAACAUAAUUUUCUUGUUACAAUAACUUCUACUUCAUUUUUGAGAACCUUUCGAAUGAUUUCAAAAGAUCCAGACUUACGUCUCAUCAAGUAAAUAUCCAUAUAUCUACGUGAGUCAUUUCUGAAGAUAAAUAAAUCCACCACUAACAACACUUAUCGGACUACACACAUCAAAUGUAUGAUCACUAAUAAGUUUGUUGUUCGUUCCUUAUGGCCUGUGAACGGUAUUUUAGUCACUUCACUUUUCGGAGGAAAGUUGCAAGUGUCAGAUGAUUCAAAAUCAAAAAGACUUCAAAAUCCAUCAUAAUGGAAUUUUCCAUGCGGGUUUCUCCAAUGUGACCAAAUGUAGUGCCACACUUGUGUGGUAUUCUUUUAGUCUUGCGACAUUUAGCGUCAGUGUUAUGGAUGUAUCAUAUUACCCUCAAUAUUCAUAACAUACGUCCCAUCGAUGAUGUAAGUAUGGCCCUUAUGUUAUUCAUAAUACUUAACAACAAUUGUUGUUUUUAUGAACAACUCUUUUGCAACAAACAUUGUGCAAUGGGCUAGAGUGUAUGAAACUCUAAAAUGAAUUAUGAAAGUAACCCAGAGGUAUUGUAUUAUUAUCAAUAUUCAUAACAUACAUCUCAUUCAUAAUGAAAGUAUGGCCCUUGUGUUAUUCAUAACAUCGAACAUAAAAAGUUCUCUUAUGAACAACCUUCUUGCAAGAUACCUUAUGCAAUGGGAUAGAGUUUGUAAAACUCUAAAUGAAUUAUGAAAAUAAAUACAGACGGCAAUACACCGAUGGAAGGUAUAGUAACAUUUACUAUGUUCCCUGUGUAUACCUUAACCUCAUUUCUAGCUAGUCUUUCAGGCCAUAGUAGUUCUUACAUCGAGUUGCAACAGAAUGCAAUCGAGCGGGCAUUUUUGUGAUGAACUCACAAUACCCAAGAAUUAGUGAUUAACAUGUUUAACCAUAAUUCGCAAGAACUAUAUCUUUGACCAGCCUUCUAUACAUCAAAAACUUGUAUGACAUUCAUACAUGAGCUGGAUAUUCCAGUCUUCUUUCCUUUUGCCUUUAUACUUCUAGCAGUUUAACUUUUAGUAUUUCUCCUACUCUCAGAAGAAGCACCCAACUUAAGAGUGGCAUUAGCCCCGGACUUCCUAGGCGUGUAAGUCAUACUAACACCCUUUGGACACUUCCUUUCUCUUUAAGUUGUUGUUUUAUUCACCUUUCAUUAUAUGACAGGCGUUCUUCUGGAUCCCUUUCCCAACAGUCAAAUGCAUAGUAAACACUUUUACUAAUACUUGCAAACAAACAUUGCUUUGUUUGUAUCUGAAAAUAAUUUUCAGUUCCAUGAAUAUCAUAUAACUAUCCCAACUUUCGAAGUUUGGGUUUCAUGGAAGCAAACAUAUUCCACUUGACCGUAACAGAAUUCUAGUUUUUGGAUCGAAGGACGAGAGUCACAUGAUCCAUAGCAUUAGCGGGAAGAUACGGAAAGCAUGCGAUAGGACAAAGUCCUUCUCGGCACUUUUGAGGACAAUCCUCAUAUUACGUUACCAAUCGUAAAGUUUUAACCAGAUAUUUAACAGCUAUUCAAUUUAAUAGGGAAGGUGGAAAUGCGAGCCAUUAUUCUACAACUAUUAUGCAAGAAACACUUAGACAGUGUUCAUAAUUAAUUGCACUGAGAAUUAAACAUGUUAAUUCAACAGUGCGCUCCCACUCAAAUCAAUAUCUCUCAUAAUUGAUUUAGAGUGAUUCAAGAUCCAUAUUUCUAUUCGAUGCCAUUGACGGGUUCAUCACUGAUGAAACGAAUUUCAAUCGGUAGGCCAACUUGCCAAUCACAUCUCUAUGUGAUUAUUGUUCAUCUUUCGAUGGGCGUGUUCCGAGCUCAGGACUCUCCUGCCUGAACGUCAAAGACAACCAAGUAAUCUUGCUGCGAGGUCUGACCUCACUCGCCUCAUUCCUCUCGAUUCGUUCGUGCUCAUGUGUACAUGGCGCACCACGAAAAGAUACGAAUUUCAAACGGUGCUACACUUGGGUGAACACUAACUACUUUGAUAUUUUAAGUGAGAGAUCACCCUAAUAAAAAGCGACUACCGCGCAAUCAAGAAGGGUGCAUCAUAAGGGAUAAACAUCUCAGGCAAUUCAUAAUAGCAUGAUAUGGUAUAGCCCUUUCUGAUGGAGAAGUAUUUCAUUUCUUCGUCUUUGGCAUUCGCGUCGGUGUUCACCUUCGCGAAGAUUGCCACCACCUUGAUGAUGCACCAGAUAAUAUUGCUAUCUCUAUAGCUAACAAAAUAAUGCAUUUCAACAAGGUUGACACGCAGGUCAUUAAAGUGCAAUCAUAUGGCUCCAGCCAUCAUGCCGAAUCAUGACACGCAGGUCAUGUUAAUCAAAUUACAUCAUAUAGUCAUCUCAUACAUAAUCGAAUUAGUAUGAGCACUGCUAUACCACAUCACAUGCACAUCCUGCAAAACCAAGUUAGACGCCUCUAAUCGGUUUAUGCAAAAUUUAUUUUACGUGGCUUCUAAGGUUUUGACUUAAACCGCGGCUACCAACAUUUUAUCAUCAAGUAUGAUUAUUCAGGUUGCUAGAUUAACAUCUCGGGGUGUAUGAAACACGGGAUAAUUAAAUCUCGAGCCCCAUACUAAACUUCGUCAUACGCAUGACCCCCGUGCAGAUCAUAUCUGCAAUGCCCUUUCAUCUGCGAAUUUCAUCUUUCUUUUGACUAUGGCAGAACCCAAAGAACUGAUAGCACUUCCAUGAUCAAUCAGGAUCACGGAUUGCCAGAACUUUGUCAAAUUCCACCAUGCUGUCUCGAGAUUGAGCAAACGCAAAUUCUAGGGAAGCAACAAGAACCUCGAGUAACAGAUUUCAUCUGUCACCCGCAUAAACAAUUUUCAGCAAUAGAUCUCAUCUACUACCUAAUUAUAUUAUGCAAUACCCAUACAUCUCCAUGUAUUCUAGAUCGAAACCUGCAUCUACGCAUAGCACCGCUCUUGAUGCCACUGUAGGGUAACGUAGCAGAAAACAAAAAAUUUCCGACCUACGCACCAGCCCAGGACCACUAUGGAGACUGCAUACAUGGUUUGAUCUUUUUCGUUACCGACUCGUAGCGCAGCGGGAAGUAGAGUCGAUGACGAUCGGCGGUGGAGAUCCCCGCAGCUAGGAUUUACAACCUCCCAACCGCGAGGAUGUAUACCCUCAUCUGCUCCUCAGACAGCCCUCCGGGAGGCGGUCGAACAACCCCCCCGGAUGGUGUCGCGGACAGCCCUUCGGGAGGACCUUCGAAACUCGAACGGUCACUCGGACAGCCCUUCGGGAGGACCUUCGGAACUCAGACGGUCACACGGACAGCCCUUCGGGAGGCACUCACGAACUAAGACCAAAACUAUGAUCUCUCUACAGAGUUGCACACAUACGGUGUCAUCUAUCCGGCAGGGCUUCGCCGUCCAGAACUAGUUCCCACCGGAACCCAGACAGCCUUUCGGCUCUACGAAACAAUUUCGCUGGGAGGGAGAGAGAAGCCAGAUCAUGCAUGGCACUUGUAUGUGAGAAGGGAUGAUCCUUUAGGCAGCCCCCUCCAACCCUAUUUAUAGGCCAAGCCCAAGGGUGGCUUCUCCAAGAAGCCAAGGGGGGAAAUACCAAAAAGGCCCUCAAGGUGGCUUCUCCAAGAAGCCAAGCAAAAAGCACUUUCACUAUUCAUGACGACAUUUUUCAGCGUCCGUUCGAACUGAAAAUAUUUAUGUGGGCUUAGAACAUUUCCAGUACCCACUAAAAUAAUUUUCAACGCGUUCCGAAACAAUUUCGGUUUAGUGAUUUUCAUCUGCGAAAAGCAAACAAGAAUGCAUUUUCACUAUUCAUGAAGACAAUUUUUCGCGUCCACUAAAUCCGAAAAUAUUUCUGUGGGUCUUAGAAUAAUUCCAGUACCCACUAAAAUGAUUUUGGAUUCGUUCUGAAUCAAUUUCAGAUUAGUGAAUUUCAUCUGCGAAAAACAGCCAAAGCGGUACCGGCAGCUCCGAAACAUUUUCGGUUUUUAUUUCUGAAAAUUCCAAAAAGUUUCCAGAAUGAUUCUGGCACCCUCCAAGAAUUAUCAGGCAUGUGCCGAAACCAUUUUGACUUAAUGGCAUACCCCGAAACAACUUUUUCGGUUUCACCGAAACUCAUCCGGUGACCUCUCUUUGUGGUACGAUUCCGCCGUCCGAAACUUUUCGGUGUCCGAAACUUUUUCAGUGAUUUUCUCUCAGACUCCCUGUCUAGUAUUCAGCAGAUAGAUGACCCUUAAGCGUGUGACCCUAUAGGUUCGGUGAAGUAUAGACAUGACCUGGAACCCCUUCCGAUCAAUGAUCAACAUCGGAGCCGUGGACACCCAUAUUGACCCCUAUACCCACAUGAAUGAAUAUUCGAGUGAACCUCCAGUUGAGGUGAGCUAUUCCUGUUGCUUCACGAUAUAUCACAAACACCUGAGGUGAGAUUUAUUGCAUCCCCGUGGGCCAACACUUUGUCCACUAUGCAAGUUACCUCGUUACCGGUUUUGUUCUCUUUUCUCGUUUCGUGUUCCGGCAUCCCCGUGAUCAAAUCACAAAGUGUCUGGCCAGACGAUGAUGGACACCGUAACACCGAGUGGGCCCGACUAUAUCUCUCCAUCGUCGGAGGAGAAAAUCCCAAUCUUGAGCUAUCAAGUUACUUAACAUACUUUCCCAUGAACCCGUAAGCCGCCGUAAUAGCCAUCCAGUUACGGAUGACGUUUAACAAACCCCAAAGUUCAUGAAGCAAGCAUGAAGAAAAUCGAUACUCUCAUGGUCUAAGGAAUUAUGCAAACAUUAACUAUCUCUGUGUUAUAAACCAUUAACUUGUGACGAAUGAAUCUCUUAGCAUAACAUCAAUCCGGGUCGAUUCAACACAAAUGUUCUCUUAACAUUGUGCACUCAAAAUUGCUGGCGUAGACAUGCCCAUGAUCAGGAAAAUAGAACCAUCAUGCAACACUUGAGCUAGUCUUAGAGGCCAGACUAGGAAUAAUUCUUACUGUUUAUUAUUCCACACGUGCAUAUGAGUCUUCCUCCGAGCCUCAUGGAUAUUGCAGACUCGAGAAUCAUUGCAGUUAUAGCAUGGAACAUAAACAUAAUUAUGAACUCGGAGAUAAAUAAUAUCAUUUAUUAUUGCCUCUAGGGCAUAUCUCCUACAAUAUAUACGAGAUAGCCACACCCAUAUUUGGUGUUGUGCAGUUUCCCAACAACAUAAUAUUUUACAGUCCUGAGAGGCCAUCCAAGGGAGUCCGUUGUAGGCUCAUGCCAUUUUUACCCUGUCUAACUAGACCUAAAGUGGCGAACUUACUAGCAUGUCGCCAUGUCCUUGGACUAGAGAAGGAAGUUGGAGUCUAGACGAUCGUCUUGGAGAUGGACUGCAAGAUGGUUGCGAGCAAGCUCAACUCUGAAGGGAAGGACGGAUCACCCCAUGGUCCGGCGGUUGAAGAUGUGAAGGGAAUGCUCCAAACUUUUAUUGAGUCCAAGAUCACUUGGGUUCAUAGAGAGAUGAAUUGUAUUGCCUUCAUCUUAGAUAAUGAACAUUGUCGGAAUGAGUUGUGAAAAACAUGGCUUGGUGUGCCUCCAAAUUGUACUAGCGCCAUUUGAACUCUGGCAUUGCCGAGAACUCUGUAUACAACGGCAACCAUUCUAUCUAAAAAAUGAUUCUUUACAGGUAUCUUUUGCCUUAUCAAUAAAUCGAGUAUAAAAAAUUCAGUUUAAAUUUGAAGCAAGGUGAUUACCAACAUACUUAUUUUAUUCCUUAUCUAUAUCUUGAUGCAUGGCUAUAAUAAGAUGAUAUAUUUUUUGUCAAAAAGUUGCUAGUAUUAAUUUUAAUUGACUAGGGAACUAAAUGAUAACUACUACUACCUUUUUCCUGAUUUAUUAGGGCUCCUUGUAGUUUGGGUCAAACUUUGACAGUUGUUUUAACUAUUAAAAAAUAAGUUAUAUACUCUAAGAAUAGUAUCAUCGAAAUCCUCUUUCAAAUAUGAACCAAACAAUAUAAGUUUUGUGACAUACAACUUAUAAUUUGUUAGUCAAAUAUACUGUCAAAGUUGGACACAAAAUACGAAAGGGACAAAUAAACCCGGACGGAAGUAGUAAUAGUAUUCCCUCCGGAACAAAUAAAUGCACUACCAAAUAGUAAGUAUAUAUUUGUUUCUAAAUAUAAGAAUAUUACUAUUAAAUACUACUAUAUAAAAGAUAUAAGAAUAUUAAAUACUAGUAUACCAAAGAUAUACCUAAAUAUAAGAAUAUUUAAUAGUAGUAUACGGAAGAUAUUCUACAGUUAAAUACUAUUAACUCUGUUCCAAAAUAUAUGAAUAUUACUAUAAAGUACUAUUAGCUGCGUUCUAAUAUUUAGUAAUAGAGAUAAUAUUCUUUAGUAGUGAUAUAUCUUUAUUCGUCAUUAAAUAUAAGAAUAUUACUAUAAAAUACUAGAAUCCCAAAGAUAUAUCUAAUAGUAUACUAAAGAUAUACAACAAUUAAAUAAUAUUACCUCUGUUCCAAAAUAUAAGAAUGUUAGUAUUAAAUACUGUCACAGCUAUUCUUAUAUUUAGUAACAGAGAUAAUAGUAUUUAAUAGUAGUAUAUCAUUGUUCCUAAAUAUAAGUAUAUUUCUAUUAAAUACUAGUAUACCAGAUAUAUAUCUAAUUGUAUAUCAAAGAUAUACCAAAAUGUAAGAAUAUUCAAUAGAAAUAUACCAAAGAUAUGCUACUAUUAAAUGCUGGUAUUAAAUAAAUAAAUCUGUAGUUCAACACGCGGUCCCCACCUUGGCCCAUGCCUUCGGUUUUAGUUCAUGAAGGGCAACACAUGCUUCUGCUCCUCGCUCACGUUCUUCUCAUCCGGCUCUCCUCGACCCACUCCGCGCGUCUGCUCGACCGAUCCAUCGCGAUGUCUAGCUCCAGUGUCACCGCCAUACCCCCAGCCAACCACGAGGAGCAGAGCCUGGCGGCGCCCGCCCUGCCCCCUUCGGCCGCCGUCGCCCUAGGGAAAGGGAAGGUGUUUGCACAACAGGCGCCUGCGCCGGUGGUUCGCGGGCGCAAGUCCGGGAGAGACCGGCAGAAAAGCCCGCCCCCAGCGGCCACCAGAGAGGAGCUGGAAUACCGGGAGUCCCGGAAAGGCCCCUUGAAGGUGCUUGCCCUCCCGGCAUCAGGGGCCCCGCGUACUCACUCUGUCUCCGGCGACAAGAUGAUGAGACGCGCUCGUGCCCCCACACUGCAUGAAAACGUUGUCUCCGACGACAAGAUGGUGAGCCGCGCUCGCGCCCCCACACUACAUGCAAACCCUGUCUCCGAUGACAAGAUGGUGAGCCGCACUUGCUUCCCCCUCUCCUACUAGUGAUUUGAACUUAACCGGUGCCUAAUGAUUUGAAGUUACUGACAAUCUUUAAUCUAGUCAUGUGAAUUAGUACUAGCGCUUACUGAAUUACCUGAUGUGCAUGUGCAAGAAAUUUCAUGGUGUCUAUAUGUCCUUGGACUUUCUAAUCGCUGCGGUGUCUUGUGGCAGAUGGACGGGAAUGAGAUGGCGCCGGUCCAGGGGGUGCCGCCCAUGCGGGGGAGCAUCGCGGCUUCAAGCUCGGUUGGUAAGUACUCCAUACUGGUUUUUCUCUCAGUAUCACGGUUGUUUUUUUGUCAUCAUUAGUAUAAUGAUAUUGGAAUCUUUCGCAAAAAAUAAUAAUAAUAAUAAUGAUAUUGGACUAAAGUUGGUUAGCUCUUUUCAUGCUGGAUUUUUGGCAUCAUUAGUAUACUGAUAUUGGACUGAAGCUGGUUAGCUCUUUCCAUGCUAGAUUUUUGGCAUCAUUAGUAUAUUGAUAUUGGACUGAAGCUUGUUAGCUCUGUCCAUGCUCGGUUUUUUGUCAUCAUUAGUAUAGUGAUAUAUUGGACUCAAGCUGCACAUGUUUUGUUUCCAUUAACGUUGGUCUAGAAGUGCUACGGGCCAGUCGACCUAUCGUGACCGCCAUACAUGCCUGAUUUUAAUCAAGUUCCUCCCAGUUGGUUUUGUCACUAGCUGCAUAUACAAACGCGAGCACGGUCACUGUGUUGCAGCAUGGAAGACAUAUGAACUGUGAUAAGAAACAUGCAAUGGCUAGAAACAUCUCCGUACAAUUUUUUGGCACGUUAUAGGUGUCAACGAAAUUAGUCAGCUUGCCAGCCGUCGGAUCUGACACGUGGAGCAUUGGAUCACACCACACAGCAGCAGAGAGAGUGGAACCCGUCUUCCUCCAUAGCCUCCACAAACCCUAUGUAUCCCCCACCCCUCCCCCAUCGCUGCAACAGACUAUUAUGCCAGGCCCCUUGCAGCACCUCACGUCCAUGCUCUGGUGCAUCCCUGAUGUCGCCUGGUAUCCUGCAAGCACUAUUACAGCGCGUCGGCGAGGAACAUUGUCUUACAACCGAGGUAGUUGAUGCGACCACAAUCCUCCUUUGUCGCCUGGUUCGUGGCUUGUGGCACUGAUCAUCGACUAAAACACCCCCCGUGAGAACCUGCGGUUGCACCACUGUGAGCUAUGCAACUUAGGAAAUGUUGCGACAACCCCGUGGGUGGAAAUAGAGCGAAUGGAUAUGGUGAAGAGAGACAAAUACAAGCGAGGGGCAUCUGGCGCUAGAGCGAGCUGACUCAUUUCCUCCUGAAACCAGUCUAUUGGAUAUAAUUCCAUUUUCUUUUUAGAAACCUCAUAACACUGUCGCAACAUGCGAGCAUGUCUAUACAAAAACUGGUAGAUAUAGAACACAUACUCAUUAACUGCAACAAAUCGGAGAAAAACCACAAUGUAUAUACGCCUGAACCGAUGGAUCAUUGCCAUGCAUCUUCCAACUCUUCCUAGGUUAGGCCCACCCGCGAACCGGUCAAUUCUGUCACAGAUCAUUGCCGAAUCAACCACCAACUUGGUUCUUCAUCUCGUCUCCUCUCCCCACCCUUCGCAACAUACACCCAUGUUUCUCAGCAAUAGACCCACUUGGAGGCCACAAUGGUGGCCAUGGUAGGCUAGUGAAAAGCACAAUGGUGGUCGGUCUUACAACACUAAACACAACAUUGCAACAGUGCUUGCUCAUGGUGCUGCAAACACAUACUCUCGUCAGGUGCUAUAAUCAUCUUCUCAUCUGUGCUACAACUACGGCCGGUGUUGCAAGGCGAUUGUCGCAUCAUUGCCAGUUUUGCAGUGGCUGUCGCAACAAUUCCUAAGUUGCAUAGAUCUUAGUGGUGCAACCACAUGUUCUCGCGGGGUGUGUUCUAUCCGACGACCAGUGCCACAAACCACGACCUAGGUGGCAAGGGGUGAGGGUUGUGGUGCCAUCAACUACCUUGGCUGUAAGACAAUGUUGCAAGGAUGAAGCCUCGCUGGUGCAAUGUAAUAACACUUGCGGGAUACACAGGCGACUUUAAGGAUGCUCUAGGGCACCAAUGUCAGGUGUUGUGAGUGGUUGACGAAAUAGUCUGUUGUGAAGAUGGGGGAGUGGUGGGGGAUACACAGGUUUUGUGGAGGCUAUGGAGGAAGACGGGUUCCACUCUCUCUGGUGCCCGUGUGGUGUGAUCAAAUGCUCCACGUGUCAGAUAGACGGUUGGCGAACCGACUAAUUUUGUUGAGACCUAAAACGUGCCAAAAAAAUGUACGGAGAUAUUUCUAGCCAUUGCAUGUUUCUUAGAACACUUCAUAUGUCUUCCACGCUGCAACACAUAGUGCCGGAGCUCGCGUUUGUAUACGUGGCUUUUGACAAAACAAACUAGGUGGAACUUGAUUAAAAUCAGGCGGGUAAGGUGGCCAAGAUCGGCCGACUGACGUGUAGCAUCGUGUGACCAACGUUAACGGAAAGAAAACAUGUGCAACUUCAGUCCAAUAUAUCAAUAUACUAAUGAUGACAAAAAUCAUAGCAUGGACAGAGCUAACAAGCUUGAGACCAAUAUCAGUAUACUAAUGAUGCCAAAAAUCCAGCAUGGAUAGAGCCAACCAGCUUCAGUCAAAUAUCAGUAUACUAAUGAUGCCAAAAAUCCAGCGUGGAAAGAGCUAACCAGCUUCAGUCCAAUAUCAUUAUCUAAUGAUGACAAAAAAACCAGCCGUUAUACUGACAGAAAAACCAGUAUGGAGUACUUACCAACCGAGCUUGAAGCGGCCACGCUCCGCCGCAUGGGCGGCACCCCCUGGACCGACUUCAUCUCGUUCCCAUUCAUCUGCCACAUGAGACCGCAUCUAUUAGAAAGUCCAAGGAUAUAUACACAGCACGUAAUUCUUGCACAUACACAUCAGGUAAUUCAGUAAGCACUCGUACUAAUUCACAGAACAAGAUUAAAGAUUGUCAGUAACUUCAAAUCAUUAGGCACUGUUUAACUUCAAAUUGUAGGAGAUAUGCCCUAGAGGCAAUAAUAAAUGUUAUUGAUUAUCUCCCUGUUCAUAAUUAUGUUUAUGUUCCAUGCUAUAACUGCUAUGGUUCCCGAGCCCGUAUAUCCAUAAAGGCUCUGGGGAGAACCCAUAUGCACGUGUGGAAUAAUAAACGGUAAAAUGUAUUCCUAGUCGUGCGUCUAAGACUAGCUCAAGUGUUGCAUGAUGAUUAUGUUUUCCCAAUCAUGGGCAUGUCUAUGCCAAGCAACUUUGAGGGCACAAUGUCAGGAAGGACAUUUGUGUUGAAUCGACCCGAAUUGAUGUUAUGCUAUGAGAUACAUUCGUCACAAGUUAAUGGUUUAUAACACAAAGAUAGUUAAUGUUUGCAUAAUUCCUUAGACCAUGAGAGUAUCGAGUUUCUUCAUGCUUGCUUCAUGAACUUUGGGGUUUGUUAAACGUCAUCCGUAACUGGAUGGCUAUUACGGCGGCUUACGGGUUCAUGGGAAAGUAUGUUAAGUAACUUGAUAGCUCGAGAUUGGGAUUUGCUCCUCCGACGAUGGAGAGAUAUACUCGGGCCCUCUCGGUGUUACGGUGUCCAUCAUCGUCUGGCCAGACACUUUGUGAUUUGAUCACGGGGAUGCCGGAACACGAAACGAGAAAAGAGAACAAAACCGGUAACGAGGUAACUUGCAUAGUGGACAAAGUGUUGGCCCACGGGGAUGCAAUAAAUCUCACCUCAGGUGUUUGUGAUAUAUCGUGAAGCAACAGGAAUAGCUCACCUCAACUGGAGGUUCACUCGAAUAUUCAUUCGUGUGGGUAUAGGGGUCAAUAUGGGUGUCCACGGCUCCGAUGUUGAUCAUUGAUCGGAAGGGGUUCCAGGUCAUGUCUAUACUUCACCGAACCUAUAGGGUCACACGCUUAAGGGUCAUCUAUCUGCUGAAUACUAGACAGGGAGUCUGAGAGAAAAUCACCGAAAAAGUUUCGGACACCGAAAAGUUUCGGACAGCGGAAUCGUACCGCAGAGAGAGGUCACCGGAUGAGUUUCGGUGAAACUGAAAAAGUUGUUUCGGGGUAUGCCAUUAAAGUCAAAAUGGUUUCGGCACAUGCCUGAUAAUUCUUGGAGGGUGCCAGAAUCAUUCUGGAAACUUUUUGGAAUUUUCAGAAAUAGAAAAUGUUUCGGAGCUGCCGGUACCGCUUUGGCUGUUUUUCGCAGAUGAAAUUCACUAAUCUGAAAUUGUUUCAGAACGAAUCCAAAAUCAUUUUAGUGGGUACUGGAAUUAUUCUAAGACCCACAGAAAUAUUUUCGGAUUUAGUGGACGCGAAAAAUUGUCUUCAUGAAUAGUGAAAACGCAUUCUUGUUUGCUUUUCGCAGAUGAAAAUCACUAAACCGAAAUUGUUUCGGAACGCGUUGAAAAUUAUUUUAGUGGGUACUGGAAAUGUUCUGAGCCCACAUAAAUAUUUUCAGUUCGAACGGAUGCUGAAAAAUGUCGUCAUGAAUAGUGAAAGUGCUUUUUGCUUGGCUUCUUGGAGAAGCCACCUUGAGGGCCUUUUUGGUAUUUCCCCCCUUGGCUUCUUGGAGAAGCCACCCUUGGGCUUGGCCUAUAAAUAGGGGUGGAGGGGGCUGCCUAAAGGAUCAUCCCUUCUCACAUACAAGUGCCAUGCAUGAUCUGGCUUCUCUCUCCCUCCCAGCGAAAUAGUUUCGUAGAGCCGAAAGGCUGUCUGGGUUCCGGUGGGAACUAGUUCUGGACGGCGAAGCCCUACCGGAUAGAUGACACCGUAUGUGUGCAACUCUGUAGAGAGAUCGUAGUUUCGGUCUUAGUUCGUGAGUGCCUCCCGAAGGGCUGUCCGUGUGACGGUCCGAGUUUCGAAGGUCCUCCCGAAGGGCUGUCCGAGUGACCGUUCGAGUUUCGAAGGUCCUCCCGAAGGGCUGUCCGCGACACCGGCCGGGGGGCUGUUCGACCGCCUCCGGGAGGGCUGUCUGAGAAGCAGAUGAGGGUAUACAUCCUCGCGGUUGGGAGGUUGUAAAUCCUAGCUGCGGGGAUCUGCACCGCCGAUCGUCAUCGACUCUACUUCCCGCUGCGCUACGAGUCGGUAACGAAAAAGAUCAAACCUUGUAUGCAGUCUCCAUAGUGGUCCUGGGCUGGUGCGUAGGUCGGAAAUUUUUGUUUUCUGUGGCGUUCCCCUACAGUGGCAUCAUGAGCCAUGCUAUGCGUAGAUGCAGGUUGCGAUCUAGAAUACAUAGAGAUGUAUGGGUAUUGCAUAAUAUAAUUUUGGAGUGGAUGAGAUCUAUUGCUGAAAAUUAUUUAUGCGGGUGACAGAUGAAAUCUGUUACCCGAUGUUCUUGCUGCUUCCCUAGAAUUUGCGUUUGCUCAAUCUCGAGACAGCAUGGUGGAAUUUGACAAAGUUCUGGCAAUCCGUGAUCCUGAUUGAUCAUGGAAGUGCUAUCAGUUCUUUGGGUUCUCCCGUAGUCAAAAGAAAGAUGAAAUUCGCAGAUGAAAGGGCAUUGCAGAUAUGAUCUGCACGGGGGUCAUGCGUAUGAUGAAAUUUAGUAUGGGGCUCGGGAUUUAAUUAUCCCGUGUUUCAUACACCCCGAGAUGUUAAUCUAGCAACCUGAAUAAUCAUACUUGAUGAUAAAAUGUUGGUAGCUGCGUUUUAAGUCAAAACCUUAGAAGCCACGUAAAAUAAAUUUUGCAUAAACCGAUUAGAGGCGUCUAACUUGGUUUUGCAGGAUGUGCAUGUGAUGUGGUAUAGCAGUGCUCAUACUAAAUUCGAUUAUGUAUGAGAUGACUAUAUGAUGUAAUUUGAUUAACAUGACCUGCGUGUCAUGAUUCGGCAUGAUGGCUGGAGCCAUAUGAUUGCACUUCAAUGACCUGCGUGUCAACCUUGUUGUAAUGCAUUAUUUUUUUAGCUAUAGAGAUAGCAAUAUUAUCUGGUGCAUCGACAAGGUGGUGGCAAUCUUCGCAAAGGUGAACACCGACGCGAAUGCCGAAGACGAAGAAAUGAAAUACUUCUCCGUCAGAAAGGGCUAUACCAUAUCAUGCUAUUAUGAAUUGCCUGAGAUGUUUAUCCCUUAUGAUGCACCCUUCUUGAUUGCGCGGUAGUCGCUUUUUAUUAGGGUGAUCUCUCACUUAAAAUAUCAAAGUAGUUAGUGUUCACCCAAGUGUAGCACCGUCCGAAAUUCGUAUCUUUUCGGGGUGCGCCAUGUACACAUGAGCACGAACGAAUCGAGAGGAAUGAGGCGGGUGAGGUCACACCUCGCAGCAAGAUCACUUGGUUGUCUUUGACGUUCAGGCAGGAGAGUCCUGAGCUCGGAACACGCCCAUCAAAAGAUGAACAAGAAUCACAUAGAGAUGUGAUCGGCAAGUUGGCCUACGGAUUGAAAUUCGUGUCAUCAGUGAUGAACCCGUCAAUGGCAUCGAAUAGAAAUAUGGAUCUUGAAUCACUCUAAAUCAAUUAUGAGAGAUAUUGAUUUGAGUGGGAGCGCGUUGUUGAAUUAACAUGUUUAAUUCUCAGUGCAAUUAAUUAUGAACACUGUCUAAGUGUUUCUUGCAAAAUAGUUGUAGAAUAAUGGCUCGCGUUUCCCCCUUCCCUGUUAAAAUUGAAUAGCUGUUAAAUAUCUGGUUAAAACAUUACGAUUGGUAACGUAAUGUGAGGAUUGUCCUCAAAAGUGCCGAGAAGGACUUUGUCUUAUCGCAUGCUUUCCGUAUCCUCCCGCUAAUGCUAUGGAUCAUGUGACUCUCGUCCUUCGAUCCAAAAGCUAGAAUUCUGUUACGGUCAAGUGGAAUAUGUUUGCUUCCAUGAAACCCAAACUUCGAAAGUUGGGAUAGUUAUAUGAUAUUCAUGGAACUGAAAAUUAUUUUCAGAUACAAACAAAGCAAUGUUUGUUUGCAAGUAUUAGUAAAAGUGUUUACUAUGCAUUUGACUGUUGGGAAAGGGAUCCAGAAGAACGCCUGUCAUAUAAUGAAAGGUGAAUAAAACAACAACUUAAAGAGAAAGGAAGUGUCCAAAGGGUGUUAGUAUGACUUACACGCCUAGGAAGUCCGGGGCUAACGCCACUCUUAAGUUGGGUGCUUCUUUUGCGAGUAGGAGAAAUACUAAAAGUUAAACUGUUAGAAGUAUAAAGGCAGAAAGAAAGAUGACUGGAAUAUCCAGCUCAUGUAUGAAUGUCAUACAAGUUUUUGAUGUAUAGUAGGCUGGUCAAAGAUAUAGUUCUUGGGAAUUAUGGUUAAACAUGUUAAUCACUAAUUCUUGGGUAUUGUGAGUUAAUCACAAAGAUACCCGCUCGAUUGCAUUCAAUUGUGAAUCACUGUAAGAGCUACUAUGGCCUAAAAAGACUAGCCAAAAAUGAGGUUAAGGUAUACACAGGAAACAUAGUAAAUGUUAUUAUACCUUCCAUCGGUGUAUUGCCGUCUGUAUUUAUUUUCCUAAUUCAUUUAGAGUUUUACAAACUCUAGCCCAUUGCAUAAGGUAUCUUGCAAGAAGGUUGUUCAUAAGAGAACUUUUUAUGUUCGAUGUUAUGAAUAACACAAGGGCCAUACUUUCAUUAUGAAUGAGAUGUAUGUUAUGAAUAUUGAUAAUAAUACAAUACCUCUAGGUUUACUUUCAUAAUUCAUUUUAGAGUUUCAUACACUCUAGCCCAUUGCACAAUGUUUGUUGCAAAAGAGUUGUUCAUAAAAACAACAAUUGUUGUUAAGUAUUAUGAAUAACAUGAAGGGCCAUGCUUCCAUCCAAGAUGGCAUGUAUGUUAUGAAUAUUGAUGGUAAUAUGAUACAUCCAUAACACUGACGCUAAAUGUUGCAAGACUAAAAGAAUACCACACAAGUGUGGCACUACAUUUGGUCACAUUGGAGAAACCCGCAUGGAAAAUUCCAUUAUGAUGGAUUUUGAAGUCUUUUUGAUUUUGAAUCAUCUGACACUUGCAACUUUCCUCCGAAAAGUGAAGUGACUAAAAUACCAUUCACAAGCCAUAAGGAACGAACAACAAACUUAUUAGUGAUCAUACAUUUGAUGUGUGUAGUCCGAUAAGUGUUGUUAGUGGUGGAUUUAUUUAUCUUCAGAAAUGACUCAAGUAGAUAUAUUGAUAUUUACUUGAUGAGACGUAAGUCUGGAUCUUUUGAAAUCAUUCGAAAGGUUUUCAAAAAUGAAGUAGAAGUUAUUGUAACAAGAAAAUUAUGUUUCUGCAAUUUGAUUGCACAAAGGAAUAUUUGAGUUACAUGUUUAGCGAAUGUCUGAUGAGUUGUGAAAGGGGUUUCAUAACUUGCACCUCCCGGAACACCACUUCAAGUGGAAAGUCCGUGAAGAUGUAAUCGAACCAUUUAUGACAUGGUAAGAUCAAAGAUGACAUAAAUAAAUUUGCCAUUAUCCCUUUUAAAGAGUGAUGCUUUAGAGACUAUGGCUUUUACACUGAAAAGAGCUUCAUCAGGUCUGUUGAAAUGAAGCCAUGGUAUGGUACGCCCAACCAUGUUGUAUCUUUUCUUAACAUUUGGAAUAUGGGGCUUGUGUAAAAGGUUACAAACCUAUUCCAAAUCAGACAAGUGCUACUUUGUAGGUUAUCCCAAGUCAUUGGGUAUUCCUCCCUCACUAUACCGAGGCAAAUAGGUUUGCCACAAAGAACGGUAUGCUUUAAAAGAGAAUGGUUCUUUCUAAAAGGUGAGUGGGAGAAUAGUGCAACUCGACGAGAUAAACAGUAUCUUCAUCAGAUCAAAGGAAAGAGACCUUGGAAGAAAUUCCAGCGUUUCCUACUGCGACUGAUACGGAAGUCUCUACAAUAAAAUGUAUGAACUUCGGUCGAACUUGGAGCUGAACCACGUAGGCAAGGCUCGUGCAAACCUCUCAGGUGCGCAAAUGAGAUAUUGUUGUUAGACAACAUUAUACCUACGAUACACAAGGAAGCGUUGAUGGGCCCUGACUCCGGAAUUGGCUAAAUGCCAAUACAACCCGAGUUAGUUUCCAUAUAAGUGAUUCAAGAUUAAAACCUUGAUACACCUUUCAGAAGACUUAGAGUCUAAAGAAUAUUUAUGGAACUUAAAACUGAUACGGAUAAAAUGUUUUAUCCAUAAAGCUCGACUUGUUGAAAUAACAAGUUCAAGAGUUGACUACGAUGAGGUUGUUUUCAUCAUAGCGAUGCUUAAAGUCGGUUCGGGUUGAACUAGCAAUUAAUACAUAUUUCAAUCAUGAGAUAUGAAACAUGGAUGAUAAAAGGAUUUCUAUCUGAUGGAAAUGAAAGCUAGGACUUGUAUAUGAUACAGUCCAAAGUAAUUUGUCGAUCCAGAGGAUGCUAGUAGGUAUGCAAACUUCGGAGUUCCAGCAAUGGACAGAAGAGAGCAAAAUGGAGUUGGAAUCUUCGUGUUUUGAUGAAAUGGUCAAAGGGGUUUUGACUUCAUCAAUGGGUAACGAAGAUGCUUGUAAUUCAAGAAAGUAAGUGGGAGCGUAAUAAUAUUUCUAAAAACCUUAUGUGCUUGGCACAUUGGUAAUUGGAAAUAAAUUUCUUGACACAAAUUAGGACUUCAUUUGAAAAUAGUUUUUUGAUGAAGUGCUUAGGCUAAAUAGCCUCAAUAUUAGGCAUGAUGAUCUAUGGAGAUAGAUUUACCUAAUGGGGCUAAGCCAUGAAUACAUAUUGACAAGAUGCUAAAACCUUUUAGCAUUUAAAACGCCAAGGAGUGAUUCUUGCCAAAGUCACACGGAAAGAGUUUUUGCAAGACUCAGUGUCCCAAAACACUGAUGAGUAAAAUACAUGAUGCAGAUUCCACACACUUUUGUGUUUGGAUUAAUCAUGUAUUCCAUGGUAUGUAAAACAACCAGAUAUGUCCGAUACUCCCAAGGUGUUGCGAGUAUGGAUACUAAAGUGAUCAAAUUACUGAUCAUGGGACAACAGUGAAAGAUGUCACAGAGUACUAGAGUAAGUACUGAUGACAUGGUUUUCUCGCAAGCAGAGAUCAUGAAGAGUUCGUUGUAAAAUGUUACAUCGAUACAGUAUUCAUCUUUUCUCCAUGCGAUUUUCGAUUUAAAUUAAGGGUUUUGUGUAACACACAAUGUGGUGGCACAAUUAGUUGGAAUUUGUUCAAACUAGUUACUGUGGCGAAUUAUAUAACAAGGGCUAAGUAUGUUGACGCUUUAGAAGCGACAAAGAAGAUGUUGAAUCAUAUAGUUCAUUCAUGAACUUAGUAUAGUUCCAAGAUGGCUUUUGACAAUGGGACACUACUGCAGGUAGUUGCUCCAUAACUCAGUCUGAGGAAUCCAGGUUCGACCUGUGAUUCACAUACAUACAAAGCCAAGUCCACACAAAAUAUGAAUUUUGUGAAAACGUGAAAACGCGAGGACAUGCAAAGAUACACACGGAACUGAAGUCGUCAGAUCCGUUGGACAUCAGGCUAUACCACAAGCGAAGCAUAUUUACACCUGUCUGCCACAGGUGUGAAGUGCAUUAGCAUAAGCUAGAUUAUUGUCUCUAGUGCAAGUGGGAGUCUGUAGGAGAUAUGCCCUAGAGGCAAUAAGAAAUGUUAUUGAUUAUCUCCCUGUUCAUAAUUAUGUUUAUGUUCCAUGCUAUAACUGCUAUGGUUCCCGAGCCCGUAUAUCCAUAAAGGCUCUGGGGAGAACCCAUAUGCACGCGUGGAAUAAUAAACGGUAAAAUGUAUUCCUAGUCGUGCGUCUAAGACUAGCUCAAGUGUUGCAUGAUGAUUAUGUUUUCCCAAUCAUCGGCAUGUCUAUGCCAAGCAACUUUGAGGGCACAAUGUUAGGAAGGACAUUUGUGUUGAAUCGACCCGAAUUGAUGUUAUGCUAUGAGAUACAUUCAUCACAAGUUAAUGGUUUAUAACACAAAGAUAGUUAAUGUUUGCAUAAUUCCUUAGACCAUGAGAGUAUCGAGUUUCUUCAUGCUUGCUUCAUGAACUUUGGGGUUUGUUAAACGUCAUCCGUAACUGGAUGGCUAUUACGGCGGCUUACGGGUUCAUGGGAAAGUAUGUUAAGUAACUUGAUAGCUCGAGAUUGGGAUUUGCUCCUCCGACGAUGGAGAGAUAUACUCCGGCCCUCUCGGUGUUACGGUGUCCAUCAUCGUCUGGCCAGACACUUUGUGAUUUGAUCACGGGGAUGCCGGAACACGAAACGAGAAAAGAGAACAAAACCGGUAACGAGGUAACUUGCAUAGUGGACAAAGUGUUGGCCCACGGGGAUGCCAUAAAUCUCACCUCAGGUGUUUGUGAUAUAUCGUGAAGCAACAGGAAUAGCUCACCUCAACUGGAGGUUCACUCGAAUAUUCAUUCGUGUGGGUAUAGGGGUCAAUAUGGGUGUCCACGGCUCCGAUGUUGAUCAUUGAUCGGAAGGGGUUCCAGGUCAUGUCUAUACUUCACCGAACCUAUAGGGUCACACGCUUAAGGGUCAUCUAUCUGCUGAAUACUAGAUAGGGAGUCUGAGAGAAAAUCACCGAAAAAGUUUCGGACACCGAAAAGUUUCGGACAGCGGAAUCGUACUGCAGAGAGAGGUCACCCGAUGAGUUUCGGUGAAACCAAAAAAGUUGUUUCGGGGUAUGCCAUUAAAGUCAAAAUGGUUUCGGCACAUGCCUGAUAAUUCUUGGAGGGUGCCAGAAUCAUUCUGGAAACUUUUUGGAAUUUUCAGAAAUAAAAACCGAAAAUGUUUCGGAGCUGCCGGUACCGCUUUGGCUGUUUUUCGUAGAUGAAAUUCACUAAUCUGAAAUUAUUUCAGAACGAAUCCAAAAUCAUUUUAGUGGGUACUGGAAUUAUUCUAAGACCCACAGAAAUAUUUUCGGAUUUAGUGGACGCGAAAAAUUGUCUUCACGAAUAGUGAAAACGCAUUCUUGUUUGCUUUUCGCAGAUGAAAAUCACUAAACUGAAAUUGUUUCGGAACGCGUUGAAAAUUAUUUUAGUGGGUACUGGAAAUGUUCUGAGCCCACAUAAAUAUUUUCAGUUCGAACGGACGCUGAAAAAUGUCGUCAUGAAUAGUGAAAGUGCUUUUUGCUUGGCUUCUUGGAGAAGCCACCUUGAGGGCCUUUUUGGUAUUUCCCCCCUUGGCUUCUUGGAGAAGCCACCCUUGGGCUUGGCCUAUAAAUAGGGGUGGAGGGGGCUGCCUAAAGGAUCAUCCCUGCUCACAUACAAGUGCCAUGCAUGAUCUGGCUUCUCUCUCCCUCCCAGCGAAAUAGUUUCGUAGAGCCGAAAGGCUGUCUGGGUUCCGGUGGGAACUAGUUCUGGACGGCGAAGCCCUGCCGGAUAGAUGACAUCGUAUGUGUGCAACUCUGUAGAGAGAUCGUAGUUUCGGUCUUAGUUCGUGAGUGCCUCCCGAAGGGCUGUCCGUGUGACCGUCCGAGUUUCAAAGGUCCUCCCGAAGGGCUGUCCGAGUGACCGUUCGAGUUUCGAAGGUCCUCCCGAAGGGCUAUCCGCGACACCGGCCGGGGGGGCUGUUCGACCGCCUCCCGGAGGGCUGUCUGAGAAGCAGAUGAGGGUAUACAUCCUCGCGGUUGGGAGGUUGUAAAUCCUAGCUGCGGGGAUCUGCACCGCCGAUCGUCAUCGACUCUACUUCCCGCUGCGCUACGAGUCGGUAACGAAGAAGAUCAAACCUUGUAUGCAGUCUCCAUAGUGGUCCUGGGCUGGUGCGUAGGUCGGAAAUUUUUGUUUUCUGUGGCGUUCCCCUACACAAAUCACUACUAGGAGAGGGGGGAGGAGCGCGGCUCACCAUCUUGUCGCCGGGGACAGCCUUUGCACGCGAGGUGGGGGCGCGAGCGCGGCUGACCAUCUUACCGUCAGAGACAGUGUGAGUACGCGGGGCCCCUGGGAGUGCAAGUACCUUCAAGGGUCCUUCCCGGGACUCCUGGAAUUCCAGCUCCUCUCUGGUGGCCUCUAGGGGCCGGGAUUUCUGCCGGCGUGUUCUGGACUUGCGCUUGCGAACCACCGGCACAGAUGUCUAUUGCGCAAGCACCUUCCCUUUCCCUGGGCGACGACGACCGCAGGGGGCGGGGCGGGGGCCGCGAGGCUCUGCUCCUCGUGGUUGGCGUUGACGCCGGAGCUAGACAUCGCAGUGGAUCGGUCGAGCAGACGUGCGGAGUUGGUCGAGGAGAGCGGGAUGAGAAGAAUGUGAACGAGCAGGACACGAGGAGCAGAAGUGUGUGUUGCCUUUUAUGAACUGAAAUAGAAAGGCAUGGGGCAAGGUGGGGACCGUGUGUGCAUGUACAAAUUUAUUUAUUUAAUACUAGUAUUUAAUAGUAGUAUAUCAUUGGUAUAUUUNNNNNNNNNNNNNNNNNNNNNNNNNNNNNNNNNNNNNNNNNNNNNNNNNNNNNNNNNNNNNNNNNNNNNNNNNNNNNNNNNNNNNNNNNNNNNNNNNNNNNNNNNNNNNNNNNNNNNNNNNNNNNNNNNNNNNNNNNNNNNNNNNNNNNNNNNNNNNNNNNNNNNNNNNNNNNNNNNNNNNNNNNNNNNNNNNNNNNNNNNNNNNNNNNNNNNNNNNNNNNNNNNNNNNNNNNNNNNNNNNNNNNNNNNNNNNNNNNNNNNNNNNNNNNNNNNNNNNNNNNNNNNNNNNNNNNNNNNNNNNNNNNNNNNNNNNNNNNNNNNNNNNNNNNNNNNNNNNNNNNNNNNNNNNNNNNNNNNNNNNNNNNNNNNNNNNNNNNNNNNNNNNNNNNNNNNNNNNNNNNNNNNNNNNNNNNNNNNNNNNNNNNNNNNNNNNNNNNNNNNNNNNNNNNNNNNNNNNNNNNNNNNNNNNNNNNNNNNNNNGUAGAAUAUCUUCGGUAUACUAGUAUUAAAUAUUCUUAUAUAUUAGAUAUCUCUUUGGUACACUAUUAAAUAUAUCUUUGGUAUACUAGUAUUUAAUAGUAAUAUUCUUAUAUUUAGCAACAAAUAUAUACUUACUACUAGUAUUUGGUUGUGCAUUAUUUGUUCCGGAGGGAGUACUAUUAGUAAUCAUGAUUUAGUUCCCUAGUCAAUUAAUAUAUAACAAUUAAUACAAUAUUAGCAAUUUUUUGAAAAAAAAUAUAUCAUCUUAUUGUAGCCAUGCAUUAAGAUAUAUAUACUGAAUAAAAUAAAUACGCUGAUAAUCACCUUGCUCCUAAUUUGAACUCGAUUUAUUGAUAAGGAAAAAGAUACAUGUAAAUAAUCAUUUUUUAGAUAGAAGGUUGCCACUGUAUUCAGAGCUCUCGGCGGUGCGAGAGUUCAAAACGGCGCUAGUAUAAUCCGAAGGCACAUUAAGCCUUGUUUUUCACAAUUCAUGCUGACAACCUUCCUUAGCUAACAUGCAUGCCAUGCAAUUCACCUCUCUACGAACCAAAGUGAUCUUUGACUCAACAAUAGUUUAGAGCAUGCCGUUCACAUGUUCAACCGCUGGACCAUGGGGUGAGCCGUCCUUCCCUUCAGAGUUGAGCUUGGUCACCACCAUCUUGCAGUCCAUCUCCAAGACGAUCGUCUAGACUCCAACUUCCUUCUCUAGUGCAAGGACAUGGCGACAUGCUAGUAACUCCGCUACUGUAGGUUUAGUUAGAGAGGGUAAAAAUGGCAUGAGCCUACAACGAACUCCCUUGGAUGGCCUCUCAGGACCGCCCCUCGUCCUCUGUCUUGAUUCUUGGCACAUACACCGUCAGCAUUGCCCUAGAUCCACCCAUGCUCUAUGUUGAAAAUGAGUGUUUUGGCAAUGCUUAACGAUGUAUUGGUCGGUGCAUAGCGCACGUAUAUACGGAGUACAAGGUGGGCCACAGCCUCAACUAUACAAUGACUAGGAGGUGGGCCGGGCUAUACAAUAUACAUGCANNNNNNNNNNNNNNNNNNNNNNNNNNNNNNNNNNNNNNNNNNNNNNNNNNNNNNNNNNNNNNNNNNNNNNNNNNNNNNNNNNNNNNNNNNNNNNNNNNNNNNNNNNNNNNNNNNNNNNNNNNNNNNNNNNNNNNNNNNNNNNNNNNNNNNNNNNNNNNNNNNNNNNNNNNNNNNNNNNNNNCGCAAAGACUGGACCUAAACUGCUCGAAAACAGAAGUAGGCAGUCCUUUUGUCAUGACAUCGGCGAACUGUUGCGCCGUCGGGACGUGGAGGACCCGGAUGCGCCCAAGAGCCACCUGCUCACGAACAAAGUGUAUGUCGAGCUCAAUAUGCUUCGUUCGUCGAUGAUGGACCAGGUUGGCGGAGAGGUACACGGCGGAGACGUUGUCCCAGUAGACGAGCGUGGCCUUGUGGACAUCACAAAGCAACUCCAGGAGCAGCUGACGGAGCCAAGAGCAUUCGGCAACGGCGUUAGCCACUGCCCGAUACUCUGCCUCGGCACUCGAGCGGGAGACGGUGGGCUGUCGCUUGGAGGACCAAGAGAUCAGAGACGGCCCAAGGUAGACACAGUACCCCGAAGUGGAGCGCCGUGUAUCCGGGCAGCCAGCCCAGUCCGCAUCAAAGUAGGCGACGAGGUCGGUGGAGGCGGAGGCCGUCAGUGUAAGUCCCAUGGACGGGGUGCCACAUAUGUAACGGAGGAUACGCUUCACCAAGGUCCAGUGAGAGUCACGCGGAGCAUGCAUGUGAAGACAGACCUGCUGAACAGCAUACUGCAAGUCGGGGCGCGUCAGGGUCAGGUACUGCAAAGCACCCACAAUGGAGCGAUAGAAGGCCGCAUCGGAUGUGGGAGAACCAUCCAGAGCGGAAACCUUGGCCUUGGUGUCGACAGGCGUGGGAGCGGGCUUGUAGUUAAGCAUGCCGGCUCGAUCGAGAAGCUCAUGGGCGUAGCGCUGCUGGUGCAGGAAGAACCCAUUUGGCCGUCGAACUACCUCAAUGCCAAGGAAGUAGUGCAGGGGGCCCAAGUCCUUCAGGGCAAACUCAUCGCGAAGACAAGCAGUGAGCCGCUGGAGGAGCGCGACAGUGGAUGCCGUCAGGAUGAUGUCGUCGACAUAGAGCAACAAGUAGGCCGUGUCAACCCCGUGAUGGUACACGAAGAGGGACGCGUCGGAGCGAGUCGAUGUAAAUCCGAGCGUCUGCAGGAAUGCAGCAAUGCGCUGGUACCAGGCACGAGCCGCCUGCUUCAACCCGUAAAGGGAACGGGAGAGCAAGCACACAUGGUCUGGAUGUGUGGCGUCGACGAAGCCGGUGGGCUGCUCACAGAACACCUGCUCAGUGAGAGGGUCGUGCAAGAAGGCGUUGGAGACAUCCAACUGAUGCACAGGCCAAGCUCGGGAGAUGGCUAGCUGAAGCACGGUGCGGAUCGUGUCCGGUUUAACAACCGGGGCAAAAGUGUCGGUGAAGUCCACGCCCGCACGUUGCCGAAAGCCCCGAACCACCCAGCAAGCUUUGUAGCGCUCGAGAGUGCCAUCCGGACGAGUCUUGUGCCGAAAGACCCACUUGCCCGUGAUGAUGUUGGCACGAGGCAGCCGAGGGACAAGCUGCCAGGUGUGGUUCCGUUGGAGCGCGUCGAACUCUUCCUGCAUCGCAGCGAGCCAAUGAGGAUCCCGAAGGGCGGCUCGAGCUGACGAUGAGAGAGGGGACGGCUCGGAGACGGAAGCAGCGAGAAGGUACUCAUCGCUGGUGUACCGCAUACUCGGGCGGAAAGUGCUAGCCUGAGAGCGAGUCACCAGGCGGGGCAGCGAGUCCGGGUUGGCGGCGGGCGAAGACGAAGAAGAGCCCGCCACCUCCGAUGCCGCGGGCGAGGUGGCAGGCGAGGGCGCGGGGGACGCCGAGGAGGGCGUCGCGGCCGCCGGGGANNNNNNNNNNNNNNNNNNNNNNNNNNNNNNNNNNNNNNNNNNNNNNNNNNNNNNNNNNNNNNNNNNNNNNNNNNNNNNNNNNNNNNNNNNNNNNNNNNNNNNNNNNNNNNNNNNNNNNNNNNNNNNNNNNNNNNNNNNNNNNNNNNNNNNNNNNNNNNNNNNNNNNNNNNNNNNNNNNNNNNNNNNNNNNNNNNNNNNNNNNNNNNNNNNNNNNNNNNNNNNNNNNNNNNNNNNNNNNNNNNNNNNNNNNNNNNNNNNNNNNNNNNNNNNNNNNNNNNNNNNNNNNNNNNNNNNNNNNNNNNNNNNNNNNNNNNNNNNNNNNNNNNNNNNNNNNNNNNNNNNNNNNNNNNNNNNNNNNNNNNNNNNNNNNNNNNNNNNNNNNNNNNNNNNNNNNNNNNNNNNNNNNNNNNNNNNNNNNNNNNNNNNNNNNNNNNNNNNNNNNNAUGGCACGGUCGGGGCCAGGGACGCCAAGGGCGUCGCGGGCGCCGGGAGGGGCGCAACCCCUAAGGCAGGCAGCCAAGGAGAAACUCGACCCGUGACGCGGGGGGCACCCUCAAAGCCGGGAGGCGGCCCAAGAGAAGCUCGCGAGCGGCCGUCACCGGGAGCGGGCAAAGCCGCAACAUCCGAAGGUACCUGCUGAAACAGAAAAACCAUCUCAUCAAAGUAAACGUGUCGGGAAGUGAUCACCCAAUGUGAGAUAGGAUCAUAGCAGCGGUAGCCUUUGGUGUUGGGGGGAUAGCUGAGAAAAAUGCAUGCCACAGACCUUGGUGCAAGCUUAUGAGGAGUAGUGGAAGCGAUGCUAGGAUAGCACAGGCAACUAAAGAUGCGGAGCUCAGCGUAGGAGGGUGGCGUGCCGAACAAAGGUGAUGAGGUGCAAAAUUCCCGCGAGUGCGACAGGGACGGAUGUUGAGGAGUAGUGAUGCGGUGGCAAGCGCGUCGGGCCAAAAACAUGGUGACACGUUGGCGUGAAAGAGGAGGGUGUGGACGCAGUCAUUAAGAGUGCGAAGCACGCGCUCAGCGCGGCCAUUUUGUUGCGAAGUGUACGGGCAAGUGAGACGAAAAAUCAUGCCGUGUGUGGCGAGAAGGUUGCGGAUCGCAAGAUUAUCAAACUCCUUCCCGUUGUCUGUUUGCAAACUGCGUGGAGACAUAGGAGUAGAACGCGAUGAGUGUGGCAACAAAAUCCGACUUUCGCCGCAACAGGAAGGUCCACACAUAGUGCGAAAAAUCAUCAAGUAUCUAUACCUCUAUAUCUAUAUCUAUACCUACUAAUAAAGCAAGAUGCGUUUCUCCAAUUUUUUCAUCCGUUCACCGUCGAAAAGUUUUUCUUUCUAUCCGAGGUGGUACUAAACUUUCAUGCGUCUAUCCGCUAGAAAAGAAAAAAGAUUAGCACAGAAUUCCGUCAUUGGGCCACUCGCGCUGCGGCCCAACGAGGCCAGCCAAUUUAUUAAUGCUCACAGAGUUAGGAAGGCCUUAUUUGUCGCAUGGAGCGAAGAAUAGUUGUAGAUUCGCAUAGGGCGCCUAUGACUGGGCCGGCCCGUUUCCCCUUCUUCGUUGUUCUAUUUCUAUUUUUAUUUUUCUGUUCCUUUUUAUUUCUCUUUUAAGUUUUUUCUUUUUUCCUUAUUUUUAUUAUUCUCUAUGAAGUAAAAAUUUACAGAAAUAUUCAGAAUUUCAAUUUUUAUUCAAAAAAUAUUCAAAUAAUGGUCAGAAUUCCAAAAUUUGCUUCUGUAUUGAAAAAUGUUUGAAACUUUGAAAAUUUCCCGUUUCAAAAUUUUCCCAAUAUUCAAAAAAUGCUCUCCUUUUUAAAAAUUAUUUUGUCUUUUCCAAAAAUUCUUCAAGAUUCUUUUAUAAAAAUCAUAUUUUAUAAGAUGUUCUAUAUUUUAAACAAUUCUUGUUUUAGUGAAAUGCUCAAAACUCAAAAAGAAAUUACGUCUAAAACAUUUCGUAUUUUUAUGAAUGUUCCCUUAAAAAAAUUCAAAAAUUCAAAAAAAAUAUUUUUUUAAAAUGUAAAUGUUUUCAAAAUAUUUUUUGUGAAUUUAAAAAACUAUUCAUGUUUCUAAUUUUGUUCGUGAUUUUCUUAAGAUAUUGUUAUUUGCAAAAACAAUGUUCGCUUUUUUCUAAAAUUGUCCAGGAUUUACAAAUUGUUAAUGUUUCCAAGAAUAUUCACCAAUUCGUAUUUUUUUAAUGUUCAAAAAAAUCAAAAAUAUUUCUGAUGAGACACUAUAGUAUUUUUUGAAAUAUUUGCGCUGGCCAUUAGUUAGCGGUGCGCAUUCGUUCUUUGCUGGUUGACUAUAAAUGAAAGAAAUUGUGGACACGUGUCAAUAAAUUAUAUUAUUUUGCUUUAGUUUGAGAAAAAUUAUGGGUACUUGAUCUCUAAAAUAAUCGAAGAGAAUAAGCCCUAAAAAGGAAGGGACAUUCAUGCCUGAUUAUGCUCAUGAAAUGGGAUUUAUGCGCUGCAAUUAAUAAUCCACCCAGUUACGCCAUCGUAGCAUAGAGUGGUCGAAGCAACCAUGUCCCGAAGAUCGCCGCGCAGCCAACAAAUGAGUACGCAGGCACAAGCCCGAGAUGAAGGCGAACCCGGAGGAAAAAAGGCAUGAGUUGGGUGCUCGCCACCACACCGACCAACCCUAUCACUAUCAAGAUUUUGCGUGUCAAACAAGUCCAGCGAGAAGACCAUAACUUCUUGCUCUGUCGCCUACCAUUGUGGAGACCCUUUUUUGGAUGACACAUCAAUUAUUUUCCCCGUUGCUUCUUGCAAAAACAUAUCCCUUCCGUUGCAACGCACGGGCAUAUGUGCUAGUACUAAUAAAGCAAGGUGCGUUUCUUCGAUUUUUUCAUCAGUUCACCAUCGAAAAGAUUUUUCCUAUUCGAGGUGGUACUAAAUAUUUGUCCGUUCGUCUAUUAGAAAAGGAAAAACGCGAGAAUUUCGUACAUGGGCCGCCUGCAGUGUGGGCGAGCAAUGCCAGCAAAUUUUUUCGUGCCCACGCAGUUGGAAAAUCCUAUUUCUCGCAUAGAGCGUCAAAUAGUCGCAGCUUCGCACAGGGCGGCCAACCUGGGCUGAACCACUUUCAUUCUUUUUUCUGUGUGCAGUUUUUAUUUUUAUUUUUCUGUUUUAUUCCCUUUUUCUUUAGUGUUAGUUUUGUCUUUUUUACUUUCAGGUUUAUUUUCUUUUUCCCUUUUUGCAUAUAUUCAGAAUUUUUAAAAAUGUUCAUAAUUUCAAAAUAUAUCGAAUUUAGAAAAAAAUUCGAAAUUCCAAGACAUAUCCCAUUUUGAAAAAUGGUCAGAACUUUAAAUCAAUGUUCUCAUACCAAAAUUGGUACAAAUUAUUGAAACAUUAUUCCAUUUUCUCUUUGUGUUUUCCAAAGUUGUUCAAGAUUUUCAAAAAAAAUUCCCUUUGAAUUAUUUUUUCAAAUACCAAAUUAUUUUUGUUUUAGUGAAAUGUUUGAAAAUUCAAAAUAAUUGCCAAAUUUAAAGAAAGACAUUUUCUAAAACUGUUCUGAAUGUUCAAAAUAUGUUUCCUUUUGAAAAAAUUGUUCACAAAUUAAAACAAUGUUCAUAUUUCUAAAAAAGGAUCAUGAUUUUAAAUAAAACUGUGAAUUUUGAAAGUUUCAAUUUUUUCUCUAUAUAUUAAAAUUUAGAAUUAUCAAAAGCUUGUUUGGGAUUUUCAAAAUUAUUCAUGUUUCCAAGAAUAUUCCGCAAUUUAUAUUUUUAAAAAUUAAAAAACAAAAAAAUAUCGUUUCCAAUCAAAUAUUGGAGUAUAUUCGGCAAUUUAUAUUUUUCCAUCUGUUCACCAUUGUGAACAUUUUUUCUAUCCAAGGUGGUACAAAUUUUUCGUUCACAAUUUCAUACGUGGCCCUUGUGCGCUUUGGCCCACCGAAGCCAGUCCAGUGUUUUUUGCUGCCCACGCAGCUCGGAAAACCCUAUUUCUCGGACGCUGCGGCAAAUGUCAGAGCUUCGCACAGGGUGCCGCAGACUGGGCCGGCCCAUUUUUGUUUUUUCUAUUCUGUUUCCAUUUUUCUUUCUCUGUUUCUUUCCUGUUUAUUUUUACCUUUUUACCUUUUUUCAUAAAUUCAAAAAUUACAGAAGGCAUUUAGAAUUUAUUUAUUUUUCUAUUUUUUUGUAAAUAUUUAGAAUUCAAAAAAUUUGUUCCCAUUUUGAUUUUUUUGGACCUUUUAUUUUAUGUUCCCGUACUAAACAAAAUACAAAAUUCAAAAAAUGUUCCCAUUUUUCCAAAACAAUGUUUUUAUUUUUCAAAAUUGUUCUAUAUUUUCUAAAUAAAGUUACAUAAUUUUUUUUCAACUUCAGAAAUUAUUGUUUUGGUAAUUUAAUGCUCAAAAUUCAAAAUAAUGGUAGUGUUAAAAAAGGACAUUUUUCUAAAAUUGUUCUCAAUGUUCAAAAACAUGUUCCUUUUUUAAAUGAUUGUUCAAAGGUGCAAAAAAUGUUCGUGUUUUUAGAAGGUUCAUGUUUUCAUUUUUUUGUGAAUUUCAAAAACACACUUUCCGUCUCAAUUUUUUUUGGCUUUUUGCAAAAUUGAAUGAAACUUUCUACAAACUCUUCAUAUAUUUGAAAAUUGUUUGGGAUUUCAAAAUGUGUUCACAUUUCCAAGUAUAUUAGGUAAUUCUGAAUUAAUUAUAUCAUUUUUUAAUAUUUCAAAAAAAAAUAUAAAAAAGUAAUCUCAAAUCUAACGCCGUAGUAUGUUCUUAAAUAUUCGGGCUGGCCGUUGGUUAGGAAGGCCCAUUUGUUCGAGUGGCCAGCAACAUGUGGUAGUGUUUUUUAGGUCUUCAGUUCCAUGCUUCAUCUCGUCAUUUUUUUAUUUGGAUUUUUACACGUGCCUUACAAACACGGGUCUUUUCGGUGCCUGACAAUUUGCUAGCUGAGACGCGAACUGUGGUACGUCUCAUGCGCUAUUUGACGAUAAAAGAGAAUAAUUUGGUCGGCUAUAAUUGAAAUAAAUUCUGUACACGUAUCAAUAAAAGAGAAUAUGCUGGUUUGGCGCUGCAAUUAGUAAUCCAUCCGGUUAUGCCGUCAUAGGAGAGAGUCAAUCAUGCCCCGAAGGUCGCCGUGAAACCACCAAAUAUGGAGGCAACCACAACCCCGACACGGAGGCGGACCCGGAGGAAGGAAAAAUCAUGAGUUGGGUGGUCGCCGCCAUGCCGCCUCGACCACUAUCAAGAUCUCGCGGGCCGAACCUAACCCGCGAGAAGACCACAUCUCCAAGCUCUGUCGCACCAUCGCCGCUGAGACCGUUUUUAGUAGACUCUUCUGUUGCUUCUCGCCAAAAAAUAUAUCCCCCUUUGCAACGCAUGGGCAUAUGUGCUAGUAACAAGAUAAUAAAGAUAGCCCGUGUUACUUGCAACAGGAGAGGUCCAAACAUCACUAUGAAUUAACUCAAACGGGUAUGAUGCAACGUGCGAGGAAGUGCUAAAAGGAAGACAAACAUGUUUGCCGAGACGACAAGCAUGACAAGUGUGAUCGUCGAUCUUAUUACACGUGAAUGAAAAACUCCGAAGAAUAUGACGAAGGGUGGCGGUGUUGGGAUGACCGAGACGGGCAUGCCAAAGGCCCAUUCCAGCGGAAAGCGCCAUGGGUGCAGCGACGGAGGAGGUGGAUGAGUGGACCAGGUAGAGCCCGUCGGGGCUGUCACAUCGGUGGAGCACCAUCCGGGUACGGGCAUCCUUAACAGAAAAAGCCAAACAUGUCAAAUUCAACGGUGACAUGAUUUUCGCGUGUAAGAGAACGAACGGAAACAAGAUUUUUAAUGAUGUCAGGGGAGACAACUACGUUAGAAAGGUAUAAUGGCAUGGAGUUAGAAGGAAAAGCAACAUGGCCGACAUGAGUAAUAGGCAUGGAGGAACCGUCGCCCACGGUAAUGCGAGCAACGGUGUGAACGGGGUGAGCGGUAAGAAGGUUACUGGGGUUGGCGGCCAUGUGAGCCGUGGCUCCGGUGUCCAUGCAUAUACCAGUCGUCACCGCAUGUGUACUGCUGUGGCGUGGGGGCGGUGUGGAGGGCCGCUAGAAGCGCGGGGUCCCAAGGCGCCGGCGGGAGGGCCGGGGCCGACGGCAGCGGCUGUGGCGGCAGCGCCGCGAACCCACCGGCCGAAGGCAGGCCAUAGGCCGCAGAGGGGCCGUAGAGCGGCGCGGGCGGGUACGGCUGAGGGGCCGCGUAAAGCGCCUGAUGAGAUGCCGGGCGGGCGCAAAAGAAGCCGGGGAUGGGGGCGCGCGGUACAGGCAUGGAGUACGCGUGAACGACCCCCGUCCAGGGGUUCUGGCCGGCCUGCCAGGGCGCCGGCGGGAGCUGCUGCUGCGGCUGGCGCGGCGCCCCGCAGUGGGUAGCCGGCUGUGGCUGCUCCUGUCCGCGGCCACCUCGGCNNNNNNNNNNNNNNNNNNNNNNNNNNNNNNNNNNNNNNNNNNNNNNNNNNNNNNNNNNNNNNNNNNNNNNNNNNNNNNNNNNNNNNNNNNNNNNNNNNNNNNNNNNNNNNNNNNNNNNNNNNNNNNNNNNNNNNNNNNNNNNNNNNNNNNNNNNNNNNNNNNNNNNNNNNNNNNNNNNNNNNNNNNNNNNNNNNNNNNNNNNNNNNNNNNNNNNNNNNNNNNNNNNNNNNNNNNNNNNNNNNNNNNNNNNNNNNNNNNNNNNNNNNNNNNNNNNNNNNNNNNNNNNNNNNNNNNNNNNNNNNNNNNNNNNNNNNNNNNNNNNNNNNNNNNNNNNNNNNNNNNNNNNNNNNNNNNNNNNNNNNNNNNNNNNNNNNNNNNNNNNNNNNCCGCGGCGGGGGAGCCGGGGCGGUGGGCGGCACACCGCCGCGGGUACCGACGGUGAGGGCCGUGUGGGUGGCCCGGGUGCGCGACAUCCGCAUCCUCCUCUUCUCUAGCUUCAGGUACGCGACGAUCUUGGGGAAGGUCGGGUUGGUGAUGAGAGGGAUGUUGGAGGCGGCGUUCCCGAAGUCUUCGUUCAGGCCGGCGAUGAGGGUGCUGAGAAGAAGCUUGUCGGAGACCUUCUCAGCGAGGUCACGGAGCUCGUCAACAAGCUUCUUGAGGCGCAUGCAAUAAUCGUCAACAGAUGAGUCGAGCUGCUGGCACCCAAAAAACUCGCCGUGCAAGAAAACCUUGCGUUGGAGCUCGUUGUCAAUGAAGAGGCCGUUGAGCUUAGUCCAAACGGCGUGAGCGUCAUCGUCGGUGGAGACCACCGUGUGGAAGAGGUCCUUCGAGAUGGUGGUGUAGAACCAACGGAUGAGAGUGACGUCGAUGGACGUCCACUCCUCAUCGUCCUCCAUGAAGCGGGAGUCCACGGAGCCAUCGAUGUGAUCCCGGAGAUUGUACUCACGGAACACAAGGGAGAAGUAUGUCUUCCAGGCAUAGUAGGUGGAGGUGAGGUGAUCGAGGACGACGGGAACCCGAGCGAGGAUGUUGAGAUCGCGGAUGACGACGGGAACCCAAUCGAGGAUGUUGAGAUCGCGGAUGAUGACGUGGUCGGGGCCUUCGAAUGGGUUGGUGCGGCGGCUGCGGGUGGUACCGGAGGAACCGGGGGAGGCCAUUAGUCCAAGAGNNNNNNNNNNNNNNNNNNNNNNNNNNNNNNNNNNNNNNNNNNNNNNNNNNNNNNNNNNNNNNNNNNNNNNNNNNNNNNNNNNNNNNNNNNNNNNNNNNNNNNNNNNNNNNNNNNNNNNNNNNNNNNNNNNNNNNNNNNNNNNNNNNNNNNNNNNNNNNNNNNNNNNNNNNNNNNNNNNNNNNNNNNNNNNNNNNNNNNNNNNNNNNNNNNNNNNNNNNNNNNNNNNNNNNNNNNNNNNNNNNNNNNNNNNNNNNNNNNNNNNNNNNNNNNNNNNNNNNNNNNNNNNNNNNNNNNNNNNNNNNNNNNNNNNNNNNNNNNNNNNNNNNNNNNNNNNNNNNNNNNNNNNNNNNNNNNNNNNNNNNNNNNNNNNNNNNNNNNNNNNNNNNNNNNNNNNNNNNNNNNNNNNNNNNNNNNNNNNNNNNNNNNNNNNNNNNNNNNNNNNNNNNNNNNNNNNNNNNNNNNNNNNNNNNNNNNNNNNNNNNNNNNNNNNNNNNNNNNNNNNNNNNNNNNNNNNNNNNNNNNNNNNNNNNNNNNNNNNNNNNNNNNNNNNNNNNNNNNNNNNNNNNNNNNNNNNNNNNNNNNNNNNNNNNNNNNNNNNNNNNNNNNNNNNNNNNGAUCAUGUGUUCCGAUGUCCAAAGUGAACGGAUAUUCGGCACUUACAGGUUACAGCUGCCACAUUUGACCCGUCUAAGUUAUUGUUGCAAAAUAGUCGCGUUCGUUUUCUCGCCGGUCAGAGUUGUGUUGUAUACAUUUUAUAUCUUGUCCGUGCCAAUUCCCUAACUCUUGCCGCCGCUGACGGACCAGACACUGAAGAUUAUAUAGCGUCGAAUUUCACUGCUAGGAGUAGACAGUCUACUGUUUGCUUUACGUAUCAUCUUUGCAUGGCACAAACUUGGUGAAAGGCGUGUCGGGCGAGGCCCUCCUCGUCGGUGCAAAGCCACAGCAGAUGGCUAGCUCUAUAGGGAUGCCGAGGUGCCUAAUAAAGUGAAGGUUUAUGUCUGGAGAAUGCUUAAGAAUGUAUUGGCACAGUGGGGGAACAUCUGGACCAUAGGACUAUCAAAGAAGGGGUGCUGUGUGUUGCUUGUGGAUGAGGUGACUAUAUUAUUGCACCAUUUCUGGAGGUGUCAUUAUUCCAAAGUACUCUGGAGAUGCCUACAAUCAGAUACGGGUUCUAGUAUUAUGGCGCCACGGCCGAACGUCCACACCCACAAUGACUUGGCUGGGUGGUUGAGGGAUUUGUUGGGUCCGACGAAGGAAAGCGAAAAAGGCACGUAAAUUGCUUGGCUAUAUUCAUGUUGGUACCAGCAAGGCACGUAAAUGAAAUUUUCGGAAUUACGUGAACAGAAUACGCAUGCAUACAUCAUUCAUUUGGGGAAGUUGCUUUCCAUAUAACAAAAAGUGUACAUUUACACACUUCACUACCAACAUAUAUAUGGAACAUAGAUACUUCUACCACAUUACGAACAGUAGUCUAUCGAUUGAGCAAAUUACCAAACUAGAAAAGGAACAUAAAUAUUACCACGAUAAAGGAUGCUGGAGUACCGCCUCCCUGGGGCAUCGCUGGCGACAGAGCUCUCUGUGCCUUCCGCUUCCGGUUGGGGUGCCGCAAGGGCCUCUCGGGGGCUCUAUGCGGCAUCCAAUCUUCCUGGACGGAGUGUUGCCGCGCGACCCGGCUUGGAGGUCCAUGAUGGGUGGACCGUGAGGUGCGCCCGGGGCCAUCGUUAUUUGGCGGCUUCAGGGGCAGACAAAGGACAUAGAUACUUCUACCACAUUACAAAGAGUAGUCUAUCAAUCGAGCCACUUAACAAACCAACAUGUAUAUGGAAAAUAGAUACCUCUACCACAUUACAAAGAUUAGUCUAUCCAUCAAGCCACUUAACAAACUUGACAAAGGACAUACAUAUAAUUUAAAUAUGCUAAACUACUCAUAAUUACCUCAACAAUCUAUGUCAAAUACAAUGGCCAGUAGGAAGUACCGAUGAAACCGGUCGGUGCUUGCACCAACAGGUAAAUUUGUAGCGCAACUCGUCAUCUUCAUUUGUGCAGUGCAAUCAAAAUAAAACUCUGCAUAGAACAAUAACUGGCAUGACAAUCACAUAAGAUAUUCAUCGACCUAUUAUUUCAGAUCAAAUUCAAGCAAACUUUAUGAAAUAAGCAAUUAGUUAACCUUGUACAUGACAUAAGCAGUGGUGUGUUUACAACGGACAACACUCUCGGCGUUUUUCCAGAUGAUGUUCACCUUUUUCUGGAGUAUCACCCUGCCAACUACCGGCAAAAAUGGCUAUUUUUUCUUGUGUGCAGUGCAAUUAAAAUGGAUAUCCGUUUCAACACAAUAGUUGUUAUGUACUUUUUCCCACUUAUAUAGAGAUGCAUAAAAGGCAAAACUGAUUUGUUCAGGAACAGAUAAACCUCAGAUAACAUAAGUAAUCUUAUUAUCCACAUCAAAGACAUUACUCCUUUGAUUUGAAUGAGUUAAAGAAAUUAAGUUAUUCCUCAACACAUAAUAGUCAAAGCAAGCUGUGCCUUAGUUAUGUGUAAAGGUAUCAAGUCUCAUCAUCUGCCUACUAAGAAGUUUGUAGUGCUACACCAUUAGAAAAGUUUCACUAAAUUCUUAACAGAUUUCUACAAAGAAAUGGCUAAUGCUGCCAAAAUAUCUAUAAGUUAAAAUACAUCAAACCCUACAAAAAAUUGGUUGAAAUACAUCAACCCCUAUAGAUUUCUACAACCAAAUACAUGAACUAACCCUAAAAAAUUACAUCCGCAUGAAGGUUAGUCACACAGAAAAGCCUAAAUGUUCUAUAAUGUUAGAAGGAGAGCAGCUCACCACCAUGAUCGCCAUUAUGACUGAAGAGCAAGGCAGGAGUACCGGGUAUACGACCUCAUAUGACGGUGUGGGUGACCUGGUGUGCAACGGCAGGGUGGAUACGGAACCAGAGAUGCCGGACGGAGGCUAUGCACGACAAGAGAGCGCCACUCAGGAAGGCGUUGGAGCGGCUGCGGCCGGACUAGGUUGCCGCAGGGCAGUGGCGGAGCUAGACAAAAAUGUUUUGUGGAGCCAAAAGAGAAAAAAAAUCUGUAGUGAGCAACUGCUACUGAGAGUUCUCGCAAAGAAAACACUGCUACUGAGGGAACAAAUUAUAAUGUAUAUAUAUACUCCAAUUCAAUCAACCACUAACCAACUGAGAGAGAAAAUUGUAGCCCUAUUACACCAAAAAAAACAAUUUUAUAAUGUCGUCGCCACCGUUCCAAACGCAGAGCUUCUUCCUAACCUCGUCGCUGUAUCCUCAACAAAGACCGGACGGCAUCGAGGGCCCGAGGCUGUCCGUUGCGGUGCCAUGGGCUGGUUGAGUGAAGAAUACCACAUGAGUUGAGAAGCAGCCGAGCUGGUGAGUGAGGAGGGCUUGUUCGUUGGUGGAUUUGUGAAAGUAAUACAGAUCAAACAUGAGCAAUACGUGCGUGCGUGUGGUGCUUCCGGCCGACUGGCCGUUGUGUACAUACUUGCGUUUUGGUGUUGCUUGUAGCUGUUUUACUAGAGGAUCGAUCAGGCGCUUUGCUAGAGGAAGCUAGCUUCGUGCUAAGUGGAUUGAUCUAGGUUACAGUGUGUACAUCUCGGUGUAAUAGAACUUCGUCGAGUUCGUUAGCGAGCUUCGUUUGUCAUCGUUGUUCGUCGUCGGUCAUAUCACCGUCGCCGGAAGUACUCGGCGUCGGGACAUGGCCAACAAUUGGUAUCAAAGCAAGGUUGAUCUUCUAGUAACAGGAGAUCAUGUCGGACGACAAGAAGAACAAGCAGCUGGCGGAGUACUCCGGUGCGGCUAAAGUAAUUGCUUCGCCGGUGAGAUAGUUGUAUCCACGAUUCGACCGUGGGAACUUCAUGGUACAGGUGCCCAUGAUGGAGUGCGCGCUCGAGGCCAAUGAGCUCUGGGAAGACGUCGACCCCGGCGGUGAUGACUACAUGAAGGGUGGUGCCUUGUAUUGGAAGGAUUGCCAGGCUAUCACGACCAUCUUCUCGGUGAUGCUGGUGGACGUGCAGCAGCAUCUAAUCUCGAAGACAUCUGUGAAGGAGGCAUGGGACACGCUGAAGACAUUGCAUCUAGGACACUCGCGUGUGCGCGAGGCGAACUUGCAAACUUCGCGGAAAAGUUACGAGAGUAUGAGGAUGGGAGAAGAUGAGACGGUGGAUGCUUUCGCAGCAAGGGUUGCCACGAUGGUAAACGGGAUUCGCAGUCUUGGGGAGAAGCUAGAGGAUAUCACCGUGGUCCGGCGUUUUUUACAUGCCGCUCCACCGCGCUACAUGCCGAUUGUGUCAGAGAUCGAGCAAUGUAUUGAUCUCAAGACUCUCACUUUGGAUGAUCUGGUUUGUAACUUCAGGGCGGAUGACGAGCGGAUGAAACUGAGUUACGGUGACGCAAAGCAGGAUGAUUACCUGAUGCUUACACGUGCUCAGUGGCAGGCGAUGGUUUCCAAGGAGAACAAUUUCGACAAGGCGUCUGGUAGCGGCGGAAAGUACCAUCCCGCAAAGGACAUCGACGAACAGUCGGAAAAGCAAAAGAAGAAAGAGUUCAACAAGAGGAAGAUCCGCUGCCACAACGGUAAUCUGCUCGGCCACUUCAAGUCAGACUGUAAGAAUCCCCCGAAGGAGAAGAUGCUCAUGGCCGAGCAAAAUGAUGCAAGUGACAUGAUGUUGAUGUGCGAGCUCGUGGACGAGGAGGAUCAUUUUCUGCAAGCGUCGGCUAAAGAAAUUGUUGUGCUCAGUGAAGAAAAAGUUCGCUCUCAAAAUCAUGGUUUGAAAAACUCGUGUCGAUGUUACAAACAUGAGCGGUGAUUCUGAAACUCGUGUCGAAGGUACUGACGCGAGACAUAAUUCUGAAAUUUGUGUCGAUCUAAGGACACGAAUGUCACUUCAGCGUACGUGGCGCCUGAAGACCAUGAAUCAAAGUAUGCUGAUACAAAAGUGGGCAUGUGCGCAUCAGCCAUGCCACACUACCCAAUAACAGGUGAACGUGGUGUCCCACUGAGUAGGCCGAAAGCACUGGCCACAUUAACUCAAGCGGGAGGUCUUGCAUGGAGUCGGGGUGCCUUGCACCCAUCAGCGAGCGCUGCAGCUGGAGGUUACAAGGCAGCUGCGUGUGAUGGUGCAGUAUUAAGUCAAAGCCCACGUGAGCCUGAAACUACUCCAGCAGGAGGCAUGGGUGUCUCACGUGGUGAGCAAGGGCCACAUCAAGAUUUACUACUUGGGAACUUUGCCAACGAGUCAGGAAGCCCAACUGGGUGGGCAAGCUGAUCCUGCAUGGUGGCUCAUGCAGUGGAGGUCCAGGAGGGACCGCGUCCACGUGUGGAUAUGGGAACGGCAACGUAACGCCCGUGCCCAUGAAGGAAGAAAGGACAUGUCUACCUACAACCAAUCGUCUACGCCCGGUGAUCGACAUAUGUCCGGAGGAAGCUCUUUGGACAAAAGACCCGGGAAAGGUGAAACGGAGUGGUUGGCAAUGUCUAGCAAACGCUGAGAAACCGAUGGAAUUCGAGGAUGCAAAUACGAAGGAGUAUUGGCGUCAAGCUAUGGAGGAGGAGUUGAGGUCGAUCCACGACAACAACACAUGGGAGCUUGUGGAUCAAGAAAGAUGCCAAAGUGUCCGUAAAGCACGAAGCGAGGCUAGUAGCCAAAGAGUACGUGCAAGAGGAAGGUGUGGACAUUGCAGAAGUGUUCGUUCCCAUUGAAAGGAUGGAAUGGGUGAGACUACUCAUCACUCUCGCGGUUCAGAAAUCAUGGAGGAUACAUCACAUGAAUGUAAAAUCCGCAUUUUUGAAUGGCAAGUUAAAAGGAGAUGUGUAUGUGAAUCAGUCACCGGGAUUCAUCAAAGAGGGAGAGGAACACAAGGUACUGAAGCUACACAAAGUUUUGUAUGGGCUACAGCAAGACCCUCGAAAGUGGAACAUCAAACUUGAUCAGAAGAUGAUUUCUCUUGGAUUAACAAAGCCCCACUAGAGUAUGCAAUGUACAAGCAAGGUGAAGGAAAGGAUCGUCUGCUAGUUGGCAUUUACGACGGCGACCUAAUGAUAACUGGAGCAGAUGAAGAGAUGAUUUUAAAGUUCGAGCUACAAAUGAAUGAGCUUAUCAAGAUGGAUGAUCUAGGGCUAUUGAGUUACUACCUCAGGAUCGAGGUACAUUAAAAGCCAGAGGGGGUCACCGUAUGCCAGGAAUCAUACGCAAGGAAAGUACUGGAAAGUUGUGGCAUGAAAUAUUGCAAUCCAAUUGACGUUCCAUGGAACCUCGUCUUGAGCUGAGCAAGAAGGAGAUGGUGAAACUACUUGGCUACAGUGGUAGUGAUAAGGAAGGAAUUGUCGACGACCGUAAGACUACCUCGGACGUGGCAUAUUCCUUUGGUGGAAAAGCAUAGUAAAUUGAUUAUCACGAAAGCAGAAAGUGAUGACAUCUACUUCAAGUGAAGCAGAGUGUCAAGGUGUGUGGCUCGGGAGGCUACAGGGUGAUCUCAUGUAUCGAGAUCAGGAACAAGUGAUGCUCAAUGUUGACAGUGAGUCUACAACUUUUCUACGCGACUAUCCAGUGCGGCGUGAAAGGGGCAAGCACAUUGAUACGAUGUAUCACUACAUAAAUGACUGCAUGGAAGAAGGUAAGACGGAGGUCAACUACAGUUGCACUGAUGAUCAGCUGACGAACAUCCUGACCAAGGCUUUGAAUCGAGAGAAGUUAUUGGAGAUUCAAAGAAGGAUCGGCAUUGAUGCAGUGUCGUGAUGACGUCGUGUUUACGGGGGUGAUUGUUAGAAGUAAACACGACACAACCUCCCGAAGUAGUACGUGUCCGGGUACGGGCUCGUGUGCAUGUAUGAUCCGAGUAGUAUUGGAGUUAGCAUUCGAUUAGUAUUUCUCUAGUAGCUAGCUAGCCUGAUACUACUUAUAUGUGUGCAAGCAGCCCUGUAACUUGUACCGUGGAUUUGUGAAAGCAAUACAGAUUAAACAGGAGCGAUACGCUCCUGCGGCAAUACCCAGCUUCGCGUGCGUGUGUGUGGUACUUCCGGCCGACGGGCCGUUGUGUACGUACUUGUGUUUUGGUGUUGCUUGCAGCUAUUUUACCAGAGGAUCGAUCAGGCGCUUUGCUAGAGGGAUCUAGCUUCGUGCUGAGUGGAUUGAUCUAGGUUACAGCGUGUACAUCUCGACGUAAUAGAACUUCAUCGAGUUUGUCAGCGAGUUCUGUUUCUCAUCGUUGUUCGUCGUCGGUCGUAUCGUCGUCGGGACUGGGCCAACACGGACAUAGUGCAAUCCCACAGGAGAGGGGCUCACCAACGACGGUGAGAGUUAGGGAAUUGGCACGGACAAGAUAUAAAACGUAUACAACACAUUUUUGACCGGCAAAAAAACAAACGCGACUAUUUUGCAACAAUAACUUAGACGGGUCAAAUGUGACAGCUGUAAGUGCCAAAUAUCCGUUCACUUUGGACACCGGAACACAUGAUCACUGACUGAUCAAUUUCAAACCCGUCUCUAAUAAGCAUGAAGUAUAGCUCAAAAUACCUCAUCACUGAUGCACCAUGGAAGACUCGUCAGUGAUCGUCCUCAUCACUAAUGCGUGGGCAUUCUCGUUGCUCAGCAAUUGAGGGUCAGUGAUUCUGAUCUUUAGUAGUGGAUUGUGCAAGGCUUCUAUCAGUUCUGGCUGGUGAGGAACCAUGUGAGUUACACUAGUAAACUCUAUCUUUCAUGUGGAAGGCACACCAACAGGAAGACAUACAACAGGAAGACAUACAAGUCGUGGCUCAGCAGCAGGAACGAUGGCAUCUGCCAGAGCAUGGGUGGAUCUAAGGCAAUGCUGACGGUGUAUGGGCCAAGAAUCAAGACAGAGGAGGAGGGGCGGUCCUUGUUAGAUAAUAUUUAUACGUAGCUUCAGAAUGCUUUUCUCCAUGGGGUCUUCGAGGAAGAGGUUUACAUACGGCAACCUCCAGGUUUUGUUGAUCCUGCUCAUCCACAUGAUUUGUGUCAUCCUGUUAAGGCACUUCAUGGACUUAGAGCAUCUCCAGCCGUGCCCCCAACAAGCCCCUCCAAGGCCCUUUUUCGUUGCCGGCGCCUAAAAUUCGGCCCAGUCACGUCAUGCCCCCAGAAGCCCAAUUUUCAUCGGUUAGGGCCGAAUUUGGCGUCGGCGGACCCAGGCCGAACCCGACACGCUGGGGGCGCCCGGGGCGCCGGAGGAAACGUUUUUGGCGCGAAAAGAAAUGGGCACACCGAGUCAGCGACUCGCCGCCUUCGUCGUCCUCAUCACCUCGAUCCUGCAGGAAUCAAUGCCAAGGCUGCCACGCUGCCGCGCCGGUCAGUCUUCCAUAGAUGCCUCACGGGCAGCGCAGUGAAGGCGCGGCGACGCGCGUCCCGCCCACUCCCGCCAUGCGGCACACGGCGGCAGCCCUCCCACCGCCCAUAUGUGGCUAUAAAUGCUGCCCUCCCUCGCUGAUGAACACACACGCCCUCACCUCCGACGCCCCUCUCUCCGUCUCUCGCCGUCGAUGCCCCUCUCUCCUACUCUCUCCCCCGCCGACGGCAAUGGUCAAGCGCUUCCCAGGCGACGAUGCGGCGGCGAACGGCUUUGGCCGCCGCCAUCUGCACAAGGAUGAGGUGCGCUUCCUCUACGAGGCCGACUACCCGGCGCCCCCGGACAUGUGGGUUUCGGCCGCCUGGAGGCGUCCCGGUGCCGCCCGCGCCCACCGGAGCCGCUCGGCGCCACGAGGAGCAUAUCGCCUCCACCACCGACGUCGAGCAUCGCGGCCGCCUCAACCCUGAGGGGCGCCGCCAAUGGUGGGGCCCUUGAGAGAGGGUUUUGAGAAGUCGCCGUAAUAUCUUAGCUUGAUGCCGGAUAGGACCCAAAUUUUCACUUCCGUCAUUGCCGGCCAAUUAUAUCGUAACCCGGAUGACCCGGUAGUAACAAUCAUAGAGGUGCUCCCUUUACCGCCUAGCCGAACAAUUGGGAACGUAGGGGUAAGCACAGGAGCCAGGCAACCCAGCCUGGCCAAAAUCUUAAGUCAAAUUGAUGCAUAUGUAUGGCUUUAUAACGAUAAUUACGGAAGGCAGCGCUGGUAUAAUGAAUACAAACGCUGAUGAUAUAUGUUUAUUUUGACUCCGUUGCGACCGUUUAUCAUUUGAAAGUGGCCCAUCGUCGGCUUUUCUACCCCUUUGUAGAUGCUACGUAGGGUGCUUCCGCAGUAACCAGAAAACCCUUAGCCGACGUCUCGGUGCCCGAAGGCGGUUGUGUUGGCGGAAACAAGGCAAUCAGAUAUGUGGGCUUUAUACCUUUCACUUAGUCAUAGGAGCUUAAAGUUUGGGAGGACAGUUAUUAGCCCCCGGUAGUGUUCGGCGUCAGCUGAUGUCCAGCCGUUAACACUUUGGCCAAUGUUAUGAACGGCCCGUCGUUUAACACGGGGUGACCUCCAUCGAUCUUAUAGUUAAACACAUUCAUCGGAUCGCUGACCAGUUUGCGCUUAUUAUGACAGUCAGUUUUCGGCUUUCUCCACUAAGGCGCUUAACCAUUCGAGCUGGAAGCACAAUCGCAGUGGUUCUCCCUUUGCACACCUAGCCGAACAAAGCGGAACGUAGGAGGCAAGCACAGGAGCCGGGCAACCCAACUAUUGACCGAAGACACAAUUCGAAACUAAUGCAUAUAAAGCAAUAUCCGAGAACAUUUUGCCAAGGACUCCUUGGAGUACCUUGGCUUUUGGUGGGUUCGGCUCAAGUCGCAGCCCCCCGUUGAUAUUGUCGAUGCUUAAAAGUGUCCGGCAGUGUACUGCGGGAUUUAUGCUCGAACCCAACACCGAGGUGCAGGUCGGCAGGAAAAAUGCCGAACUAUGGGUCGAAAAAGAUUUCCCAAGCUGGAUUAUUAGGCAGGGUACCUCGGUCAAGAGGAUGUCCCGCCUCAUAAAAGAAAAACACACAAAUAGAUCAAAAGUGCCAUAAGCUUGGAGAAUCAAAAAACUGCAGUAAAAACUUGACGUCCGAACUAGAUCAAGUGUUCGGUGCCGAUCCGAAAAUUGGUCUUAGAAAAAAAAAUGUGCUUCUGUCGUGCUUUAACAUGACACAUCCUAUCUCAAGACUUCAAGCGGGUCAGCCUACGGCUUCAACCUCCUAUCCCGAAGGCGGAGUACUUCUCGUUAGGCCAGUUUAGCAAACUAAACUCUAGCGGCUUUGAGAGAGAAAUUAGGCUCCCCGGCUAUUGACCACACACUCGUGUCGAAAAAGGAGUGAUAGAAAAAGACUUUGCAAUGACUAAGAAGAAGAACACUUAUUAUAAAAUAGCUCAUUUAAAUUUAAGAGCGCCCAGUUAACAUGGGAAAGGAAGUGUUUUUAACAAACAACAUAUGUGAGCAUGGUCGAACCGAACACAAUUUAAAAAUUUAAAACUUUGAGCAUGAAAGCAACUUAGCUGGUUAAUGUGUUCGGCAUCGAUGACGCGGUCCGAGCUUACGGCGGGACGAGGUUCCAGCCCCUAAGCCGGUCCCGAGGUGGCGGAGCAAAGAGCUCGGCACUCCAAAGUGGCGACAUAACACGACCAAUGUGGCGAGGUGGAACCCCCAGUCCGUCCGAGGCGACGGAGCAGGCCGGCAGUAUGACGCCGAAGUUCCCGGCGUGGGUUAAUGAAGUGACGACGAAGCCCCCGGUCCAGCCGAAGUGACGUGGUACGUUAGUACGCCGAGGUGACAGCUCUGUCCAACCCGGAUAAUUUACCUGUGCACAGAAAAUAGUGCAAGAAGGAGAUAUAGUAACAAUAAUAAAUUAAAAAAUGUAGCAUAAUAAAUAAUUUAUGCAAAGUGAAUAAUUAAAGGAAUAUUACCCAAGCGCCGAACAUCCGACGAGGUAGAACCCUCUCGAUGAUGCCGAAGUCAUCGAGGCAACCGAAUAUAUCGGUAUAGCAAUUCGACCAACAAGGUGAUCGUGCGAGCCGAUUUAUACCGAUUGGGACGACGACAUUAGCUUGUUGAAGUGAGCGCAUGAUGCAGUCGAAGUCGAUUAUCUACACACAUAAAAUAGUGUGGUCCAAAAAAUAAUAAUAUAAAUAUAUAUAUAAUCCUUGCAUAAUUGCUUUAUGCAAAAAUAAUUUAUUUAAAGAGAUGUGGCCUGGCGCCGAAGCCAAUGUCGGUGCAGGGCGUCGGCGUGACGCAGUGAAGGCGUGACAAAGCCUAAAUUUGCAGGGCGGUCCGGGCUCUAGGUGCGGCGUUCGCCGAACUGCGGACGGGAAACUGGCCGAACCAUCACGCAACCAUCGUUAAUGCGGCCAUCAUUUGAAAGACCUGUGUACAGAUGAUGGAACAAACCAGAGUAAUAAUUUCUCAGAAAAAUAAACCCAAGCAAGAAAAAAAUUACUAGGAUUAAUAGCACCUGGUUUAUCUGUUGUAGCAAUCUGAAAAAAGGUUACUCCCAAAAUUGGGACUUGAUCCGCACACCCAUUGCCUGAUGAUCGAUGAAGUGGCGGCAUGGCGAUGCUGGCAAAGGUUGGCCUGCCGAGGCAAAGCCCCCAGUCCAGCUAAUGUGACGAAGCUGGUCGGCGGGUGACGCCGAAGUCUCCGGAGUAGGUUGACGAAGAGAUGGUGAAGCCCCCGAUCUAGCCGAGGUGACGGAGCGGGUCGGAAAGGAGACGUUGCAGUUGCCAUGUCAGCCGAAGUGUUGAAGCAGUUCGGCGUGAUGAAUAUCGGCUUGAAGAAGCAACAGUGCGGUCAUGCCGACGCUGGUCAUAACUUGUGAAGCGGUCAAAGCCGGAUUGAUGAAGUGACCGAAUGGUGAUGCCGGUGUGCUCGUUCCGUGUAAUCUGUGGGGCGGCGUUGUUGGUGAUGAUUUAUCCUUCAUGAUGUCGAACUCUUUUUCGGCUCGUCGAGAUGAUGAUCCGAAGAAGAUGAGCUCGGCUCAAUAAAGCGACGACGUGUCUAGCGCAGGUCGGCAGCCGUGGAGCAAUGUUACCGGACUGGUUUGACACCAGCGUGAUGGUGAAGAGUAUCUCAGAGAAGGCUUAAAAUUUGAUGGGCCCGUGUUAAGAACAACGCACAAUACCCUAGAAGAAAAUUCCUUUAAAAAGGUUGUCCAACAUCACGUUGAUAAAGAAACAUGAAUUCGGGUCGGAUCCGUAUUCGCGUAGAAAACAGAUCAGAAAAUUGGUCCACUUAUCGGAAGGAUCCCGGAGUUUGAACCGUCGGAUCGAGCUGAAAUUUUGAGGGGUGGUAGAUAUGGGAAUUCCACAGCAGAUGAACGGUUGGAUCUUCCAAAGGACCUCCGAGCUUGUCUCUGGAGACCACGCCUUAACUUGUCCAGAUUCCCGUCUAGAUUUGACAGGGCUCCGGUAUAUCAUACAUUGCCGGAGAUUACUCCAUCGGAACUCGACGAAAUUUUGCAUGGUUGUUGUAGACUUAAUUCAGCACAAUUCCACCGAAGCAAUCGUUAAAAUGACACUCGAGGAGGCGGCGGCGGCGGAUACAAGUUCGUUGUCCAGAAAAACAGCACGGUCGCUCAAGGGCAAUAUUGACGUUAAGCCCCCAGGCCCCAUGAAUGAUUCCUCCAUGAUCUUGAGAGAGAUCGGAGUUUAUGUUGAUGUAGGUCAUCGUCCGAACAUGACGAUCUGACGUGGAGUGCAGUCCUCGGUCGAGCCAAGGUGACCAGUCCAGCCGGUGACGAAGAAGUCGACUUCGCAGUUAAUCUGCAGACGAGCCAUCGAUCCUUCGUUGAUCUCAUAGCGGAACUCUCAAUGAAAGCACCAUUGUCGGUGUCAAAACCGGCAGAUCUCGGGUAGGGAAUCCCGAGUUGUGUGUCAUGGAUCGAUGGGUAACAGGAGACAUGGGACACGAUGUUUACCCAGGUUUGGGCCCUAUUAAUGGAGGUAAUACCCUACUUCCUGUUUGAUUGAUCUUGAUGAAUAUAGAGAUUACAAGAGUUGAUCUACCCUGAGAUCAUAUGUUGUGGUCUAAACCCUAGGGGUAUGAUGAUUAAUGUCAUAAUAAUCUAUCGACUAACCUGGCCUUGGCUUAUAUAAUGUACCAGAGGCCUAGGAUAACAAGAGUCCUAGCCGAAUACGUUGGUGGGGAGGAGUCCUUGUCUUGAUCACAAAGUCUUGUGGAAUACUCCUUGUAUGCGGGAUGGGCUGGCCGAAGUGGCCCAUGAGUGAACCGCCAUGGGGGUCCUCGGCCCGAUCCACCUGGUCGGGAGACGAUGUGGUGAGUACCCCCUAGUCCAGGACAUCGUCAACCGCCCUCAAGUGGGCGAGGGCGGACUGCGUCCGCGAGCAGAUGGGCGAGGGUCGUUCUUAAGUUACUUUAAUUUGUGUUUUUAAGUUUUUGUACAAAUAUCAAUGAAAUCGCCUAGUUUGUAUGAUUUUGUGUCGUGUUUGGACGAUUUUCUUUUUCAAAAAAUGGCGUCAUGGGGGCGACCUGGGGGUGGUGGCUAGGAACCCGAUCGCCACCACGCCGAAAUAAUUGCCGGUUCACCCCCAGUCGGAGCUAUUUCAAGCCCCUAGGGGGCGAACGGCUGGAAGUGGACUCCUCGUGCAUGGCAUGCCCGACUUGGCUCGUUUCUUGGACGUCUUGGAUUUGCUCCGUCCAGUGCUGACACGUCUCUAUUUAUGUUCCAACGUCCAGGGGUUACUUGAAGGAAAUAUGCCCUAGAGGCAAUAAUAAAGUUGUUAUUUAUAUUUCCUUAUAUCAUGAUAAAUGUUUAUUAUUCAUGCUAGAAUUGUAUUAACCGGAAACUUAGUACAUGUGUGAAUACAUAGACAAAUAGAGUGUCCCUAGUAUGCCUCUACCUGACUAUCUCGUUAAUCAAAGAUGGUUAAGUUUCCUGACCAUAGACAUGUGUUAUCAUUUGAUGAACGGGAUCACAUCAUUAGAGAAUGAUGUGAUGGACAAGACCCAUCCGUUAGCUUCGCAUAAUGAUCGUUUAGUUUUAUUGCUAUUGCUUUCUUCAUGACUUAUACAUAUUCCUCUGACUAUGAGAUUAUGCAACUCCCGAAUACUGAAGGAACACUUUGUGUGCUAUCAAACGUCACAACGUAACUGGGUGAUUAUAAAGAUGCUCUACAGGUGUCUCCGAUGGUGUUUGUUGAGUUGGCAUAGCUCGAGAUUAGGAUUUGUCACUCCAUGUAUCGGACAGGUAUCUCUAGUCCCUCUCGGUAAUGCACAUCACUAUAAGCCUUGCAAGCAAUGUGACUAAUGAGUUAGUUAUGGGAUGAUGCACUACGGAACGAGUAAAGAGACUUGCCGAUAACGAGAUUGAACUAGGUAUGAUGAUACCGACGAUCGAAUCUCGGGCAAGUAACAUACCGAUGACAAAGGGAAUAACGUAUGUUGUUAUGCGGUUUGACCGAUAAAGAUCUUCGUAGAAUAUGUAGGAGCCAAUAUGAGCAUCCAGGUUCCGCUAUUGGUAAUUGACCGGACAUGUGUCUCGGUCAUGUCUGCAUAGUUCUCGAACCCGUAGGGUCCACACGCUUAACGUUCGAUGAUGAUUUGUAUUAUGAGUUAUGUGAUUUGAUGACCGAAGUUUGUUCCGAGUCCUGGAUGAGAUCACGGACAUGAUGAGGAGUCUCGAAAUGGUCGAGAGGUAAAGAUUGAUAUAUUGGACGAAGGUAUUCGGACACCGGUAAGGUUUCGGGACGUUUCGGAUAUUUAUCGAGAACCGAGGGGUUACCGGAACCCCCCGGGGAAGUUAUGGGCCUUGAUGGGACAUAAGGGAGUAGGAGAGGGAAGGCCACAAGGUGGCGCACGCCCCUCCCCAUGGCAGUCUGAAUUGGACUAGGGGGAUGGGGCGCGGCCCCAUCUUUCCUUCCCCUCUCCCUCUCCUUCCCUCCUUCCCCAUCUUGGAAUAGGAAAAGAGGGGUCGAAUCCUACUAGGUUUGGUGUCCUAGUAGGACUCCCCCUUGGCACGCCUCCCCCUUGGCCGGCCUCCUCCUCCCCCUCCUUUAUAUACGUGGGCAGGGGGCACCCCAUAGCAGAACAGACAAUCUCUUAGCCGUGUGCGGUGCCCCGCUCCACAGUUUAACACCUCGGUCAUAUCGUCGUGGUGUUUAGGCGAAGCCAUGCGCCAGGAACUUCAUCAUCAAUGUCGCCACGCCGUCAUGCUGACGGAACUCUCCCUCGUCCUCAACUGGAUCAAGAGCUUGAGGGACGUCAUCCUGCUGAACGUGUGCUGAACACAGAGGUGCCGUACGUUCGGUACUUGGGUCAGUUGGAUCGUGAAGACGUUCGACUACAUCAACCGCGUUACUAAAUGCUUCCACUUUCGGUCUACGAGGGUACGUUGCUACCUCUUGAGCAUGCGUUGGAUUUCCCAUGAAGAGGAAAGGGUGAUGCAGCAACGUAGCGUAAGUAUUUCCCUCAGUUUUUGAGAACCAAGGUAUCAAUCCAGUAGGAGGCCACACGCAAGUCCCUCAUACCUACACAAACAAAUAAGAACCUUGCAACCAACGCGAUAAAGGGGUUGUCAAUCCCUUCACGCAAGUCCCUCGUACCUAUACAAACAGAAAUAGCUAGUUGACGGGAGAUUAAUAUGAUGGAAAAUAGACCCGGGGGACAUAGGUUUCACUAGUGGCUUCUCUCAAGAUAGCAUAAGUAUUACGGUGGGUGAACAAAUUACUGUCGAGUAACUGAUAGAAAAGUGCAUAAUUAUGAGAAUAUCUAGGCAUGAUCAUGUAUAUAGGCAUCAUGUCCGCGACAAGUAGACGACUCCUGCCUGCAUCUACUACUAUUACUCACACAUCGACCGCUAUCCAGCAUGCAUCUAGAGUAUUAAGUUCAUAAGAACAGAGUAACGCAUUAGGCAAGAUGACAUGAUGUAGAGGGAUAAACUCAAGCAAUAUGAUAUAAACCCCAUCUUUUUAUCCUCGAUGGCAACAAUACAAUACGUGUCGUUUCCCCUUCUGUCACUGGGAUCGAGCAACGCAAGAUUGAACCCAAAGCUAAGCACUUCUCCCAUUGCAAGAAAGAUCAAUCUAGUAGGCCAAACCAAACUGAUAAUUCGAAGAGACUUGCAAAGAUAACCAAUCAUACAUAAAAGAAUUCAGAGAAGAUUCAAAUAUUGUUCAUAGAUAAUCACUAGUAGAAAAAGGGCCUUUAGUCCCGGUUCAUAAGGGCCUUUAGUCCCGGUUCUGGAACCGGGACUAAAGGGUCGUUACUAAAGCCUCCCCCUUUAGUCCCGGUUCUUACACGAACCGGGACUAAAGGCCCUCCACGUGGCCGCUGCCUGGAGGUCCACCUUUAGUCCCGGUUGGUAACACCAACCGGUACUAAAGGAAAUUUUAUGAUUUUGUUUUUUGGAAAAAAAAAUUGAUUUUUUUUAUUUUCAAAUUUCUGAAUUAUUUUAACCUCUAAUCUCUAAUCACCCCUCAUCACUGCUCAAUUUAACCUCUAAUCUCUAAUCACCCCUCAUCAUUCCAAAUCAUCUAACUUCCCGGACGGUCACCCAUACUCUCACUACUCCAGCCUGAGCACGCUUAACUUCCGAGUUCUAUUCUCCCUCGUUUCCAAGUCUGCACUUGUUGUUUUCCUGACAAUAGUAAGAUGUCAAUCCUAUUAACCCUCAGUAAUUUAGCUUGAGCAUGAAGUCACACAUUUCACUGUUUGAGUUUGAAACUAUUGUUCUAAAAAACAAUAAUUAUUUAGUAAAACUAAUUUUUCUUGAAUAAGUAGUUUGACCAUAGUUUGACCACAGUUCGACCACAGUUUGACCAGAUUCGACCAAAAUUCAAAAAAACUGAAAUAAUUAUUUAGUAACACUAAUAUUUCUUGAAUAAUUAGUUUGACCAUUGUUUGACCACAGUUUGACCAGAUUUGACCAAAAUUCAAAAAAACUGAAAUAAUUAUUUAGUAACACUAAUAUUCUUGAAUAAUUAUUUAGUAACACUAAUACUUCUUGAAUAAGUAGUUUGACCAUAGUUUGACCAGAUUUAACAAAAAUUCAAAAAAAACUGAAAUUUGAGCAUAACUUUUUUUCCUUUUAGAAUUUGAGGAUUCUAAAAAUUUGCAAACGGGCCAUGGGCCGUCAAAAUCGGAUGCGGAUUUUCGUGCUGAACAUUUUGAUAUAUUAUACGUUUUUUCUGACAUCGUAUGCAAAAGUUAUAGCCGUUUUACAUUUUCCCUACACUUUUUGCAAAACAUGUCCAAAUUUAAGUUUUUAAAUUUUGGUAACUAGUACAUCUAGUAACAUAACUACAUCUGGAAGGAUUUUAAUUUUUGAAGUUUUUAUCAUUUUCUUUUGCUUUUUACAAAACUGAAAAGGCGAUCCACUUGGGGGGGUAGAGUUUGAAAAUGGGACCUUUAGUACCGGUUCGUGCCAUGAACCGGUACUAAUGCCUCAAACCCCAUUAGUACCGGUUGGUGGCUCGAACCGGGACUAAAGGUCUAACCUUUAGUACCGUUGGUGCCACGAACCGGUACUAAUGGGCAUCGCACCCUUUAGUCCCGGUUCGUGGCACCAACCGGGACUAAAGGUCCCAUUUGAACAGGGACUAAUGCCUGUACGGUGCCCUAGCCGCUCGAACCGGGACUAAUGCUCACAUUAGUCCCGGUUCGUAAUGCAACCGGGAUUAAUGCUUUUUUCUGGCCGAACCAAAGCCCUGUUUUCUACUAGUGAAUCUUGAUCAUAAACCCACAAUUCAUCGGAUCUCGACAAACACACCGCAAAAAAGAGUUACAUCGAAUAGAUCUCCAAGAAGAUCGAGGAGAACUUUUUAUUGAGAUCCAAAGAGAGAGAAGAAGCCAUCUAGCUAAUAACUAUGGACCCGAAGGUCUGUGGUAAACUACUCACACAUCAUCGGAGAGGCUAUGGUGUUGAUGUAGAAGCCCUCUGUGAUCGAUUCCCCCUCCGGCGGAGCACCGGAAAAGGCCCCAAGGUGGGAUCUCACGGGUACAUAAGGUUGCGGUGGUGGAAAUAGGGUUUCGUGGUGCUCCUGGAUGGUUUUGGGAUACGUAGGUAUAUAUAGGAGGAAGAAGUAGGUCGGUGGAGCCACGAGGGGCCCACGAGGGUGGGGGCGCGCCCAGGGGGGCAGGCGCGCCUCCCUGCCUCGUGGCUUCCUCGUUGAUUUCUUGACGUCCAGUCCAAGUCCUCUAGAUCACGUUUGUUCCAAAAAUCACGCUCCCGAAGGUUUCAUUCUGUUUGGACUCUGUUUGAUAUUCCUUUUCUGUGAAACACUAAAAUAGGCAAAAAAACAGCAAUUUGCACUGGGCCUUGGGUUAAUAGGUUAGUCCCAAAAAUAAUAUAGAAGUGUAUAAUAAAGCCCAUUAAACAUCGAAAACAGAAUAUAUAAUAGCAUGGAGCAAUCAAAAAUUAUAGAUACGUUGGAGACGUAUCAUACGUGGACACGCUCUCCCAUCUCGUUGCUAUGCUUCUCCUAGAUAGAUCUUGCGUGAUCGUAGGAAAUUUUUUGAAUUACUACGUUCCCCAACAUUACUAUGUACCUGUUGGUUUAUGUUGAUGACAUUAUUUUUACCAGCUCCUCAGUGACUAUCACUGAUCGUCUGCUGUCUGCUCUGAGUGGUCAUUUUGCUGUCAAUGAUCUGGGUGCUCUCCAUUAAUUCCUUGGUCUGGAAGUUUCACGGUCCCCUACUGGCCUGUCUCUCACUCAGCAUAAGUAUUCCUUGGACUUGUUGCGACGUGCUGGUAUGUUGCAAUGCAAGCAUGCUACCACCCCUACGUCUACGACUGAUCGGUUAUCAGCCUUGGAUGGUGCCUUCCUUCCUUCAGAUGAUGCUACAGAGUACCGCAGUAUUGUUGGUGGCUUGCAGUACUUGACUAUCACACGGCCGGAUAUCUCCUAUGCGGUCAACCGUGUGUGCCAGUAUCUUCAUGCUCCUCGGAGUUCACACUUGUCAGUUGUGAAGCGUAUACUGCGUUAUCUCUCUCAUACCAUCUCCUAUGGCUUGCAUCUUCGGUCUACCUCCUCGAGUGCUGUCUCGGCGUUCUCUGAUGUAGAUUGGGCUGGGAGCCUAGAUGACCGGCGAUCAACAGGGGGCUAUGUUGUCUUCUUUGGUCGCAACUUGAUCCCCUGGAGUGAGCGCAAGCAGGUUACAGUAUCUCGGAGUAGCAAUGAAGCAGAGUACAAGGCGGUUGUCAAUGCCACGGCUGAGCUUAUUUGGGUACAGUCUCUGUUGAGAGAGUUGGGAGUCUCUCAAGAGCAACCACGGGUUCUUUGGUGUGAUAAUAUUGGUGUGACGUAUCUUUCAUCUAAUCCAGUUUUUCAUGCUCGUACCAAGCACAUCAAAGUUGAGUAUCACUUUGUGAGGGAACGUGUUGCAUAGAAGGUUCUUCAUAUCAAGUUCAUCUCCUCCAAAGAUCAACUUGCCAGCAUCUUCACGAAGCCACUUCCACAACCUCAGUUUGAAGGUUGUAGGCGCAGUCUUAACUUGCUUUGUACUUCAGGCCACAGUUAAGCACUAGUGGAAAAAAGCCAAGCUAUGGCGUGGCAAAUAGUGCCUUGCUGGCGUAGACACCCAACGCCACCAAUAUGGCGACAUUGUUAAGAAAUACUGGUGGCGCGGGUUGACACAUUAGCAGUAUCAUACAUUGUGCUGGCGUGUAACCAGUCCAGCACCAGCACUAAGUUCAUCAUAACUCUGUCGUCCCUACUUGUCCAACGCCAGCAAAUGGUUUUUUUGGUAAUAAAUUUUUUUGCUCAUCAACACUAGCUACUUAGUUAAUAGAUAAUAUUGAACAGAAUAUACUCAUCAACACUAGGUACUUACUUAAUAUAUAGUCAUUACAGAAGAGGCUCAUCAACUCAACAAGUUGAUAUGAAUUAAACUUCACAAAAGUUGCUCACUCAAGUACUCUAGUUACUCCAUCAUCAACAAAUAAUAAGAUGAACUAGUUUUCAUCAAGGAGUAUGCCCAGCUAGAGAAGCUUCUUUCUAUCCCCCUCUCCUUCUCUACUGAAAUGGUCUAUGUCCAUCUUCAGGUCAAUCCUCUGAGCCCUGAGGUGUCUCCUCUCCUCCUUCAGUUUAUCCCGAUCCUCGACGAGCUUAUCCCUCUCGUCCCUAAGAUGAUUAGUCUCCUUGUGUAGCUAUUUAAUCUCCCCCUUUAGCUCAACAUUUUCCCCUUGCACGCUCUUGAUGACGUACUCAUAAGUGUUUAAGAAUUCAUUGUUGGCCAUGUCCACAUCACACACCGACUCAUUGUUACCUCCAAAAUUGGCCAUGACCUACAAACACAACGCGUAUACGAUCAAGAUAAUAUGCAAUUUCAUUUCACUCAAUAAAUAUUGGAAUGUAUAGAACUAAUUAAACUAGAUAGCAUGUAUAGAACUAAUUAAACUAGAUAGCAAUGUAAUGUAUAGAACUAUUGGAUUGUGACUAUAUUUGCCACACCUAACUUUGAGCAUUACUUUCGAGUGGAAAUUUUCUUUGGACACUCAACUAUUUUGCCACACCUAACUUGGAGCAUUACUUUCAAGUGGAAAUUUUCUUUGGUGAAAAAGUAGUACACAAUAGAUUUUCCCCAAGGUAUUUAUGGAUUACAACAGCAACUCAAACACUUUGUUUCAGAAUUUAAAAUGCUUCCAAAGAUGAUGACUUAAAAAAUAUAUCUACCUUAAUUUGAUUGACAGAUUGGACUUCUAGUUUCUACAAACAUUGAAAAAUAUAUCUACCUUAAUUCUAGACAAGUACAACACAUUGUCACUGCCUAGGAGUGAUGAACCCCAACGGUGCAAAUAAAAAAUUACAGUGGCAGUGACCUACAACAAAAGAGGGAGGGAUGAUAUGCUCACCUGGGUUGGAGCCGAGGGUCGCCUACAGUCUACUCCGUCGCUGUCGCCUGCUACCGUCGCCGAAACCCUAGCAGAUGAGAGUGGGAGGCUCAGAUGUGAAACACACCUCUAAUUAAAAAAAUCCAAAUGGACCAUAUGAGAGUGGGAGGCUCAUAUGUGUACCUCAGGACCGGAGAAGGACGACAAUCGCCGGAAUCGGCCGAAAUCGAAGCGGCACGAUGAGCGGCGAGAGACGGAGAGAAAAUGGAACGGAACAGAGCAGCAGGGCAGAGAGAGGGAGUGGGUCGAGGGGGCCUUUGCCCCCGUUGGUUUUGACCCCCACGGGAUUCUAAUACUAUUUGGGCUUGCCCAAUAAGAAAAAAGAUCAUCACCUAAAAAAUGUCAUCUCAAAACUAUAUAUUUCAAGUCUAAAACUAAAAAGGAAAAAAAAGUAAAUUAAACAAAAGUAAACAAUAAUAUACUAUUAAAAAUAUCACCACAUAAAAAACUAAAAAGAAAAAAAUUGGAAGUGUCAAACUACAUAUUUGAAGNNNNNNNNNNNNNNNNNNNNNNNNNNNNNNNNNNNNNNNNNNNNNNNNNNNNNNNNNNNNNNNNNNNNNNNNNNNNNNNNNNNNNNNNNNNNNNNNNNNNNNNNNNNNNNNNNNNNNNNNNNNNNNNNNNNNNNNNNNNNNNNNNNNNNNNNNNNNNNNNNNNNNNNNNNNNNNNNNNNNNNNNNNNNNNNNNNNNNNNNNNNNNNNNNNNNNNNNNNNNNNNNNNNNNNNNNNNNNNNNNNNNNNNNNNNNNNNNAGGAAAAAAAAAAUAUAAAGUCCCAAAUUACAUAUUUUUAAAAUGUCAUUAUUUCCAUUUAAAAUAAUAGAAAUUUAAUAAAAGUAAACUAUAAUAUACUAAAAAAAGAACACCACAUAAAUGACUAAAAAGAAAAAAUUGGAAGUGUGCAACUACAUAUUUGAAGGCUCAAAAACUAUAUAUUUCAAGUCUUAAACUAAAAAGGAAAAAAAUAAAUUGAAAGUCUCAAAGUACAUAUUUUAAAAAAUGUCAUUAUUUCUAUUUCAAAUAAUAGAAAUUUAAUAAAAGUAAACUAUAAUAUACUAUAAAAAAGAAUAUACCAAAAAAUAGUAAUAUAAGAAUGUUGGCAUUGACAAAAUAACAAUACUGGCGUCGGUUACAACAGCACGUCACAACUAAAUAUAAUAGUGCUGGCGUUCCAUACUAUUCCACGACAGCAAUAUAUUACGCCUGAUACAAAUUGUUGAUCCCAUAUAUUUUUGAUGCUACCCUGUUUCCAACGCCACCACUAUGCCCCUACUAAUGUCGUUCCAAAUAAGCCAAUGCCAUCACUAUUUGAAAAAAAAUAGUGGUGUCGUUGGUUGUAAAUGGCGCGCCACCAAGGAAAGUUGUGGCUAGCCCUUUUUCCACUAGUGAAGAUUGAUGGAGACUGUUAGAUAAUCUUUAUACGUAGCUUCUGUGUAGACUCUGUAUAUUGUAUUUGUACACUUCGUAUACCCUUACAUAUAUGAGAUAGCCACACCCGUAUUUGGUGUUGUGCAGUUUCCCACAAACAUAACGUUUUACAAUCCUGAGAGGCCAUCCAAGGGAGUCUGUUGUAGGCUCUGUUGGGGAACGUAGUAAUUUCAAAAAUUUCCUACGCACACGCAAGAUCAUGGUGAUGCAUAGCAACGAGAGGGGAGAGUGUGUCCACGUACCCUCAUAGACCGAAAGCGGAAGCGUUAGCACAACGCGGUUGAUGUAGUCGUACGUCUUCACGAUCCGACCGAUCAAGUACCAAACGCACGGCACCUCCGAGUUCAGCACACGUUCAACUCGAUGACGUCCCUCGAACUCUGAUCCAGCCGAGCUUUGAGGGAGAGUUCCAUCAGCACAACGGCGUGGUGACGAUGAUGAUGUUCUACCGACGCAGGGCUUCGCCGAAGCACUGUUACGAUAUUAUCGAGGUGGAUUACAGUGGAGGGGGGCACCGCACACGGCUAAGAGAUCCAAGGGAUCAAUUGUUGUGUCUAUGAGGUGCCUCCCUGCCCCCGUAUAUAAAGGAGCAAGGGGGAGGCGGCCGGCCAAGGAGGAGGGCGCGCCAAGGGGGGAGUCCUACUCCCACCGGGAGUAGGACUCCUCCUUUCCUUGUUGGAGUAGGAGAGAAGGAAAGAGGGGGAGAGGGAGAAGGAAAAGGGGGCUGCACCCCUUGUCCAAUUCGGACCAGAGGGGGGUUGCGCGCCUCCUUCCUUUUGGCCUCUCUUCUCUAUUCCCGUAUGGCCCAAUAAGGCCCAAAAUUUCUCCCCGGCGAAUUCCCGUAACUCUCCGGUACUCCAAUAAAUACCCGAAUCACUCGGAACCUUUCCGAAGUCCGAAUAUAGUCGUCCAAUAUAUCGAUCUUUACGUCUCGGCCAUUUCGAGACUCCUCGUCAUGUCCCCGAUCUCAUCCGGGACUCCGAACUACCUUCGGUACAUCAAAACACAUAAACUCAUAAUAUAACCGUCAUCGAACAUUAAGCGUGCGGACCCUACGGGUUCGAGAACUAUGUAGACAUGACCGAGACACGUCUCCGGUCAAUAACCAAUAGCGGAACCUAGAUGCUCAUAUUGGCUCCCACAUAUUCUACGAAGAUCUUUAUCGGUCAGACCGCAUAACAACAUACGUUGUUCCCUUUGUCAUCGGUAUGUUACUUGCCCGAGAUUCGAUCGUCGGUAUCUCAAUACCUAGUUCAAUCUUGUUACCGACAAGUCUCUUUACUCGUUCCGUAAUACAUCAUCCCGCAACUAGCUCAUUAGUUGCAAUGCUUGCAAGGCUUAUAGUGAUGUGCAUUAUCGAGUGGGCCCAGAGAUACCUCUCCGACAAUCGGAGUGACAAAUCCUAAUCUCGAAAUACGCCAACCCAACAAGUACCUUUGGAGACACCUGUGGAGCACCUUUAUAAUCACCUAGUUACGUUGUGACAUUUGGUAGCACACAAAGUGUUCCUCCGGUAAACGGGAGUUGCAUAAUCUCAUAGUCAUAGGAACAUGUAUAAGUCAUGAAGAAAGCAAUAGCAACAUACUCAACGAUCGAGUGCUAAGCUAACGGAAUGGGUCAAGUCAAUCACAUCAUUCUCCUAAUGAUGUGAUCCCAUUAAUCAAAUGAAAACUCAUGUCUAUGGCUAGGAAACAUAACCAUCUUUGAUCAACGAGCUAGUCAAGUAGAGGCAUACUAGUGACACUCUGUUUGUCUAUGUAUUCACACAAGUAUUAUGUUUCCGGUUAAUACAAUUCUAGCAUGAAUAAUAAACAUUUAUCAUGAUAUAAGGAAAUAAAUAAUAACUUUAUUAUUGCCUCUAGGGCAUAUUUCCUUCAGUCUCCCACUUGCACUAGAGUCAAUAAUCUAGUUCACAUCGCCAUGUGAUUUAACACCAAUAGGUCACAUCACCAUGUGAUUAACACCCAUAGUUCACAUCGUCAUGUGACCAAUACCCAAAGGGUUUACUAGAGUCAAUAAUCUAGUUCACGUCGCUAUGUGAUUAACACCCAAAGAGUACUAAGGUGUGAUCAUGUUUUGCUUGUGAGAGAAGUUUAGUCUAUGGGUCUGUCACAUUCAGAUCUGUAUGUAUUUUGCAAAUUUCUAUGUCAACAAUGCUCUGCACGGAGCUACUCUAGCUAAUUGCUCCCACUUUCAAUAUGUAUCCAGAUUGAGACUUAGAGUCAUCUGGAUCAGUGUCAAAACUUGCAUCGAUGUAACCCUUUACGACGAACCUUUUUGUCACCUCCAUAAUCGAGAAACAUAUCCUUAUUACAUUAAGGAUAAUUUUGACCGAUGUCCAGUGAUCUACUCCUAGAUCACUAUUGUACUCCCUUGCAAAAAUCAGUGUAGGGUAUACAAUAGAUCUGGUACACAGCAUGACAUACUUUAUAGAACCUAUGGCUGAGGCAUAGGGAAUGACUUUCAUUCUCUUUCUAUCUUCUGCCGUGGUCGGGCUUUGAGUCUUACUCAAUUUCACACCUUGUAACACAAGCAAGAAACUCUUUCUUUGACUGUUCCAUUUUGAACCACUUCAAAAUCUUGUUAAGGUAUGUACUCAUUGAAAAAACUUAUCAAGCGUCUUGAUCUAUCUCUAUAGAUCUUGAUGCUCAAUAUGUAAGCAGCUUCACCGAGGUCUUUCUUUGAAAAACUCUUUUCAAACACUCCUUUAUGCUUUGCAGAAUAAUUCUACAUUAUUUCCGAUCAACAAUAUGUCAUUCACAUAUACUUAUCAGAAAUGUUGUAGUGCUCCCACUCACUUUCUUGUAAAUACAGGCUGCACCGCAAGUCUGUAUAAAACUAUAUGCUUUGAUCAACUUAUCAAAGCGUAUAUUCCAACUCUGAGAUGCUUGCACCAGUCCAUAGAUGGAUCGCUGGAGCUUGCAUAUUUUGUUAGCACCUUUAGGAUUGACAAAACCUUCUGGUUGCAUCAUAUACAACUCGUUUUUUUAAUAAAUCCAUUAAGGAAUGCAGUUUUGUUUAUCCAUUUGCCAGAUUUCAUAAAAUGCGGCAAUUGCUAACAUGAUUCGGACAGACUUAAGCAUAGAGACGAGUGAGAAACUCUCAUCACAGUCAACACCUUGAACUUGUCGAAAACCUUUUGCGACAAUUCUAGCUCUGUAGAUAGUAACACUACUAUCAGCGCCCGUCUUCCUCUUGAAGAUCCAUUUAAUCUCAAUGGCUCGCCGAUCAUUGGGCAAGUCAAUCAAAGUCCAUACUUUGUUCUCAUACAUGGAUCCCAUCUCAGAUUUCAUGGCCUCAAGCCAUUUUGCGGAAUCUGGGCUCAUCAUCACUUCCUCAUAGUUCGUAGGUUCGUCAUGGUCAAGUAACAUGACCUCCAGAACAGGAUUACCGUACCACUCUGGUGCGGAUCUCAUUCUGGUUGACCUACGAGGUUCGGUAGUAACUUGAUCCGAAGCUUCAUGAUCAUCAUCAUUAACUUCCUCACUAAUUGGUGUAAGCAUCACUGGAACUGAUUUUAGUGAUGAACUACUUUCCAAUUUGGGAGAAGGUACAGUUACCUCAUCAAGUUCUACUUUCCUCCCACUCACUUCUUUCGAGAGAAACUCCUUCUCUAGAAAGGAUCCAUUCUUAGCAACGAAUUUGCCUUUGGAUCUGUGAUAGAAGAUAUACCCAAUAGUCACCUUUGGGUAUCCUAUGAAGACGCAUUUCUCCGAUUUGGGUUCAAGCUUAUCAUGUUGAAACUUUUUCACAUAAGCAUCGCAACCCCAAACUUUAAGAAACGGCAACUUUGGUUUCUUGCCAAACCACAGUUCAUAUGGUGUCGUCUCAAACGGAUUUAGAUGGUGCCCCUUUUUUUACGUGAAUGCAGCUGUCUCUAAUGCAUAACCCCAAAACUAUAGUGGUAAAUCGGUAAGAAACAUCAUAGAUUGCACUAUAUCCAAUAAAGUACGGUUAUGACGUUCGGACACACCAUUAGGCUGUGGUGUUCCAGGUGGCACGAAUUUGUGAAACUAUUCCACAUUGUUUUAAUUGAAGACCAAACUCGUAACUCAAAUAUUUGUCUCCGCGAUCAGAUCAUAGAAACCUUAUUUUCUUGUCACGAUGAUUUUCCACUUCACUCUGAAAUUCUUUGAACCUUUCAAAUGUUUCAGACUUAUGUUUCAUCAUGUAGAUAUACCCAUAUCUGCUCAAAUCAUCUGUGAAGGUCAGAAAAUAACGAUACCCGCCGCGAGCCUCAACACUCAUCGGAUCGCAUACAUCAGUAUGUAUUAUUUCCAAUAAGUCAGUUGCUCGCUCCAUUGUUCCGGAGAAUGGAGUCUUAGUCAUCUUGCCCAUAAGGCAUGGUUCACAAGCAUCAAGUGAUUCAUAAUCAAGUGAUUCCAAAGCCCAUCAGCAUGGAGUUUCUUCAUGCGCUUUACACCAAUAUGACCUAAACGGCAGUGCCACAAAUAAGUUGCACUAUCAUUAUUAACUUUGCAUCUUUUGGCUUCAAUAUUAUGAAUAUGUGUAUCACUACGAUCGAGAUCCAACGAACCAUUUUCAUUGGGUGUGUAACCAUAUAAGGUUUUAUUCAUGUAAACAGAACAACAAUUAUUCUCUAACUUAAAUGAAUAACCUUAUUGCAAUAAACAUGAUCAAAUCAUAUUCAAGCUCAACGCAAACACCAAAUAACACUUAUUUAGGUUCAACACUAAUCCCGAAAGUAUAGGGAGUGUGCGAUGAUGAUCAUAUCAAUAUUGGAACCACUUCCAAUACACAUCGUCACUUCAUCCUCAACUAGUUUCUGUUCAUUAUGCAACUCCCGUUUCGAGUUACUACUCUUUAGCAACUGAGCCAGUAUCAAAUACCGAGGGGUUGCUAUAAACACUAGUAAAGUACACAUCAAUAACAUGUAUAUCCAAUAUACCUUUGUUCACUUUGCCAUCCUUCUUAUCCACCAAAUACUUGGGGUAGUUCCGCUUCCAGUGACCAGUCCCUUUGCAGUAGAAGCACUUAGUCUCAGGCUUAGGACCAGACUUAGGCUUCUUCACUUGAGCAGCAACUUGCUUGCCGUUCUUCUUGAAGUUCCCCUUCUUCCCUUUGCCCUUUUCUUGAAACUAGUGGUCUCGUCAACCAUCAACACUUGAUGUUUUUCUUGAUUUCUACCUUCGUCGAUUUCAGCAUCACGAAGAGCUCGGGAAUUACUUUGGUCAUCCCUUGCAUACUAUAGUUCAUCACGAAGUUCUACUAACUUGGUGAUGGUGACUAGAGAAUUCUGUCAAUCACUAUUUUAUAUGGAAGAUUAACUCCCACUUGAUUCAAGCGAUUGUAGUACCCAGACAAUCUGAGCACAUGCUCACUGCUUGAGCUAUUCUCCUCCAUCUUUUAGCUAUAGAACUUGUUGGAGACUUCAUAUCUCUCAACUCGGGUAUUUGCUUGAAAUAUUAACUUCAACUCCUGGAACAUCUCAUAUGGUCCAUGACAUUCAAAACGUCUUUGAAGUCCCAAUUCUAAGCCGUUAAGCAUGGUGCACUAAACUAUCAAGUAGUCAUCAUAUUGAGCUAGCCAAACGUUCAUAACGUCUGCAUCUGCUCCUGCAAUAGGUCUGUCACCUAGCGGUGCAUCAAGGACAUAAUUCUUCUGUGCAGCAACGAGGAUAAUCCUCAGAUCACGGAUCCAAUCCGCAUCUUUGCUACUAACAUCUUUCAACAUAAUUUUUCUCUAGGAACACAUCAAAGAUAAACAAAGGGAAGCAACAACGCGAGCUAUUGAUCUACAACACAAUUUGCAAAAUACUAUCAGGACUAAGUUCAUGAUAAAUUUAAGUUCAAUUAAUCAUAUUACUUAAGAACUCCCACUUAGAUAGACAUCCCUCUAAUCCUCUAAGUGAUCACGUGAUCCAUAUCAACUAAACCAUGUCCGAUCAUCAUGUGAGAUGGAGUAGUUUCAACAGUGAACAUCACUAUGUUGAUCAUAUCUACUAUAUGAUUCACGCUCGACCUUUCGGUAUCCGUGUUCCGAGGCCAUAUCUGUUAUAUGCUAGGCUCGUCAAGCUUAACCUGAGUAUUCCGCAUGUGCAACUGUUUUGCUCCUGUUGUAUUUGAACGUAGAGCCUAUCACACCCGAUCAUCACGUGGUGUCUCAGCACGAAGAACUUUCGCAACGGUGCAUACUUAGGGAGAACACUUAUACUUUGACAAUUUAGUGAGGGAUCAUCUUAUAAUGCUACCGUCAAUCAAAGCAAGAUAAGAUGCAUAAAAGAUAAACAUCACAUGCAAUCAAUAUAAGUGAUAUGAUAUGGCCAUCAUCAUCUUGUGCUUGUGAUCUCCAUCUCCGAAGCACCGUCACGAUCACCAUCGUCACCGGCGCGACACCUUGAUCUCCAUCGUAGCAUCGUUGUCGUCUCGCCAAUCUUAUGCUUCUACGACUAUCGCUACCGCUUAGUGAUAAAGUAAAGCAUUAUAGGGCGACUGCAUUGCAUACAAUAAAGCGACAACCAUAUGGCUCCUGCCAGUUGCCGAUAACUCGAUUACAAAACAUGAUCAUCUCAUACAAUAAAAUUUAGCAUCAUGUCUUGACCAUAUCACAUCACAACAUGCCCUGCAAAAACAAGUUAGACGUCCUCUACUUUGUUGUUGCAAGUUUUACGUGGCUCCUACUGGGCUUAGUAAGAACCGUUCUUACCUACGCAUCAAAACCACAACGAUAGUUUGUCAAGUUGGUGCUGUUUUAACCUUCGCAAGGACCGGGCGUAGCCACACUCGGUUCAACUAAAGUUGGAGAAACUGACACCCGCGAGCCACCUCUGUGCAAAGCACGUCGGAAGAACCAGUCUCGCGUAAGCAUACGCGUAAUGUCGGUCCGGGCCGCUUCAUCCAACAAUACCGCCGAACCAAAGUAUGACAUGCUGGUAAGCAGUAUGACUUAUAUCGCCCACAACUCACUUGUGUUCUACUCGUGCAUAUAACAUCAACGCAUAAAACCAGGCUCGGAUGCCACUGUUGGGGAACGUAGUAAUUUCAAAAAUUUCCUACGCACACGCAAGAUCAUGGUGAUGCAUAGCAACGAGAGGGGAGAGUGUGUCCACGUACCCUCGUAGACCGAAAGUGGAAGCGUUAGCACAACGCGGUUGAUGUAGUCGUACGUCUUCACGAUCCGACCGAUCAAGUACCGAACGCACGGCACCUCCGAGUUCAGCACACGUCCAACUCGAUGACGUCCCUCGAACUCCGAUCCAGCCGAGCUUUGAGGGAGAGUUCCGUCAGCACGACGGCGUGGUGACGAUGAUGAUGUUCUAUCGACGCAGGGCUUCGCCUAAGCACUGCUACGAUAUUAUCGAGGUGGAUUAUGGUGGAGGGGGGCACCGCACACGGCUAAGAGAUCCAAGGGAUCAAUUGUUGUGUCUAUGGGGUGCCCCCCUGCCCCCGUAUAUAAAGGAGCAAGGGGGAGGCGGCCGGCCAAGGAGGAGGGCGCGCCAAGGGGGAGUCCUACUCCCACCGGGAGUAGGACUCCUCCUUUCCUUGUUGGAGUAGGAGAGAAGGAAAGAGGGGGAGAGGGAGAAGGAAAAGGGGGCUGCACCCCUUGUCCAAUUCGGACCAGAGGGGGGUUGCACGCCUCCUUCCUUUUGGCCUCUCUUCUCUAUUCCCGUAUGGCCCAAUAAGGCCCAAUAUUUCUCCCCGGCGAAUUCCCGUAACUCUCCGGUACUCCAAUAAAUACCCGAAUCACUCGGAACCUUUCCGAAGUCCGAAUAUAGUCGUCCAAUAUAUCGAUCUUUACGUCUCGGCCAUUUCGAGACUCCUCGUCAUAUCCCCGAUCUCAUCCGGGACUCCGAACUACCUUCGGUACAUCAAAACACAUAAACUCAUAAUAUAACCGUCAUCGAACUUUAAGCGUGCGGACCCUACGGGUUCGAGAACUAUGUAGACAUGAACGAGACACGUCUCUGGUCAAUAACCAAUAGCGGAACCUAGAUGCUCAUAUUGGGUCCCACAUAUUCUACGAAGAUCUUUAUCGGUCAGACCGCAUAACAACAUACGUUGUUCCCUUUGUCAUCGGUAUGUUACUUGCCCGAGAUUCCAUCGUCGGUAUCUCAAUACCUAGUUCAAUCUCGUUACCGGCAAGUCUCUUUACUCGUUCCGUAAUACAUCAUCCCACAACUAGCUCAUUAGUUGCAAUGCUUAUAGUGAUGUGCAUUAUCGAGUGGGCCCAGAGAUACCUCUCCGACAAUCGGAGUGACAAAUCCUAAUCUCGAAAUACGCCAACCCAACAAGUACCUUCCGAGACACCUGUAGAGCACCUUUAUAAUCACCCAGUUACGUUGUGACGUUUGGUAGCACACAAAGUGUUCCUCCGGUAAACGGGAGUUGCAUAAUCUCAUAGUCAUAGGAACAUGUAUAAGUCAUGAAGAAAGCAAUAGCAACAUACUAAACGAUCGAGUGCUAAGUUAACGGAAUGGGUCAAGUCAAUCACAUCAUUCUCCUAAUGAUGUGAUCCCGUUAAUCAAAUGACAACUCAUGUCUAUGGCUAGGAAACAUAACCAUCUUUGAUCAACGAGCUAGUCAAGUAGAGGCAUACUAGUGACACUCUGUUUGUCUAUGUAUUCACACAAGUAUUAUGUUUCCGGUUAAUACAAUUCUAGCAUGAAUAAUAAACAUUUAUCAUGAUAUAAGGAAAUAAAUAAUAACUUUAUUAUUGCCUCUAGGGCAUAUUUCCUUCAGGCUCAUGCCAUUUUUACCCUGUCUAACUAGACCUAAAGUGGCGAAGUUACUAGCAUGUCGCCAUGUCCUUGCACUAGAGAAGGAAGUUGGAGUCUAGAUGAUCGUCUUGGAGAUGGACUGCAAGAUGGUUGUGUGCAAGUUGAACUCUGAAGGGAAGGACGGCCCACCCCAUGGUCCGGCGGUUGAAGAUGUGAAGGGCAUUCUCCAAAAUUUUAUUGAGUCCAAGAUCACUUGGGUUCAUAGAGAGGUGAAUUGUAUUACCUACAUCUUAGAUAAUCAACAUUGUCGGAAUGAGUUGUGAAAAACAUGGCUUAGUGUGCCUCCGAAUUGUACUAGCGCCGUUUGAACUCUGGCACUGCCGAGAACUCUGAAUACAAUGGCAACCAUUCUAUCUAAAAAAAUGAUUCUUUACAGGUAUCUUUUGCCUUAUCAAUAAAUCGAGUAUAAAGAAUUCGGUUUAAAUUAGAAGCAAGGUGAUUACCAACAUACUUAUUUUAUUCCUUAUCUAUAUCUUAAUGCAUGGCUAUAAUAAGAUGAUAUAUCUUUCAUCAAAAAGUUGCUAGUAUUACUUUUAUUUGACUAGGGAACUAAAUCAUGACUACUACUACCUCUGUCCUGAUUUAUUUGGGCUCCUUGUAGUUUGGGUCAAACUUUGACAUUUGAUUUAACUAUUAAAAAAUAAGUUAUAUACUCUAAGAAUAGUAUCAUCGAAAUCCUCUUUCAAAUAUAAACCAAACAAUAUAAGUUUUGUGACAUACAACUUAUAAUUUGUUAGUCAAAUAUACGGUCAAAGUUGGACACAAAAUACGAAAGGGACUAAUAAACACGGACGGAGGUAGUAAUAGUACUCCCUCCGGAACAAAUAAAUGCGCUACCAAAUAGUAAGUAUAUAUUUGUUUCUAAAUAUAAGAAUAUUACUAUUAAAUACUACUAUACCAAAGAUAUAAGAAUAGUAAAUACUAGUAUACCAAAGAUAUACCUAAAUAUAAUAAUANNNNNNNNNNNNNNNNNNNNNNNNNNNNNNNNNNNNNNNNNNNUUAAAUACUAUUAACUCCGUUCCAAAAUAUAAGAAUAUUACUAUAAAGUACUAUUAGCUAUGUUCUAAUAUUUAGUAAUAGAGAUAAUAUUAUUUAGUAGUGAUAUAUCUUUAUUCCUCAUUAAAUAUAAGAAUAUUACUAUUAAAUACUAGAAUCCCAAAGAUAUAUCUAAUAGUAUACCAAAGAUAUACAACAAUUAAAUAAUAUUACCUCUGUUCCAAAAUAUAAGAAUGUUACUAUUAAAUACUGUCACAUCUAUUCUUAUAUUUAGUAACAUCGAUAAUAAUAUUUAAUAGUAGUAUAUCAUUGUUCCUAAAUAUAAGAAUAUUACUAUUAAAUACCAGUAUACCAAAUAUAUAUCUAAUAGUAUACCAAAGAUAUACCAAAAUAUAAGAAUAUUUAAUAGAAAUAUACCAAAGAUAUGCUACUAUUAAAUGCUGGUAUUAAAUAAAUAAAUCUGUAGUUCAACACGCGGUCCCCACCUUGGCCCGUGCCUUCCGUUUCAGUUCAUAAAGGGCAACACAUGCUUCUGCUCCUCGCUCACAUUCUUCUCAUCCCAAUCUCCUCGACCCACUCCGCGCGUGUGCUCGACCGAUCCACCGCUAUGUCUAGCUCCGGCAUCAACACCAUACCCACAGCCAACCACGAGGAGCAGAGCCUGGCGGCGCCCGCCCCGCCCCCUACGGCCGCCGUCGCCGAGGGGAAAGGGAAGGUGCUUGCGCAACAGGCGCCUGCGCCGGUGGUUCGCAAGCGCAAGUCCGGCAGAGACCCGCAGAAAAGCCCGCCCCCAGCGGCCACCAGAGAGGAGCUGGAAUCCCGGGAGUCCCGGGAAGGCCCCUUGAAGGUCCUUGCGCUCCCGGCCCCAGGGGCCCCGCGUACUCACGCUGUCUCCGGCGACAAGAUGAUGAGACGCGCUCGCGCCCGCACCCUGCAUGCAAAUGCUGUCUCCAACGACAAGAUGGUGAGCCGCGCUCGCGCCCCCACCCUUCAUGCAAACCCUGUCUCCGAUGACAAGAUGGUGAGCCGCACUCGCUUCCCCCUCUCCUACUAGUGAUUUGAAGUUAACCGGUGCCUAAUGAUUUGAAGUUACUGACAAUCUUUGAUCUAGUCAUGUGAAUUAGUACUAGUGCUUACUGAAUUACCUGAUGUGUAUGUGCAAGAGCUACGUGGUGUGUAUAUGUCCUUGGACUUUCUAAUCGCUGGGUUCUCUUGUGGCAGAUGGACGGGAAAAAUGAGAUGGCGCAGGUCCAGGGGGUGCCGCCCAUGCGGGGAAGCAUCGCGGCUUCAAGCUCGAUUGGUAAGUACUCCAUACUGGUUUUUCUGUCAGUAUCACGGCUGUUUUUUGUCAUCAUUAGUAUAAUGAUAUUGGACUGAAGCUCGUCAACUCUUUCGAUGCUGUAUUUCUGGCAUCAUUAGUAUACUGAUAUUGGACUAAAGUUGGUUAGCUCUUUCCAUGCUGGACUUUUGGCAUCAUUAGUAUACUGAUAUUGGACUGAAGCUUGUUAGCUCUGUCCAUGCUCGGUUUUUUGUCAUCAUUAGUAUAGUGAUAUAUUGGACUGAAGCUGCACAUGUUUUGUUUCCAUUAACGUUGGUCUAGCAGUGCUACGCGUCAGUCGGCCGAUCGUAGCCGCCAUACAAGCCUUAUUUUAAUCAAGUUCCACCCGUCACUGCAUAUAUUAACGUUGGUUUUGGCACUAGCUACGUAUACAAACGCGAGCACCGGCACUGUGUGGCAGCAUGGAAGACAUAUGAACUGUGAUAAGAAACAUGCAAUGGCUAGAAACAUCUCCGUACAAAAAAAAUUGGCAUGUUAUAGGUGUCAACAAAAUUAGUCGGCUUGCCAGCCGUCGGAUCUGACACGUGAAGCAUUGGAUCACACCACGCAGCAGCAGAGAGAGUGGAACCCGUCUUCCUCCAUAGCCUCCACAAAACUUGUUUAUCCCCCACCCCUCCCCCAUCGUUGCAACAGACUAUUAUGUUGUUGCCGCGGCCUUCCUCUUCCUCUCGCUCAGCAGCACCUCCCUCUCGUCCUUUCUAACACAGCAAAGAAGAAGGAGGAGGAAGAAGAAGGACGCAAGGACACAAGUGGUUUUGCCGGAGCACGAACUCCGCCCGCCGCACGAACGGCGUCCUUUUCUUUCCCUGAGCCCGAACUCAGUACAAUCCGCAAGCUACAACAGAGGAGAGAGCUGGCCUUAUACCCGCGCGCACGCACGCGCUACGCCACGCUCUGCAUGCAUGCACACCCCACGUCCCGCGCUUCCAGACCCACUCACCCGACGCGCACGUACGCAGUCGCCGUAGGCCGAUUCCAGCGCCCCGACGUGGUCGCCACUCCGUUUCUGUCGCCUACACACAACGGCCCACGCGCUCGAACGCGAGGACACACACGCACGCACAGACACACACACACGCACGGCCACGGACCCGGCGCGUCCUGGCUCGCACCCGACGCGUCCUGCGGUGGCUUAUGCCCAACACUCACUCUCCUAAGCCACGAACUAGAGCAGGUGAGUCCAUCGUCGUCGAUGUCGCCAUGGCCGUCGCACCGCACCGCUGCGGCCUCCGCCGUGCCGUCGACGUUGUUGUAGCCGCCGCCGCCCUAACGUCGCUGCCACACCUGCCACCGUGCCGCCGUGCCCUUCGCGUGCACUCCCCACAUCCCCGCGCUCCCGGCCCGCGCUCCCGCCGCGCACGUACGCGGUCUGCGCAACCAGGUCCAGCGCCUCGACGCGGUCCACUCCCGCGGUCCCGACGCGCCCGACGCGUUGGGUGCGCACCCAUAACGUGCACCGGUCACGCCCGGCUCACCGCCGCGCUUAUUGCCCUGCACCGCUGCGCCGUCAACCGCAGCGCAGCGCCUCCACGGUUGUCGCGCCGAGCUGCCGCGGCCUCUGCGACACCACGCAGGUCCUCCACGACCUCCUCGUCUCCGCGACCGCCGCUGCUCGCCGCGCGCACGGCAUCGCGCCACACCGCCGUGGACUCGCCGCGCGUUGCUGACGCCACGCGCUCGCCGCGCGCCCGGCAUCACGCCACACCGCCGUGGACUCGCCGCGCGUUACUGAGACCUUCAUGUCCGCCGCGCGCCACGCGCGCCCCGAACCUGUGGCUCUGAAUACCAAUUGUUGUUGCCGCGGCCUUCCUCUUCCUCUCGCUCAGCAGCACCUCCCUCUCGUCCUUUCUAACACAGCAAAGAAGAAGAAGGAGGAAGAAGAAGGACGCAAGGACACAAGUGGCUUUGCCGGAGCACGAACUCCGCCCGCCGCACGAACGGCGUCCUUUUCUUUCCCUGAACCCGAACUCAGUACAAUCCACAAGCUACAACAGAGGAGAGAGCUGGCCUUAUACCCGCGCGCACGCACGCGCUACGCCACGCUCUGCACGCAUGCACACCCCACGUCCCGCGCUUCCAGACCCACUCACCCGACGCGCACGUACGCAGUCGCCGUAGGUCGAUUCCAGCACCCCGACGUGGUCGCCACUCCGUUUCUGUCGCCUACACACAACGGCCCACGCGCUUGAACGCGAGGACACACACGCACGCACAGACACACACACACGCAUGGCCACGGACCCGGCGCGUCCUGGCUCGCACCCGACGCGUCCUGCGGUGGCUUAUGCCCAACAAUUACGUCAGCCCCUCGCAGCACCUCACGUCCAUGCUCUGGCGCAUCCCUGAUGUCGCCUGGUAUCAUGCAAGCACUAUUACAGACGGCGCGCCGGCGAGGAACAUUGUCUUACAACCAAGGUAGUUGCAUUGAUGCGACCACAAGCCUCACCCCCUUGUUGCAUGGGUCGUGGCUUGUGGCACUGGUCGUCGGCUAAAACACCCCCCAUGAGAACCUGCAGUUGCACCACUGCGACAACCCCGUGGGUCUAUGCAUGGUGGAAAUAGAGCGAAUGGAUAUGGUGAAGAGAGAGGAAUACAAGUGAGGGGCAUCUGGCGCUAGAGCGAGCUGACUCAUUUCCUCCUAAACUAGUCUGUUGAAUAUUUCCAUUUUCUUUUGAGAAACCUCGUAAAAACGUUGCAACAUGCGAGCAUGUCUAUACAAAAAAAAGUAGAUAUAGAACACAUACUCAUUAACUGCAAGAAAUCAGUGAAAAACCACAAUGUAUACACGCCUGAACCAAUGGAUCAUUGGCAUGCAUCUUCCAACUCUUCCUAGGUUACGCCCACCCGCGAACCGUUCAAUUCUGUCACAGAUCAUUGCCAAAUCAACCACCAACUUGGUUCCUGCUCUCGUCUCCUCUCCCCAUCCUUUGCAACAUACACCCAUGUUUCUCAGCAAUAGACUCACUUGGAGGCCACAAUGGUGGCCAUGGUAGGCUAGUGAAAAGCACAAUGGUGGUCGGCCUUACAACACUAAACAUGACAUUAAUUGCAACACGUGAUAACCCCAAAUUUGUAGCACCGGUGCACCGUUUUGCGGCAAAGUAAAAAAUGCCAAUGACCUGCCAUUCUGCAUCGAUACCUUGGUCUUGCAACAUUGUCAACCACCUUGUAGCAAUGAAAACUUCACUGACCACUAGCUUUGCAGCAUCACGUGACCAGCUUCUAGCACUGAACGCCCGGGCUAGCAGCACUGCGAUGAGUGAUGGUCGGCCUUGCAACAGUAUUGGUUGACAUUGCACACCUCAUCUCCAUUUUUAUGUAUAUACACAUGAGUGAACUUGGAACAUCAGUAACGUAUCAACAUUAGCAAUAUUGAUGAUGAUGAAAUUUGUUUCCCCAAGUAUCAACAUUACUGAAUAAGCGAGCAACUGCACAUCCACCCCAUGAGCCAUACUUUUUGAGCCCUACCACAACCGAUUAUAGUUGGAAAAGAGCUGACAACGAUAGUUAAAAAUGUACAUGAUCACAAUAGAUUAAAUGGCAGGGAGGGUGGACUGCAUGCGUGGAAUCAGGCUUGUCACGUGGUCACAAGUGCCUUAUCUGACUAGCCAACAAGACAGAAGGAGGCCGCAUGGGCUCUCACUCCUGAAGCUAAGCAUAACUCCAACUCCAGACACACUCGGGGGCUACUGAAGGUGCAAUACACUAGGGGUGUCCUCUAAGUGGGAAGCCUGGUAGCAGGCCUAUCUCAAGGCCCAAGAGGCCGAGUGGAGGAUCAGCGCACGAGGGCAGCUCAUGAGCCCGGAUAAGGACCGGGAGAGCAUCUGGGCGUGCAAGCUAACAUGGCGACGGUAUGAGAUCUAGUGGAUUCCUUGUAAUCCCUAGCCCUCGUCACCUAUAUAAGGCAGGGCAAGGGGUUAUCAUUCACAUAUACUCUCAUAGACUAUACUCUCGGUGGCCUUAUUCUUCAUCUCCGUUGUAAAUCCUAUUAUGGGUACUAACAGUUUUACAUACUGUCGCAUAGUUUAGUUCCGACACAUUUUCUCUAGGAGUUGAAAGCAACUCAUGGUGUAAGUAUGUGUUGCUGGAAGCACUGAUUUUACUAGCACCGCCUUUCCCGCCUUCGAGAUACCUUGUCCUUCCUAUCCAAUCACUUUGCCAUUUGAGUUUUCUCUAACGUAUUUAAAAUUUGCUUCCGUUGACCUACCCACCACGGCUGCGAGCCCCAAAUAAUGCUCGCUCAAUGCCUUGGGAUCAAUGCAAAAAUAUUUAAAAAAACUUUGUCCUCCUAUUUGCUUCCCUUUCCACAGAAAGUUGAGGCUUUUUGAAGAUUUACCAUUUGUCAUGUGGCCAACUCGUAGUCAAAUAGGGUCUAUUUUAAGGUCACAACGUUGAUAUUUGAUGCUUGAAGAAAUACUACACUAUCAUCUACAAACAUAAAAUGGGCUACAUGGGGGCCAGUGCUCCCAAAAUGUACACCAUUGAUCUCCUUAUCUUUGAGAAUUCAUGAGCAAUGCCAAAAAAUAAACAAAUGGGGGGAUUGUGGGUCUCCUUGUCAGAUCCCUCUUGAUAGUGUAAAAAUGACAGAGCAACCUCCAUUCAAUUUGACAGGAAUCCUGGUCGAGGUAACAGAUGUCAUAGUCAUCAAGAUCCACCUAUUUGAGAAACCAAGUGCCCUCAUCAUGAGAUUGUGGAAAAUCCAAACCACCCUCUUGUAGGCCUGCAUCAUGUCUAGUUUAAUAGCUAACAUUGGAUUUUUCUAUUUGUUGGCCUGAUUGCAUGCACACACUCAUACGUGACCAACACAUUGUCUGUGAUAAGCCUACCCGGAAUAAAUAUGCUUUGCUCCUCCCAGAUCAUUAUGGACAGGAGAACAUUCAAACCAUUCACUAGGCCUUUGAAGCAAUAUGACUGAGUGUGUUCUAUAAGCUGAUUGAUCCAAUUUGAGGAAGUAUAUCCAGUGAGUUAAUUUUUAGGAUCAGGACUAGAACCAUAUCACUAAAGUUUGCCGAUACAUCAUUUUUUAGCAACGACUAGUGAAAUUGGUAAACAUAGUCGAGAGGUUGUGUGGCCCAACGCUUUUGUCAGUCUAAUUUUGAAUGGUGCAUUCUCAAUUUCUUCAUCCAUCACAUCCGCGUCCACCCUCAAGAAAACAACCAAGCAUAGAAAUCGGCCGACAUCUUCCCCAUCUCAUUGUCAGUAGUACAUCUCAUGCCAUCCGCGCUCAUGUUUUGUUCGUCUUCCUCGAGCAAUUCCAGUCGAGCAUGUUGCAUAUACAUUAUUUAUUCCCAUGCAUGAGCCAGAUGAAGCUAUGCUUCAAUCUCGUGGAUCUCCACCAAGGAUCUGGAUCCCAAUGCUCUCUCCUUUCCAUCGAAGCUGACCUUGUGCCUAGUGAUGUCUAAACAUACGAAACAAAACACUGAGCCACUCCAAUGUUGCAUAUCAUUGGUGACAUUGUUAAGCUUCCUGUAUAACGUACUCUGGCCGAAAUUGUUGUCACAUGCACACUCCCACGCAUCCAUGGGGCAUCCGCCUCUCCUCAAAUGUUAACGCCCUCUUCUUCCUUGUGGUAAUGACCAAUUGGUCUAGCGCUCUAAUAAUGAGUGAAUCAUGGCCUGGUUCUCCGUGAGAACAUGUUCAAUGGAUGUAUCCUAGAAUGAGUGUAUGAAAUCAUCAUUGCAUGGACCCCUUCCCAGAUGUACCUAAAUGUUCUCAUCAUCAUCCCUUUUGUUGUCCCGUGUGUACUGGUAGCUACUAAAACAGAGGUUUGAAAAGUUGUUAUUGGCUACGCUUCCAUUUGUGUGAAACUCCUCAAGUAAUCUCCUGGUUGUUGUGAUUGAAAGAAUACUUUGUUGAGGUAUCACUGUCACAGAGAAAUUUAUUAUCAGGAUCUAGUCUCUUGAAACCUCCCUUAGCUACACAAGUUUGCUUCAAUCUCUCUUCCUAUCCAGUAGCUUUAGCUGAUAAUCCUUGUGAUGCCUUUGGUGAUCACCACCACCCUUCCUCGUCUUGUGAACAAAAGUGCCUCGUGUGUGCUGCCUGGAGGUAGAUGGGUCCUCUUUGCCCAGUCGCCUUGCACCCUUUCUUCCCAUAUAGAAUUUUUUAUGUCCUCCUUCCUUUCAUGCUCCUUCCUCAGCUUCCACAUCCUUUUCAGUUGCAAAUCAUCCCUUAGUUCAUGUCACCGAUCUUGCUUGCAUUGGUCCUUCCUGGGUGUAUAAGCAUUGUAGCACUUGUGCCUAAAUGGGAGGUGGCGCAACGCUGCUUACCCCCUGUGAACAUAGAUGCACCUUCUUGACCUAGUGCUCCCAAAACUAAAGUUCCCACUUUCUAUCACCGACUUCUACUAUGUUUCUGUGUGUGAGGAGCUAUGUUCGAGUGGUGCCCUCAACCAUUCACCCAACUAGGGUGAGGAAUCAACAUGUGGUUCAAAUCUUUCAUCAGCAUGUGUUGGUCUAACGCAGUCAAUCCAGAAGUGAUGUAUCUUCUCAAAUUGAAAAUCAAGACAGUCCCCUCAUCUUUCGCUGAAGAGUGGAGGAAGAAGGCUCGAACCAAUGAAACGAAUAUGAAAAUUCUAGCUCUAACUAUGAGAUGGUUCCCCCCAUAAAUCCAUCCUUCUCGAUAUCAAAUUUUACCACGUCACCAAGCCAAUUCCCGAGAGCAUUCCCAAAAGUAGACAAUGGUUUAUAUAGGGGAAGAUCCUUAAUUAUCACCCAUGGCUCCGUCAUCCAAAACAUUAUCUUCGAUGGCCUAGUUUUACCAUCACAAUUCUUCAAAACCAUCACACUAAAACCAAAUUUCCACGGUCCAUUAUAUAGAGCGUGAUUCUAAACUCCGUUUUGUCGAAUCUCAAGACGAAGAUAUUAUUGCCAAUGGCUUCCUAGUAGAGUCCCCAUGCCUGUUGCAUAGCCUUAGCAAACACGUUGAUGUUGAUUUGCGGAAGUGAGCACGCCUUUCCAACGGCUGACAACUUAGUAGGCCUCCGUCGGUCUAGAAUCCACCUCAAACAUGAGACCUAUUAGUUCCUUUUGUGUCAAGUUCAAGGCUCCUUGUUUGUUUGAGAGAUUCGCUACCUCCUGGAAGCAUUUUCGUCUGUCAGGGACUUUGAAGAUUCUCGGCUUAUCGAUCGUUGGUCACCCGCUUCACUGGAGUUGCCUGUCCAUGCCAUGCCUGCUCUUCCGUCAUCGACCAAUAGAUGAAUAAAACCCUAGCACUACCUGUCGGUCCCCUAUAGUCUCCCUUAGCAUUUCCUUUCAUGGUGGGCCCGCCACCAACUAUUCCUCUCCGUCCUUCCAUUGGUACUUUUUCUGCGGUGGAGCCUUUAUGCUUCAUUUGGCUUUCUACAAUGGUGGUUGUAUCCAGCUCAUAAGUCUCCUCUAUAUGUCGGAAGCCAAGAUGUUAGCUCUUCUUUUUUUAAGGAAAAUACGUUAGCUAAUGUACAAGUUCCGCUUUGAAAGAAGUCUUGUCGCAUGUAAAGACAUCACUGUCGGUUCAAUAUCCGGCGUAUCUCGUAGUAGGGGUCCUAAGCUAGGCGUCUUGGAGCGAUGGUAACAUGGACACGGGGUUUUACCCAGCUUCGGGCUCUCUUGAUGAGAUAAUACCCUAGAUGCUGCUUUUGAUUGUAUUCAUAUGGGGUGUAGUACAGAGUACAUGUGUCUACCACGAGACUGUGGUAAUGAAUAUGAGAUUGUCUAUUGACUAGCCUGGCCUCGGUUUAUAUAACAGACCGGAGGCCUAGGGUUUUAGGAGAGUCCUCGCCUGUCACGACCGGUUUUUCAAUAAAAUAAUUAUUGAGAGACCAAUCCCUUUUACGGACCAGCGAGGAAGAAUUCCUUCUCACUGGUAGACAAUAUCUUGGUCACAGAAGAAAAAUACCAGGAGUACUAAUCAUAAUACAAGGUUGAGCAGAGGCGGCCCAACAAUUUAUUACAUGCACGCCGAUAAAACAACACGGUGGAUAGGGUGGCAAACUAUUAACUCACGAUAAUAACGGUGGUGGAAAUAUCACCGCGGAGCGAGUGAUCUGAUUCCAGAAGACUACAGCUCAUCGAGCGUCGGAGUGAGGCUCGAGAAGACUUAUUGCGGGUGGCGGAAGCGUAAACAAAACAAGUGACCAAUAUCCGGGAUCGCGCAGGACUGACUGGGACUCCUCUAGGCAUCGGACGCGCUAUCAAACUCUUCAUCCAAGAGAUCGCCUUCGUCAACAUCUGGCCAAAUCAACAAGCCAGGUGAGUACUAUGAAAGUACUCGCAAGACAGUUCGGACAUAAGGUAUAACAAAUGUAAACAUGAAGUACAUGAACAAGUUAACCAGUGCGAUCAGACAUAGAGGUAAUAAAUACUGGGUGCCAAGCGAGGGUCUGAAUGACGCCUCGAGCGGAAACUGCGGAAUAGUAAUACUGGUGCCAAGCGAGUGUCUGAAAGACUCCUCGAGCGGAAAAUGCAGAACAAUACUGCUGGUGCCAAACGAGUGUCUGAAAGACUCCUCGAGCGGAAAAUGCAGAAUAAUACUGCUGGUGCCAAACGAGUGUCUGAAAGACUCCUCGAGCGGAAAAUGCGGAAUAAUAAUGCCACAGUCGGGCGUCGGGGUGACACCACAUAAAGGGCUUAUAACAGAAAAUAAAGACAGUGCAUGCCACAGUCGGACGCCUGAGCGACAUCACAUAAAGGGCUUAUAUUUAAAGUAAGAAACAAACACACGCCACAGUCGGACGUCUGUGCGACGUCACAUAAAGGGCUUAUAUUUAAAGUAAGAAACAAACACACGCCACAGUCGGACGUCUGCGCGACGUCACAUAAAGGGCUUAUAUCACAGCUUAAUAAUACAAUAGUUCGGGAACAUAAAUUAUCACAAGCAUGAGACAAACAUAAAGUUAGUCCAUCCACAGGAAUAAUAAUAAAUCUGGAUUUUUCCACUUGAGCUUGUUCACCGGGGACAAGUCUUCCACGCGGAUAGAUAUGGAUAUAACGUUAUCAUUACUUGAUCAUGGAUACGAUGAUUUGGAAAGAAUUGACUCUGCAGAGUUUGUACUUAACCACAGCCAACGGAUUUCAGUAGUCGCGGGGACUAGUUCCGUCUACGGUGUUUUGGGAGAAACACGUCUAACCAGUACACACCCAAUUCAACCAUCCGAAGCCAGGGAUCACCCUCAGCAUCGUUCAAGAAAAACCUUGAGACGGGGAGGCUACAACCUCGCGUAGCAUGGGAUCAAAUUUCUAUACGCGCGCUUUAAGGGGGUGCCCCCCCUCUCGGUCCCAACCGGAAACACCCAUGCCCCCUGACCGGAUGACUGGCUUUAAUCCUGGGCCAAGGUACCCUCAUCCCGGCCUCUCUAUUUGGUGUGUACACGGAAAGAGGUUACCAACUUACUAAACCGUAUCCUGGCAAUGAGACAUGUGGUAGCACGGAAGGGGGAAAGAACGGUAACGCGGCUCCAACCACGUUAACGUCGGAGAAAGUCGGAUGACGCCAGGCUGGUAUGCUACAACAGUACCACCUUGCUGCCCUUCAUGUCACCACAUGAUUAGGCCAUCUCUCAUCAGAGAUCAUCACAACUUUGGAACAUGCGGGAAAAGGACGAUAACGUGGCUCCAACCACGUUAACGUCGGAGAAAGUCGGAUGGCGCAAGGCUGGUAUGCUACAACAGUACCACCUUGCUGCCCUUCAUGUCACCACAUGAUUAGGCCAUCUCUCAUCAGAGAUCAUCACGACUUUGGAACAACCGGGUAGUUGCCUUACAAGCAAGGAGGUAUUUACCGAUACUCAUAUGCCACGCACAAACUUUCACGUAAACAUGCAAAACAUCUGUCCUAUCAAAUGUUCAAAACAUGCUUGCCUGGUUCGGAGAACUCGGAGUCUAGCUCGGCGAAGUUCGCGGCUCCUUCACCUCUCCCGGAACCUUCGGCAAUCACGAAACGGGUACUAAAGUGAAAACCAACACAUGCACAGAAACUUUUCCAAAUAUUUUUCAAAUAAAUCCCAUAAAAAACUAGACAAAAUUUGAAGAUUGUCAGAAAAAGAAUCACUCAAAAAUACCUUUUUAUUAAAAAGUUAUAAAGGUUUCUGUCCAGGGACCUUUCUGUAAUGAAACAGAAAAGUUCCAGGGUUUUAACUGAGAAAACAGAAAACGCUUCGGUUGGGAAUGCGCAAGCGCAAAGAGGAAAACGUAUUUGCCGAAGGCGCCAACAGAAAACGGUUCGCGAAUAAAAGAACAGAGGCUGACACGCGGGGUCCACAUGUCAGGUUUAAAAAGCUCGCCGGCGCCCGAAGACGGCGGUGGACGCCGGCGUCGAACCACGGCGAGUUAGGAGAAACGGAGGGUACCAAGAGCUUCAGCGUCUUCUUCCGCGUCGGUGGGUGGUGGACUCGUCCAACGGGGAGCACCACGUCGACGGCGACACUAUCUCCGGCGGACGGCGGCUCGGUUGAGGAUGGGGGACUCCGGUGGAGGGCUGCAAACUACGAAUUGAGGCGCGGGUCAGAACGAGGGAUGCAAGGUGAAGCUACUGGCAAGAGAAUGGAGGCGGAGGGGCACACACGGGGGCGAAUCAGGCUGGAUCCCGUGGCGGGUCGCGGCGGCCGGAGUCGAGGAAGGAGGCCUCCUCGGGGCUCUUCCAGUGGCUAGGCGUGCUCUAGGGGGAGUGCAGGGAUGGUGGGUGCUCGAGUUGAAGCUCGGGGCCUCUAUUUAUAGGCAGAUCGACGGGGUGGCCGUGAACGGAGAAUCUCCGGCGAGCGAUUACGGCGGAGCAGUGGAUUGGCAGGUGGUUUGAGCGGCUAGGCAGCAUCAGUGGAGGUUACUGGAGUCGUUUCACAGCUAAACGGAGCUGGUCUUGGCGUAAUGGCGUCGGUCCACGGUGAGGUGACCGCACGGGCUCAACGGCGGCAGAGAGCGUGCUCCGCGCCCUGCGGUUCACGACGAGAGCGGCAGCGCAUUCGGGGGAGUGGAAGGCCACGCGGCGAGCUCCGGUGGUUUGGGCAGCGCUGGGUGGCGUCGUCGGCGCCGUGUCUCCCGCUGGCGCCCGCAAAGCCGCCGCCGGCGUCGGUCACGGGGCGGCGCACCUUCUGCUGCUCGUCGCCGACGCCCGCAAGGCGCCAGGAGUUCGUGCGGUGCAGGAACAAGGGGGAGGGGACGAGGAGCAAGGCGACGCGGUGGCACUGGCGAGAUCGACGUCCAUCUCUGAAGAAAACGACAGCAAGCCACUGCAGUGUUCUCUGAAAUUUUCUGAACUUGACAUAGACAGUGCACUGCAGGUGCUCGACAGAAGGUUUUGGCAAUGAGAUGAAUUUUUCUGGGGCUGUAACUUGGUGAGAUGAUCACUCACUGCACCCAGAGGCUGCCUGAUUUUACUUGGAAUUUUUGGAGAAGGUUUUGAAUGAAUUUCACCAAAUUUGACAAAUCUGGUCCAAACUUGCAGCAGAUGUAGUUUGAAGAUUUUGAACUGAAGACCAAUGGAUCUUCAUGGUUCUAGGUUGAGGGUUCAAAGGACUAGGAAGGAGAGUUGGUUUGGGGGCAAAGAUCAAAACAGAAAAUGGAGUUCCUUUGUAAAUCUCCAAGUGCUAGAAAAGAAGACAGAAAUUUAUUUGAAUAGAAUUUAAAUGGAAAUAAUCACAUGGGGAGGUUCAACUAGCUGGAUCUGAUGCAAAUCAUGACCCAAAGGUGAGGGGAGGGUUAGGAGAGAGGAUUUGCACUAAGGCCAUGGCAAGAAGGAAUUGUUGAAAGUGGCAAAGGAGUUUUCCAAAAGCCAUAGUGCAUUUUCAAAAAGAUUUUCAAAAGGUAUUUCCCCCAAUGAAAAACAUUUUGUCUUGAGUCCAAGUGAAAAGCAAGAACCUCCAAGACCAAAGGCAGAUCUUGGGUGAAUCCAAAUAAAACUUUUGCCAUAAAGAAAAAUGAUUAGAGGGGGAGAGUUCUCUUGAAGAAAAUUUUAAAUCACUCCCCUCAAGUCAAAUAAAAUCUUUUGAAAAAUCCAAAUAAAAACUUGGGUGUCACAUCGCCUUGGGCGCCAAGUCUUGUGGAGUCUUCCUUAUAUGCGGCAGGGGUUGUCCGAACUGGCCCAUGAGUAUACGGUCGGCCCAAUCCAACUGAUCGGGAGACGACGUGGUGAGUACCCCCUAGUCCAGGACACCGUCAGUCACUAAGAGUGCGAUACAUAUAGGUGCAUACUUUGCGGAUGAUGCAAAUUUCAGCAGAUAUGAACAGCUCCAGGUGGACCGAGCACACAAAGAAAUCAUGGACCAUAAACGAAUAAUUUCCAAAGAAACAAAGUCGCAAAAAGAGAGACGACAUUAUCUUCAUUAUGGAAAACCCUUAUAUUUUUAAACAUUGCUUUGCUCUUUGAUUAUUAACAGGAAUCUUUUUACUAAUAUAAUAAGUGUUAAUCUUUAUAGAUAUGGAAUGUAUUUUGUUCAGUAGGUUUUAAUGAAUCAUAUCAGUUUUUGGUAUGUUAAAAUUAGAAGAAGUUCAUGCGCCUUCAAGGCAUGUCACGGUGUGUUGUUCCACCUCAAACAGGGACAUACUACAUGGUUAUUAUCCCUGCAUAUAGCCCUCUUCGCAUGCUCUUCCUCUCUCUCUCUCUCUCCAUUGUAUAUUCCAGAACUGCUGACACUACUCCAUAAUGCCUAACUGGUGAAGGUCCAGAAACACCUAGCAGUGAUGGGUUCAACAUGCUCAGUAGUCUGUACUUAGUGGAGAAGUAACAAACCACUUAGAUGAACAUGUCUGCCAGUGAUGGUCAAAUCAAAAAAGAAAAUCGGGCCAUGGCUAGUCCAAAGCUAACACCUGCCAAUAAUGUGAAGUCUCCACUACUCGAACCUUCUUCUCCUCAAUAUAUUGCACCGUCUGAUGUUUGGAGAAGCCAUAGAUUUGGGGAUCCGAAUAGAGGAAACAAUGGUGGGGAGUGUCUUGAAGAAUAGGUAACGAGAAGCCGGACGGAGAAGGCCUCGACCAUGCUGCACCAUCAGCCCAUGAGCACUGACCUGUAUAUAUGGUGCAAGGACCGAGGCAGAAAUGAACACCAUCAUCGCCUGGGUGGCAGAGGGAGUUGGACCUGGGUGUUCCUCCUCUCGGACAAACUCAAUGAAUUCUUGGAGGCAGCACCCAUGCUAGAUUCUGCAGAGAUGACAACAUUUAGAGGAGGUGGAGGGCCAGCGCUAGGUUUGUUCCUCAUAGGGUUUAUUUUCGGGGAAGAAGGGGAAGGGUAUGACAUGAUGAGUGAUUAACAAGGGAAGUGUGUGUUUCUGUGGAGGACAAAUCAUGAAGAUAAGUGUGCUAGUAGCUAGAGAAGGGACUAAUGAUAGCAGGAACGAAUAAUGAGCUUAAUGUGUGGGGCUACUAGUUUUAAGUUGUGAUCUAAAUGACAGGGUAAGUAUUUAGUCACUAUCGUGUUGUGACUUGGGCUUGUAAGUGGUGGCUUGUAUAUGAGUAACAAGUAGCAUGUUUAGCCUCAAUAUUGUUCUCUGUCACUGGUAACAAUGUAUCAUUGAUGGACCACAUAUUGGGCCCGUCACUACUAACUUUUUUCAACAAAAAUAGAUUUUUAGUUAUCGUCAGAUUCAUGGCAAACCCGCCGUCCAUUACUUCUAAGUAGCACUACUGAUGGGUUGUGUGACCCACCACUAUUGAUCAAUAACUAGAGGAUAACUCAAGCAUAGUGCACAUCCGUUUCUUUGAGAUUUUGUUAGUGUUUUCUUGUUCAUGGAGACAUAUCAAUUGACCCUAACAAGUGUUCUAUUUAGGUGGGGUUGUGAGUGAAAACGCGGGGAGCUUGGCAGCAGGGAAAAUGGCACCUAGAGGGGCUCAUGUCUCCAUGAUGAACAACCACAACUUUGAUUUGAAUGAGCUACCGACUGAACAUGAGCAGCUCCAGCAGGAGCAGCCGCCCAAAGAGCAGGAUUAGCCGCCUGUGGCACAACAUGAGCUUUAAUAUUCACAAUGGCUGGAGCCUGCUCAAAUCCGCAUCUAUGAGCAAAAUAACUCUUCGCCAGAAGCAUAGCCCUGUUGGAAAUUAUCAAAAAUAUCUCUAUCCCGAGGAUAAUGGGAAGGCUUGUAUGGAACUUUUGAAUUUCUCUCUUCCUACUUUUUGCNNNNNNNNNNNNNNNNNNNNNNNNNNNNNNNNNNNNNNNNNNNNNNNNNNNNNNNNNNNNNNNNNNNNNNNNNNNNNNNNNNNNNNNNNNNNNNNNNNNNNNNNNNNNNNNNNNNNNNNNNNNNNNNNNNNNNNNNNNNNNNNNNNNNNNNNNNNNNNNNNNNNNNNNNNNNNNNNNNNNNNNNNNNNNNNNNNNNNNNNNNNNNNNNNNNNNNNNNNNNNNNNNNNNNNNNNNNNNNNNNNNNNNNNNNNNNNNNNNNNNNNNNNNNNNNNNNNNNNNNNNNNNNNNNNNNNNNNNNNNNNNNNNNNNNNNNNNNNNNNNNNNNNNNNNNNNNNNNNNNNNNNNNNNNNNNNNNNNNNNNNNNNNNNNNNNNNNNNNNNGGGGGGAUUUGGUAUACUGCCUCAUGAUCACCCUAUCCACUUGAAAUGGAUUUUCUAUUCAUUUCCCAUGAUGGUUUUGAUAUCUCGAUUGUUUCAACAAGAAUAUAUUCAUUCGGUAAAGCUUUGUGAAACAUUAGCGAUGGAGCUAGGUCUCGGGUCAUGUGAAAAGACAGUAGGUCAAGAAGUGUGUUAGCUCAUGAGAUAAUAUAUUUUUGAAGUUGUUCAUCAUGUGUGUUGACACAAUGGGUCGUACGAGAGAAGGUUGGCAUGAAUCUUUGGGUUUGAAAUGAGCUGUCUAAUUGGACCUUCAUGACUGAAAAAAGGGAGAAAACAUGGCUAAUAGGAGGCGCAAAUGAUAUGGAAGCUACUUUUUGGAUGGAAGUUAACUAUGGCUAUGCGACCACACAAGAUGUCGAUGGAACCGCGUCCUUACAUAUCGAGGUUGACUUCAUGUGCAAGCUGUAUUGUGACUAAAUUAUGGUAUAUGUAUGUAAUAACUUGGCAUCUGACCAAACACAAACCCCAAAAAAUACUAUUUACUUCUCUUCGAUGCAUAUUCUAGUGGAAGGGUAGUCAUAACCAUAUGGGGAUAUUUUUCCACAGUAGAAUCUAUAAUGGUCUAGUGAGGAAAGGUGUAAAUGGAGAGGAUAAUAGGCGAACAUGGAAACAUCCAACAUUGUGUUGUACUUGUAUCUAGUUGUAUAGUGAGAUAAUAUGGAAACGGAGGAGGCUCAUAGGGCAACACGAGAACACCCAACAUGUUGCUCUACUUCCUUCCUAUUGGUACCAAGAGACUGAGACUAGAGAAAGGUUAAUCAUAACACAUGGACAAGAUCUCUCAUACAAGUUGAAAAUGGACCGAAUCUUGUAUGAAAAUGCUAACCAAGUAUGAGUGUGCAUAAAAUACCAUUUCCUCCCUUUCUUUGUUGUAUUUUCCUUCACCAACCCCAUAGUACCCUAAUCUACACUAUUAAUUCGAUAUGCUUCUCAUCUGAGUUAGGUAGACUUAUUCAAGGGGAAAUAAUGGAGGUGUCUUAUCUAAAAUAGCCACAUUCCGGAUAGGAAUAAAAAAAGUAGACAUAACCUAAUGAUUUGUUGAGAUUUGAAUCGAGAAUUCAACAUACAUCAACUAUCCUACAUGUAAAUCAAAUCCUCAUCCUACAUCGUCAUUGGGCUUUAGUUGGACUACCACUUUAUGGACAAGCCGUAUGGUCCAUGUGGUCUACGUCGCAAAGGCCGGAGAACAAGGAGCAAAUAGUUGUGGAUGUUUGGUAAUUGAAGUUAUUUGUCAAGAAAUUUGUUUCCCGUCAUGGUUUUUUUAAUUCAUUAUUUAGUAUUUGGUAUCGGUUCUAUGCUCUAAUGUGUAACCUUCUUCUGAUGGUUUGGGUUUAGCUGUCGGUGGUCAUGAGUUCAUUACUUAUGUUAACUACUAUUGUUGUGUCCACUUGUUCGCCAAGAGACUAUAAAGUUAACUUAUAUCCUCCCGUAUCUCUAUUAAUAUAGUUGGCGGUGAGGUAAUCAUUAACCCUGAAUAUUACUCACCUUUGUCAAAUAGUAGGCCAAGCUGGAACUGUCCGGUGCAUCAUCUAUGGUCACAUAUGGUGUAUUGCCUAUUCUAAACUCAAUGAGUAUUACAUAAUGGCAUGUGCCUGCAGGCAGGAAUGAGUCACUCUUUUGUGUCAAGGGGAGACGGCAUGCGUGAUAAUUGACAAUGAAAAAUUAACAACCUACAUCAAAAGUCUAACCCAAGACAAUGAAUAUGUGCCAUUGUAAUUUUACCACACUAAGUCAUCGGUAUUUCAUAAUCGAAUGUUCCCGAUGUCGUGACUUUUGGCGGUGAUAAGCCCAAAUAAUCGCCAUUGUGAAAUUAAAUUCUUCCGUUCACUUGAACCCACAUCCGUAAAGAUGUGCCAUUACAAUCCACGUCAUGGCUAUCUUGGAGUCCUUAAUAUAAUCAAGUGUGCCAAAUAUGGUGACUUGAUAAUCACGUAUACUAAUGGGGAGGAGCGAGGUCACAUUUUUUGCCAUGGAGACAUGAUAUUCCGUACUAAUUGACCCUAGGAAGCUAAUCGCCUCCAUCAAGUAGACCCCUUCCUGGUUCUCCUAUAACUGGAUUCCCCGAAACCACGAAAAUCCUUAGAAUUGGAUUACAACUUAGCACCUUGUGUUUUCACAUAGUAAGAAGAGUUGCUCCUUGGAGAGCACGGUAUGAUGAAAGUUGUAACCUGUGUUUCCGAGGGAGUUAUUGUCUCGCAACUUUGUUAUCAACUAUUCCGAUUCCAGCAAACGGAGGCCAUUGGGUCAAAGCCAUAGCGCACGCCUUGUAGUUUUGAAGUGGGGCGAGACAACUUUAGCUAGGAACCUAUUUUCCUUCUGACCAACUCCCUAAAAACAAUGUUCGACUUCAUGUGUAGUCGGUGUAGAUGUGUCAUUGCAAUUCCACCACUAGGAUAUCACCAUGUCCUAUGUAUUACAUGCCAACAUAUGCCACCAUAUGGUGACUUGAUAAAUUAAAUGCAUUUCACCAAGCUUUUCUGUUCCAAUUAUGGUGAAGAUAGUGACUCACAUGUCAGCCUCCCUAACGGGAAGCAAAAUCACUCUGACUUUGGCAACCUAAAUUUUUUAUGGAUUCAAGCAAGCAUGUUGGAUUUGUGUAUUGUUUAUUUCCACAUAUAUGAUUCAAAAUAAAGGAAUCAAUACAGAAUAGGAGUCCUGGAGACACCCAUGUCAAUAAUGUGAAAUUACGGGAAAUCUUAUUAUGUGCAUCAAAAUAAGCCAAAACUCGUGGCUUAAGAGAUACGUGUACAAUCAUACAAUGGUUAUGACCCCUACUAAAUUCAUGAUGUUAACCAGUUCCCAGAAGUUUAAGUUGAGAAACAAGUUUGGGCAACAUAUUUCCAGACACCUGUCAUGUCUAGGAUUGUCUGAAGCCUAGGUAAGAUUAGUUAUGGGAUCAAUGCAGGCUAUUAGUACAUUGACUCGGUUCUUAACUCAAGUCCUCCUUGCUUGAUACCAUAUUGAAUGGCAAGUACAUCAUCAAUUUACUUAAGUGGGUGAACAAUGUUGGCUAGUAUAUUCCAACACUCACCUCACAUGCAUUUUUUAGGGGCAUAUAAUGCAUCGUGAUGGAUACAUUCUUUCUAAAGACUAAAUUCCAAUGGAAAAUUCAAAUUAAUUUAGUAGCAAUCUCGUAUGGCAAGGGUAUAUGGUAAAUGAAAAGGAGGGCUCAAAUGCUACUUGUUGGCACACACAAGUCAAGUUGUCUUUUAGCUCCCAUGUUGAUCCUCCAUGGUUCGACAUUGGGCAUUACACAGAGAACGAGUUAUCUUUACGCACUAACUAGAGCUACCAGACCAUGGAUGUUCCACCGUGAAUGUCCAUAUGGUGCAAUGAGUGAUAGCGGGGUAUAUUAGAACAUACAGUAUACACCGUUAAAGUAAUUAAAUGUGCUAUUUUGCCUACUAUGACAAAAUAGUAUUUUUAAGAGAAAACUACGCAAGAGUUUGUGAUCUUUGUAUGUAAAAGCAUUAUUUGCCUUUGCUUGGUGUUCACGCAGUUUGAUUUAUGGCAAAAAUGGAAAAUCAUGGGACAAUAAUUGUUGAUAUUCUUUGUGGGAAAGCUAUAAGUUUUCACUUUUCAGAUCAUGCAAAGUAUUGUUUUCUUAUAGGGGUGAUAUACAGGGUUCUAAAUCUGCAUUUGUGAUUUGUUGUCCAUUUAAAUUUUGUUUCUUCCAUAGAUUAUGUUGGUUUGUUGCUGUAUUUAUCUCAGCACUGAAGUAUACUGAUGUUAGCUAAGUCCAAUCAAAGGCCGAUGUUUCUAUCAUGUUAUACAAAUUAGUAAGCUAAGUACUGACCAAACUCAAGUUACAGAAGCCCAGACUACGUGAAAUGCACAUCAUGCAGUACACAUGUUCAUCUUAGUGUUAUGUUAUACUUGGCUCCCAGAUAACAAAUGGUAUCAGUUACUACUAUCUUUUGCAGCUUGUUUCUACCUGUUCAUCGUAGAAUUAUCUUAUGUAGUCUCCCAAGGUUCAUGCAACUUGGAUUUUCAUACUUUGGUAGCAUUAGUGUUCACUAGGACUAGAUGCCACUCUGUAGAAGCUGGAGAUACAGAUGGAGAAAGUAGUCAUGGUUUUUUUUUCAAAAAGUUUGUUCAUAUCUAUAACAGGUUUAUUAAUUUUUAGCGUACAGUGUUGUGAAACCUAGAGUGUUUUAUCUCAUUAAACAUUGAACUACGCUUGCAAGGGAAAAACCUUCAUUUGACAUCGAACUAUGCAUGCAGGGCAAACACUCCGUGCAUCGGUGCCACCGCGCCGUGAACCUUGGGAGCUUGAACCUGGAUGGGUGUGAACUUAUGUUGUCAAGGUUUGGGGUCAGUCUUGGAUAGAGAAUAAAGGGGACUUUGCGAAACUGUUAUUAAUAAUAUGUAUGAAACAUUGCCUUGGGGAGAGAAUAAGAGAUUUCGAGAGAUAUUUAUAAAUGGAUGCAUGCUUGCAAUAGCAGUACAAAAUAUGAUGCUAACAUUUUAUUUUCAUUGUUCUUCCCAUUAAACUUCUCGUGGUGGCUCCAUUAUUCACAGCCUCGCACAUGAAAAUGUUAUUUCGUUCGGGUAAAUGUUGCGUGUCGCUGCUCCUGUAGUUUUGCGGUUUGCAUCUGCUUGAAACUUGUGAGUUGGAUUUUGCGAAGUUGCAAUGCAAAUUUGGGAUGCAGGGAAG
RNAcentral lists this long non-coding RNA (108366 nucleotides) under Triticum aestivum (bread wheat). RNAcentral describes it as "long non-coding RNA (TAES_LNC018621)". The record is from RNAcentral. Lineage: Eukaryota; Viridiplantae; Streptophyta; Magnoliopsida; Poales; Poaceae.